GGUGCAGGAGAUGAGAAUGAUGAUAUGCCAGCACUGCAAAAUGCUGGUUGCAAUUGGGUGCUGGGGUGAGUAGUUUGAAAGUAGUGUGCCAUUCUCAUCAAAUGCAGCGGAGAAGGUGGUAAUGCCUUCAUUGAAAGAAGUGUCCGUAGUGGAGUUGUCCGUUUCUGAUUAAAACGUGCAGGGCCUUCACAUAUAAGUGACCGUGUAAAAGGAAAACUUAUUAUUACGAGGCAAACAUGGACAAUCAUGUUGAGUCUCCUGUUGUCCUUUUUUCUACAUAUAUACACACGCAGACAUACAUGUAUAUAAAAAUAUGUAAAAGCUAUUCACUUUUAAUUUGUUUUAUUCAUAAAUGGGGAAUGACCCUCAGCUUGGGAGUUUGUCCUGCAUCGUGGAUGAGUAGGAUCUGCCUCUCUGCAUGCGUGUCGAUUUGGAGGUGCCUUGGGUGGAAGCCAGUGCGGGAGGAGAAAAAGCUACUGUUCCCAUUAAUGGAAAAGUUGGGGCUGGGGCCAAGGGCAGUUUCAGUGCUAAAAGAGUUCAAUAGCGAUUUGAGACUAGUUUGAAAAAACACUCAUUUUUCCCCAUUGGUGUGGGAUUUAAAAACUAGCCUCGGAGAUUUUCCACCUAGAGUCAAUGUCAGAUUAGGUUGAAAUGUACCGUUUAUUGCAAUGUUUUAGAUUGCUUUCGUCUGGGUAGGAGGCGUUACCCCUGACCAUGUUUAAUCUGACCAUUUUUAGUGGCUAACAAAAAUAAUAUGAACCAGAACAAGACAUACGACGCGUGAACUAUCAACCCAUGAGGGAUGCUAAGAAACGACUCUGAAGGGUUGAAAUUAUCGGAUUGCGUAGAGGCUUGAAGUUCAGGCAUGGUUGGAAGAGUGAUCAGGAGUCACAGCCCGAUCCCACAGCUUGCAGUCCAACCUAUCUCUGCCACUUUGAACGGCAUAUGCUGAACACAUUGACAGAAAUUAACUUCACAGUUCAGAAGCAUUCAGAUGAGCAUUGUCCUGUAAAUUCUCUCGUCAACCUGCCUGCGAUCGAUGAUUGAUGAACCUGAACCUGACUCGCAUAACCAUUUUAGUUGGAUAGACAUUCAAGACCUCACUGACAAUAUGCCUAGCAUAAAAUCAAUAUUUCUCCUCGGCACUUAAGAGAGCUGCAUAAGACUGGUUUUCAUCCCUCGGAACCUUCCUUCGACCAGGUGCAUCGUCUGGACGUAUAGUUACGUCUACAACUGCUGGCCUUUCCAGAUUGAAAAGAUCAAAAAGCUGAGCUCUCUUCUCUCUGAUCUCUUCAAUACGUCCGUCCCAGGAAGUCUCUCCAAUAAGUUCCAGUGCUAUUUCCACAUCAUCAGCUCCCAGGAUUUCGUCACCACGUUGGAUCAAUAGCAAGUAUACCUGCUCGGCGCAAACCUUCCUAACCUGUAAUCCCCAUAUACCAAAUCAUCACGCUGAAUCGUUCUUUGAACGUCUCAAUAUUUGCACACAAUUGGAUAAACUUGCAUUAAAAGAAUGCUAACCACAAAAGUAUAGAGAAACUGACGUACCCUAGGGUAUCUGUAGCCCAGAAGAACUAGUAACUGUUCAAGAGCAUUACUUCGGGCUGGCUCACGCCAUAGAGCGAAAUGACUGAGGACAUUAAUGGCUGCCAACAACUUGGAGACAUCUCUGCACCCUUUUAGAUUACUUUUGAUGAAAUCCAAUAUCUCCGUGGCGAACUUAUCAUCACAAUCCUACGUCAGUUGCCAAUAUUGGUGUGAGUGUACUAGCUUCUGCUUGAAGAGCAAAGAAUUCGUUAUUUCAGGAUCUUCUGUAGUCGGAAAUAAUUAUUUAUGGUAAGCUUUGUUAACAUUCGAGGUUGUAAAGAAACAAAUUCAUGACAGAUGUUGCUAAGCUAAGAAGAUUGAAAAAAGCUUCGGGGCGAAAAUAAGCUGAAAAUACAGUGAUUUAUCAACUCAGAUGUUCUUGAAACUCACCAUCAUAUGUGAGAACACUCCCUUGCAGAACAAAACAUCCACCGUCUGCAAAAACAUCAAUCGCGAAAAAACAAAUCCAAUUUAAUUGGCAAACGUUUGACGAGUUGAAGAUAUGGCACGUGACAAAAACAUCCCAACUAAAUACCUAAGUACCUUUAGUGCUGGUAUUAUCACAACUAAACAUCCCAACUAAAUACCUUUAGUGCUGGUAUUAUCACACGGUCAAUGCCUCGAUUGUUCUUUAACAGCUCUACCAUUUGUCCACCAAGCCAAGCAGAGCUAGAAUCGGUCAGAGCCCCAAUGCCACUUGCUGUAGGUGGAACCUCUUGAAGAAAAUUAAAUAGGGCUUGUGAAGAAACUUUGCCUAGUGAGUCUCCGAGACCUCCAACAGAAAUGACAAUCCCAGAGAGAAGAUAGGGCCGAAACUCGGGGAACUUGAGGAACUGCACAAGGCGAGGGAAGGAAACUGCGGGGGCCUGUAGGCACCAGCACAACGAAUCUACAAAUGAGUAAACCACUUAUUUUUAUCGAAGAAAAGCUAGACUGUAACCAAAAUGAUGUAGAUUUGAAAAAUUACUUUGGCUUCGCAAGGAAAAAGGCACCACCCUUCCACAUAUAUUUGUGGCUACAUUAACUGGUCAACCCGAAUACAUACAUCAGGCACAAAUAGGUGUCAGAAAUAAAUCACAAAAAGCCAAAUUGCAACAAAGGUCAGGAUACGUACUGCCCAAUUCAAACUUGUGUCAUUCGGGACAAUCUGCUCUAGUGCUCUCCUAUGGGGAAUCUGAUCGCUGAUCACUUGAUCACUAUGCAGUAGCUGCUGCAACGUACGUCCAGCCACAUCCCUAACACGAUCGAUCUUCUCCACUGCCUGCUUAGCCAAGCCUCCAACCACUUUCACGGCGAUUUCUUUAUCAAAGAGAGUAUUAGACCAUUCUGUUGUCGAUCCACUGGUUUCCGAUUCUCCAGAAGAACGUUCAGUCCCGCCAGGAGAACAUUCAGUACCUCCAGAAGAAUGUUUAGGCUCUACCUUUCUCUGGUCUACCUUAGUUUCUAAGCAAAGAAGAAAUGAGCACCGUUUCAACGCAUCCAUAGCAGCUUCCCGAACCCAGGAUCCAACAUCUCCUCUAUUAUCAACAGCAUAAUCUUCCAAAGCCUUGAACAACACCUCCAUCACUUCCUCUCUUAUUACCAGUGUCAAUUGCUUGUGAGGCACAAGAGCGUCUGAGGGAAUAAAUAUGUUUGAUAAAGAUUCGCCUGGACCCCCAUAAAGGGUUUCACAAACAGCAGCUAAACCACGCACAGCAUUCAUACGCGUUUCUGCAUCCUGAUCUUCAACCCUCUCCUGUGGUCCACAUCAUUGUAGCUGUUUAAGUCUUCUUAAGAAGUAAGGAGCGGCACCUAAAACGCCCUCAGAAAGACACUUAGAUACUUAAGUGUGAUUGCUAUUACUAAUGAUGCAUAGUAUUGUUUUUACGAAGGAGCAACGUGGAGAACAAAGAUUCCAAAAUUUUAAAAUAGAACAAUCCCUAAGAAGCAAAUCCUUUGUGCUAAAUUGAGGUUCAACAGCACAAAAAGGCAAACAAACGAAUCUCUUGAGAAACAUGAACACAGAACUUCAUGUGGGUACAUGACAUAAACCACAGUUCAUGCUGCUCAUUAACAAGAGUAGGAAAACCACUCCAUUGUCGCAGCAGCAACUCUCCUCACGUCCAGGUUCAGGACGUAAGCAGCCAAAAGAAACUCAACUCCAAAAACUGGUUAGUAAUACAUGGACCACCUAAACUUCUAAAUUUCCACAAAGAAAAAUAUCCUCAAAAUAACCAACUAAGGAGCGUAACUCACCUCAGGGAUAGUAGCCGCGCUAAGUGUACAUAUGACAUCCUUCCACACAGGAGCCAGAAGCUCGCCAGGUAGGGCAGUGAAGGCAAGUGCAGCGCCCCUUUUUGCAGAAGGAUUUGGAUCUGCUUUCAGUAUUUGAACGUACUUCCCAGUAGACCGUGUCACCGUUGUAGCACUUGCAGGCAGCAAAUAGGUGUGGAUGAAUGGCUUUAGAGCUGCCACAGCCGCUGCCUGAACAUUAUAAAACGAAUUUCAAUGAGCUAAAUGGUAGUAAGGAAAAUUACUGAUGAAAAAGAUGAAACGGUUUUUUUAAUCUCAGGACUUUCGUGAAAACCUCCGUACUGGGCACAUCAUAUUCAACAAAUUUAAAUCACCUAUUUGCAAGACAACAAAACUUACCUGAAUAUCACUGUUGGGAUGCUUCAGAUUCUCAUCGAGUGUGUCAUGCAGCGAUUUUUGAAUCUUGGGCGAUAAACGAAUUUUAACUUUAGCAGUGACUUCAAUCAGCCGGGAAACAGCAGAUCGCACAAUUUCCCCACCUUUCCCCCUGUAAAGACGAGCCUUCUCGAUUGCAGGUACAGCGGCGGCAAUGGUUUUCUCUCUAUCUGUCGCAACAAAGCAAAAUACAUUUCAGCUUCCAAACGAUGCGUAACUUAAAAACAUAGACGUAAAACUCACAAUAUUCCAUGUGCAUGCAGAUCAAUAUAUUCCCAUCCACAAAUGCUGUUGACUAUUCCGGGCAAUAAAAUUAACAAUAAUUCUCAAAAUGCAAAUCAGACCAAGCAAAUUCUCAAAAAAGAAUCCAUUUUUUUUAGUUAUAACAUUGAUUGAGACGCAUAAUUUGCAGGUCCUCAUUUCAUAGGUCCCUAACCUGGCUUUAAUGGAUAGCCGCACUCAUGGAGAGCUCGAAUAACUUCUGCGGCCGCUAGUGCGGCACCAUGACGAAGGCCGAGGUCCGGUGAUAGAGUCCAGGGUAGGAGUGUGCCCAGCACAGUCGUCUCAAAAUAUCCCGGAUCAUACUUUACAAGUGCUGCGAGACCCUCUGCAGCUAAUUCACGUAGCGACCUAUCCUAAAACAAAGUCAAGUCAUGAAAGGAAUUAAGUCACUCUGAAGCAGGACAACAACGAAUGACAGGUCUUUCGUAGCUCAUUGUACAAGCUGAGGGAGCAAAAUUAACUCGAGAGACCAUGCCAUAAAAACCUGAAGCGACCAUUUUUCUAAACCAACUUAGAAAUUGGUGUGCUUGACCUAAAGUUCAAGCACUAAGACAAUGAGACAAGAAGUGCUAAAUCGUACCCAAUGACGAAUCUUUGUGCUUAGGAGCUCCUCAAUUAAGCACAGUCGAUAUUCAUCAAACUGGGCUACAAAGGGUCCCACACUUCGAUAAGCAUUUCCUCGUGAGCCGAGAGAAAAGUAAUCUGCAGCAUUGACUAUAUCUAUACCGUGCAAGUAAUCUCCUUGCCUUCCCACACCUUCCUGAAAAGCCGAUGCUGCUGCCCUCCUACAGUUAACCUGUUGCCAGACGACAUAUUGAGAACGCGAUGAGAGCAGAUGCAGUAUGUAUCAGUGUGAUCUCAUUCAAAGGUCCUAAUAACGCAGGCAGUUCAGGCCAAAUCCACAGGUAUCCCUGUAAAGCUAGAUCCUGUCUCCUUGUAUGACUUCCACUAUGUCCACAUGUAGCGUUCACCCGCUACAUUGUCUCAAACAACAGAACCGGACUUUGCAACUAGAUAAAGGCAGUUUCUUAGAGAAUUCAGCAGGAUAACGUAUAAUACACAUAAUCUUAAAAUAAUAGAUGUAUCAGGAGAUGGUUAUAAAAGAAGUGCAAGACCUCGCGAUCAUAGCAGGCAGUGGAGAGAAGAGCAGGGGCCAAAACUUGAAAAUGAGGAUUCAUAAUUGCCGAAGAAUAUGCUCUCACAAAUGCCCAGCAUACAUAUGCCGCUGCAGUCAACAAUAGCGCUAUCUUAGAAUCAUAUCCUACUACAAAGGUCAUUAUGUGAUUGUUUCAGGAGACACUUUUCCGAUGGCAACAAACUAACACGUUAAUAUCCUACUCUUUGUAACAAUUAUUUAUUGAAGAAGUUUUACAAAAGAACUUUACACUGAACUGCGAAUGUGAAUUCCUAAUUUUCAAAGAGAUGUUUGCAAGGGUCCCACGCAGUUGCAUCACCCUAUGCGACCUGUAGACUAGACAAACAGGGACUAAGAAAUCUCCACCGGUCAAGGAGCUAUUACCUUAACUAUUACAGGGACUACUGCAGGCAAGCGUUCAGGCAGCAGAAGACCCCUGCGUGUUAGUUCAGCUAGGGCCAGGCAUCCUCCAUGCCAUGCUCCAUCUCCCUGUAUAUUGUAGAAGGAAUCUUAUGUUGUCAAAUAAUGUUCUCGUGGAUGAAAAUAGUAAGACACUACUGCAUGGGAGAUGAUAUGAUGCUAUUCGUAGAACUAUUUGAAAUUACAAUCUCAAUGCUCCAAGAGGCUUACGAUGGGCACCACGCUUUUCAUGCGCACUUUAAAAAUUCAGAUAGUUUACCUCAGUUGAUUGAAAUAGAUCAAGAACUGAAGCCACCACAUCAUCCGCAAAUGAAAGAGUAAGCCGGCCUGUCACUCGUCCCACACCUUUAGCAGCGGACCACCGCACGACAGUAUCCUGCGCAUUCACACAAGAGAAUUAAUUUGCAUUAAACUAAUCUGCAGCUCAACAUAAAUACUAUACUUAUCAUGCAACUCCCCCUCAAUAUCAACUUGUAACAAUCCAUACCAUGAUGCACACCACAAGAUACGCUCAACAAAUUUAUGGUAAUUAUGGAUGGAAACUGUAAAGUCUUUCCGUUUUCUCAGCAAAGAAAUCGACAACUACGAGCAAUUUGUGCAAAACAAAAUCUUCAUGUCUACUUCUAUAGAAGGAAUUAACUACAAAACCAUGACAAGAAAAUGACUCAUUCAUAAGAUAAUACUAGAAAGAAGUGCUAACAUAUGCUAGUAAAAUGCAGCAAUCUUAAACCCUAAACCUUAGGACAGUUUUCGCUAACCCAACACUCUAAAUCGAGAUUGUGCUUUAAGCUUACUUUGUCACGAAGACCAGCUAAUAAGAACUCAAUAACUUCCUCCAUGAUUUCUGGAAUUUCAAUGUCAUCCUCUGAAACCUCAGUGUCAACACCAGAACUACCAAGAAGUCCAGGAGCUACACUUUUAUCAUUCUUAGAAUGCACAAUAUCAAUAUUUGUGUCUUCACUAACAGCAGUUAGGUUCUGGAUGAGAGACCGACUCCCACGCUGCAAUUGCCACGGCACAAUUAGCAUAACCAAUUCUGAAGAUACCAAACACGAAUUAACAAUACAAAAUCAAAAUAUACCAAUUCAUCGGAAGAUCGAAGCAUCGUGCUAACCCAAAAAGCGUCAAACUCAAUUAGGAAGAGAGUUAUCAUGAUGACAGCGAAGUGAAGGUAGUUAACGUUGGUUUUAUGUCUUCUAAAAACAUGAACAUACUUAAAGUAAACUUAGUAACUUCCAGGUGUACAUUGGCCUGCUCCAGCUUUAACUGAUAGUAGAGAUAGAUAAUUAGUGAAUAUAGUAAAAGAAAAGUACCAUGUAACGCCAUGUGGCAAUUCGGGGAGGAAGAUAUGUGUUGCCAAUACGUUGAAUCAAUUUCACCAAUAGCUUGCGAAGCAAAGGGCUACGGAUGGCUGAUUGGGACCUUGCUAACUUGGAAGCUUCUUGCCAUGCGGAAGGAGCGAUAUCCAGCAAAAUGUCACGACCUCCAACCUUGCGAACAUUUACAAAAUUUCAUCCUGUUUAGUUGUCAUAUGGUAAGAGUAAGGAGUAACAAAAAUCAUAAGAUAUCUGAAAGAAUAUCACAAGAAACGUUUUAUAGAAAAAUUAAUAUAAUAGCUGAUCAAUGCGAAAUGUCUCUUCAGAAUAGAAUAGAAUAACCAUCGGAGUUUAAGAAGGUAUUAUUUAAAGAGUGACCUUGAAUAUGGCAGCAAUAGCCAUGAUGACACCCGGAACUAAGAACACGCCCACCCUGCUAUCUAGUGGUGAAGCUAGUGUAUCAUGUGCCCAUGCCAUGAAACUGCAGAAAUAACAGAAGUGUAACAUGGUCACAACUGGCGCAUCUGAUUAUAAUCUCUCUUCAUAUUAAAUAAGAAAUACAAGGAAAAAUUCGAUUGCUAGAAAAAGCAAAGAUCUACAAACAAGCAUUUCCUUCCCUCAACACAAUGAGCUCAAGAAAUAACAGGGAUUUGACGGCCAUUCAUAAUGAUACAUUUAAAAGGGUACACAAGAAAGGUGGCCGAACCGUCUCAAGGCACCACGCAUAUCAGGCCGGGUUAACAAGCGUGACAAGAGCACCCCAGCCAUCUCCCUUGAAGGCCCCGGGUUUUCCAGAUGAAUAGUGCAUAUGUUGAUAAUUUUCUGCACCAUAGGAGUGGCCUCAUCGUCACCGGCAAGCAUAGUAUCUGCUGCUCUAGGAUCCGCCAAAGAAGUGUCAACUGAAGCUAAGUCAAAAGGUAUCAAAACCAAGAUGGAAAGCCAUAGGAGCAAGCAACAUUUUGUCUCCCAUUCACCAGUACUCUCCUCUUUCAAGAUGCUGCCAACUACAACCUGCUUCACACAUUCAGAUAAUUAGAACAAGUUCAAAAAAGCAAUACAACCCAUGAUAUGCAUUUCAAAAUGCAACGUAGAGCUUUCCGGUCAACCAGCGUAAGUCCUACACUCUGAAUGCAUACGCGUAAGGAUACGAACUGAAGUGAAAGAGUAAGAAGUACAUCUUCCAGGGUGUAGCCUGCGAUACCUUCAGAUGUCACUACCGUAUUGAACAAGCAACAUCACUCAGUCGCACUCCUCAAACGGACCAACUUUAGAAGACACCGUAAGGCAGCGCCAAGUAUUUCUUACCUCCUCUUCACAUUGCUCAAGCAAACCAACUGCAACCUCCAAAUCUGCUGCCUGGUGUGGGAAAAACUUGACCACAGUCUUGUAGCUACAAACGGUCAUCAAAGUGUGAAUCAACGAACAAAUUUUCUUCACCACCUGCGACAUAGAGCAAAAUUAGCGGGUAAAACGACUUUCACAGCUUAUCCAGAACAAAAAUUACAGUGUAACAAUGAAAUCCUCCAAUGAAUAUGGCACCACUGAAGGAAACCUUAUGAAUCUAGGUCGGCGACGGUCAUCAUCACUGAACCAGUAAGUAGUUUGGGAUCAUUUUCCUAUACUGCAACUACUUCACAGUUUUUUCAUAGAUGAUAUGCAUGACCUCAACAUCUGCUAUACAGUCUAGAAGAUCUAUAAUGCUGCUCAUGUUUGGAGAUCAACACACCUGUAACUGUGACUUCGUCAAUUUAUUCCCAUUCAAUUCUAGAACGACUGAUCUAACGAGGCCCAUCACGGGAGUGAUUAUGCCUUCCAAUACAGGCUCCAACAGUUGGCCCUGCUCUUGAUACUUUUCAACCUGUGCGUUCCAAAAAGACAUGAGGGAUGUUUGACUCUUUCAAAAGACUGACUAGCUCACAUGGAACUCUGUAAAGUCUAACAUGAACUAUUUGCACAACCAUACUAAGUGAAUCUUAUGCCGAUGACUUAACCCCUCAGUGUCAUUUCUAUGGACAUGCUUGCAGUGAGACCAAAGGAUUUCAUGAAUUGUUCCACGUACAAGCUGGUACUUCGAUACUGACGUAGGUACUUGAAUCUAAUCAAAGCCCUAAUUCACCACACUGACAAAAACUGCCCUUUAGAGCAGAGACAUAAGUAGGACCGUCGAAGGAUGCAAGCUAUCCUGCGAGGUUGUCUUUCAUGGAUCCAAAAGUCCUUCCCUCUAGGACAAUGUGUUUCAUGAUUGAGAAAUCCUUUUCGACAACAGAUACGUGAGAAACUGUUCAACACAUUAUGUUACUGUUUUCCAGCUAUCCAUAGACAAUCUUCACUCCUUUAAUCCAGUUGUCAUUAUUUUGCAACGCUACAGCAUAUUUGGUGUCAGAACUUCAUUGAAUAAGAGUUUUCAAUAGCUCCAGCUAACAGCUUUUCACUGCGGCGUAAGUGGUUUCGUCAUCAAUUCGUAUUGAACAACAUGAUACAAACAGAAGCACUCACCGACGCCAUAUGCCACCAGCUCUCUAGUAUCUCAAAUAUCAAAGAGGGCAAAUCACAACGCAAAAUAAAAUGACUACAAUUUUCCCAGUAAUGUCCACCACAGGCAAGGCGCGAUCAAAUAUUGCAAUGUCGAUUCCAAAGGCAGAUAUUAGGUUGCAACAGGGACAAAAACCCCCAAAUCCUACUUGCUUCAAUUAUCCAGUAGACUCGCCGAAAUCAAGCUGCGGGAAAAAGGAAAAAAACAAGCAAACUCGCCUCAAGCAAAAAUACAAAAACUGCAAGGCGAUCUUUGUACAGAAACUACGAAUCGCUCGAAUACUACUAUUAAGAGCCAAGGUAACGCUUACAAUGACUUGCGCCUUUUUGAAAAUGGCAGGAUCGGCGUCGCCCUCGGCGUCCAUAAUGGCGUUGACGACGGACUCGAGCACUUCGACAUCUUGCUUAAAAGUCCUGUGCAAUCCAUUGGUGAGUGAAUCAUCAUCAUCCUCGUGCUGUUCCAUUGUCGAUCCAAGUGAAAAACUGCUGGGUCGACCUUGAACUGUUAGUUCUCGAAUGCCCUCUGCUUCUCAGGCGCUCACCCUGUCUUGCAAAUCGAAGCAGGUGCAGUUCGGGGAGUUGCUCUUCGUGGAUGAACGUCGUUGCAACAUCGUCGACGGUAUCACUUCUCCGGCCAGUCGUCGACGGCGAUCACCUGUGCCCAAGGUUUUUCGAUGUUCGACACUGGGUUGUCUAUUGCGAUUGAAGCAUAUUCACACGUGCAAGGACCAGUUUCAAGGUAAAAUAAAAAAUGAAAAAUAAAUUGAGGGACGCACCUUCAAUCCUGAUUCAGGGCACUUGGGCCGUCUUCACAUGCCUCGGCCCAGCACUACCUUUGGGUCUUCACCCUUCCUUUCCCAAACAUGCAUCGAUUCGUCUUUGUCUGUGAAGAGAUGAGGAAAGCCUCAGCAUACAUCUGCAUCGACUUUGAGAAUCUGCUCAUAAAUGUCGAAUGGAAAAAAACAUUGCGGGCAUGUACAGGGUAGGGCAUCAAUGUUUGGACACCUGCUGGGGGCUGUUGAGAUCUGCUUAUUCACUGUGCAAAGCACAUCGAGUUCUUCGUCUAAUUAACAAAAGAGAUCGACAUACAUUUCAAAAUUAUGAAGGUUUCUCGUGGAAUUGUUUCCCAUUGCAGAGCCAGGCGAGCAUUUCAAGAGGAAGACAACGAUUUGUGUGGUAAAUUGGUUGCGAAAGAUGAGUGAAAGCACCGAAAGAUUCUCUUGAAGGAUGCAAAAUGCAAGUGCAUCUUCAUAAAAAAGAAAUAGUUCUUUACUGAAAUUUUCUACAACCUGGAAUUAGUAGCCGCUUAAUGGCGGAAAAUUUUACCCCUCAUAUAUAUGCCCAUUUCCCUGCACCCAAAUUCUGUCCAAAUCCUUCAUAUUCUCAACUGUGUGGAGCUUAUUUUGAUCAACAGCACGGCAAUUUCGACACACAUAUUUUAGAGAAGUCUGUGAGUAAAUCGUCGCCAUGCCUUCACAUGAGCCAACGUUGAAUUUACCUAAUCCAUGGGCAGCCGUUGGACGUGAUACAGAGGCUGGUCGAGCACUCUUCGCCCUGUACAAUGGUUUUAGCCAUGCCAGAAACCGCGGAAACGAUUACUCAGAGAUUAACAAGAUAAAGACCUUGAGGCACACUGCAACGCACGGGGUGCCAGAAUUUCCUGCAGCCAGACCUCCUCCGUCAAAGAGACCUGAAGUGAAGGUACCGCACUUUGCUCACAGAAGCUGCUCUUCCGAAUCUCAUCCUGUGGAUUUUAUUCCACGCAGACGGAGAGCUUCUGAUAUUUUGCAACGAAUUAGGGAUGAGUCGUACAUUGCGGAACUUCCUCCAAUGCCAAAAGGCCCUCUCUUAGAUGAAGCAGAAAAGGCGCGUUUGCAAGAGGUCUUCUACUGGAGCAACCGUAACCUCGGACCCGAUCCACCAGUAGCAGAGCCAGUGCGCAGAAUACCCAAGAAAGGCUCGAUAGAGGAACAGGAGCUGCUUUUGAACGAUAUUUCGCAAGAAAUCGAGGACCGCAAGACAUUCCUCACCGAAAUGGAAGAAUAUGGCAGGGGUGAGCAAUAUCGCGGUCAAAUCAUGUUCGAAAUUCAGCAGCGCGUGGAGCAGAUGAAGCUUUUGCACGAAAACAUCAUCAAAUAUGAGAGGAAGCAGGGCUUAAUGCAAACCAAGACAGAAGCAGCUCCACCUCCGAAAGUUCUCACUGCAGAGACAAUGUCAGUUCAUCAGGAUCAAGAGCAAAAUGCGAAUACUAAACUUAAUACAGCAUCACUAAUACAAUUCGAGAAUGAUCCUCAAUUAGAUAGAUUCUCAACUUCUACCGACAAAGUUCACACAACCCUCCGCCCAUCUUCAAGAUCAAGGCGAACGGAGACGCCAUGUAGCAGACCAUCGCAACUGAAGUCCUCGCACUCGGCACAUGUAAGGGCAACUCGGAAUGAUGUAUCCGAAUCCUCCGCGCCGAAUGCUUAUUCACUGCAGCGAACGCCCAAGCCACCAUCAUUUCCGAUUACUGAUCCGAAGAAGAGGAACUCCACUUCGAGUGUGUCUAAGUCGAGGCUUCAGUCCAUUAGAGCAUUUUCGGCCAACUCGGCAAGUCAAAAUGGUUCAACUGCGAGAAUUUCCUUGACCAGCGACCUCCGAGACAGAGAAAAUACUAUUGGGCAAGGUGGGAGGAAUUCGCAUGGCCAUAACGAUGGCAAUUCGGUAUACAUGACAGACACGACUUUGAAUUCAAAUAAGGAUUAUUCAUCGGGACCCACUCCUUCGACUUAUGAUUGCUCAACAGUAGUUUGCUCGCCAACCAGUUGCUCACCAGUGCAUUCACCCCGCGAUUACAAUAACUACAUUCAAAACUACAAUAAUCAAGAAUGCGCGCGAGAUUACAAUCAAAGUUGACUAGAGCUCGUGCCAAGCCUCAAGAGAGGGAGAAAGAAACCUGCUGAUUAGUAUCAGGUGUACUCUGCUCUUGUCAAGUGGAAUACUAGUGCUAUCUUACCAUCUUUCCAUCUGGAUAUGCUGCCCCUGCGUAACUUUGUGGGUAUCAACGUGCACGUCACUUUUAGUCCAUGCCCAUUUUCUUGCGUUUGCGUUGCCCUGCUUCAUUGAUUAAAGUUUGUUUCAUGCUGCAUUUGCACGAUCUGCAACUGUGUCUAAGAGGGUUCGGAAAUUCGUAGGCCAAAGCAACUGGAUCAGAAGAGUGUAAUCACCGAAGAGUCAUCUGCAGAGUGUUUCUUGUGGUAGUCCAUGAUAAUAACCUAACUAUUGCAAGUGAAGAAAUGUCCAACUUUCUGUCAAAUUUAGCGAAAUCGUAAUAAGUGUGGUUGCCCUCAUGUGUGCUAGUUGAGGUCGAGAAGGCCCCGAUCGCUCUCUCCCUAGCCAACCUCAACCUACUGAUUUGAGAGCCUAGUAACACACAUCACUUUGAUUUCAAGUAGUUUUCUGUUGUCGCGGCAGCAAUCGUGCACUUCUGAUUUGUUUCAAUCAGGAACAACGUCUUCGACGGGCAAACACCUUCAUUAUCUUUUUGCGGUGAGGUAUGUAUUUGUUGUUGGUGCAAACCUUCUAUCAAAAAGCACACAAUGAUCUUAAAAACUAGUCCAGUUUCCAUUUCCUUUUCGUCCUUCCGCCGACUUUUGCAAAUCCCAAGUGUCAUGGACGUUUCGGGAGCAUUCUCGAUACGUGACGAGAGAUUCGAUAGAGACAAGGUUGCUGUAGUCACAGUUUGAAGAGAGAUUGAGCAGUAGUGGAUGGGAUUGGCGAUGAGGAGGGUUACGUUUUUAUUAGCUGAUGGGCUACGUUGAAAACACUUGCAUCUCAACAGCCUGUGAGUGGGGUUGAUAUGAGGAAAUGAGUGAAGUCAGCUGCUGGCGGUAAUUCGUCAAAAAUUGAAGUUCUGGCUUCUGCAUUUUGCAUUUAAGAAGGCGAUGAUGAGGAGUGAAGUGCAGGGCAGAGAACAUUGGUUGCGCAAUUAGUCCUUCUUUCUAACAGAGAACCCAUUGGAGGGGAGAGCGGUUGAAGCGCUCUUCGUUUGCGACCCCGGUAGACUAUUCCUGUUAAGAUUCUGUAUGUGUAGUUUUUUUUUCUUUUUUUCUUUUUUUUCUUUUUUCUUUUGUGUGUGUGUGUGUGUGUCCUCUUCUUCAAGGAAUUGUGGGUUGGUAUGGUUACGGGGGGAAGAGAGUGAUUUUAAAAUGAGAGUAUCAAUUGUGUCGAGCAGUUUCUCUGCGUACGUUGAUAACCAAGUUGUGUACAAGAUAGUCAACCUCAGAAAUUGGGCGUGUGUAAGAUUCAUACCGGUGUUAAUACAAGUUUUUAAGACCUAACUCUUAUCUAGUAUUCCUCACGCCAGCCUGUGGUUGCCAGCCUCAAGCCACGACUUUGAAUUUCACUUACACUUUCUGGUCUUGAUUUCGUUGUGAGAUUAUCUCUGUAUCUGACUCUUCCUGCAAUGUUUGAAACUUUCGACAGUUUUUUUGUAUUCCUCUUUUACUGUGGGAUUCUUUUAAAAGAGUAAGAGCGUUAGGGUGUCUCAGCGUCUCAACCGGAUGUGGUUCAGCACGUCUUGUGUUUUGAAACCAUAAGCUUGCAGUGUUAUUAUCCUGUCGGCAAAUGCUGCUCACCAUUUCUGUCAUAUCGAAACCGUCUUAAAGUGGACUUUACACUUCACUAUUAAGUUUUAGACUUAAGAGUAUGGGCAGGUUUUAGAUAAGUACUUUGCGCCGGUGGCGUUGUUCUAUCAAAACACUCCGAUUUGUCGCUAUGCAAAUUUGGAGCCUGAUGUCUCCACAUGUGAAUGAAUUGGAGGUCCUCAACCAGUUAAGUGUUAUUUUCGAGCUACACACGAGUGUACUCGCAGGAAACAUUUAGUACACUUAGAGAGCUCUGAAUUUGGUUACAACCAUGCUGCAAGUUAUUGCAGAAAGUCAUGAAUACUGAAAAAGUUUCACGUUGUUACUAUGUAUCGGUUCCGCAUGCGACAUCAUUAUUGUUUAUUGUCUUAUUACUGUCAAAAAUUGCGAAAUCCAUAUCAGUUCCAAAAUGUAAAUUGUUCUUAAGUGGAUCUUGCAGAUUUCUAGGUCAUAACAAUGGAAACAUUUUAGAUCAUUGGCUUUGGCCUUUGUUUUCGACUGGAGAAGAACGAUGGAACUCAGUAGCAAGUCAUUGUUCACUUACCAAUCUUCUUCAGCAAAUCCCUCGGUACCUUUCAGAAAAUUGGAAGUCGGAAAAGUACACAAUUCUGGUGAUUACAAGAAGAGAACUGUAGGGCAAGAGAUACUGUAAACUGUAGCAUGUUUCCAAGUCUGACUUAGAAGAGCUAGGGGGAAAACUUGAGCUACAGAACAUAAGAAGUUGAUCAGCUUGCAGCCCUCGUCCUCAAAUAUAAGCAAGUUGCCAAAUAUUAAGACUUCAGUGUUCAUGGGGCUAACACCAAGUAGACCAAGUUCACACUCCUUGAGUGUAAAGAAAACUUCAAGGUUGUUAUUGUCUUGGUAUUAUUUAGAUUUGAAACCGAAUAGCAUUACUUCGAAUGACUUUCAUACUGAUCGAAACCAAUGGUCUUCGCCCUGUGCGUCCAGGCUGUCUCCGGGUGCACGAUCAGAGGGAGGAACUGAAGCCCUGAAAGAAUCUUCGAAUCUAGCGGAUAGCCUUGCGUUAUCUGAUACCGAAGAGUCUCGUGCUGAAUCACCUUCUUUAUCUGAAACUCUGAGAUCCUUACGACAAGCGUUCGUAGUUCCAAGACGGAAAGGAAAAUCUGCUAAGAAAACUUUUGCUACCUCCAAACCAAGUGUUCAAGAAACUCUCCAACAGCCGGAAACACCGCCAUUUGUGGCAGACUCUGGAAGUCCUCAAGUCAGAUCUAAGCUUCUCGACGAACUACAUCAUCCGUUAGAAAAUGAGGAUGGGAGAAGUGGAGGAGCAACAGCAGACAAACUUGUAGAUAGUGAUGAAGCCAAAAAGAUGAUAGAACGUUAGUGGGAUCAAAGACCCCAGGGUAUGCACAAGCUAUUUCCAAUAUGGUGAAGCAGAGAAGUCAGGGUGUCGCAGUGGAAGGUGAAGCAUUUUCUUAUGCAGUCGACCCUGAUAUGUUGUCACCUGGGGAGUAUGUUGUGCACAAGCGGGUUGGAGUAGGAUGUUUCAUUGGCAUCAAAUACGAGGUGCCUGCAGGGAAAUUGAAACCCGCUAAUUAUAUUUACUUGAAGUAUACCGACGGAAAAGCAAAGCUGCGGGCAAAACAGGCAAAUAGACAUCUCUAUAGAUAUUUUUCUCCUGCAGAUGUGAGUCUCGCACCUUCUCUAAGCAAGCUAAAUGAUCCCGGGAAUUAGGAGAAGAAAAUGAAUAAGGGCAAGGUAGCAAUACAGAAACUUGUGGUCAACAUGAUGGAGCUCUUAUCCAUCGCUUGAAGCAGACCCGACCUGUUUAUCCCAAAGACUUGAAAUUGAUCGCUUCUUUUGCAGCCAACUUUCCAUCCACUGAAACACUUGAUCAGCAGCAAGCAAUUGCAGACGUGGAGAGGGACAUGACAAAGAGGGAAACGCCCAUGGAUCGUCUCAUCUAUUGUGACGUGGGUUUCGGUAAGACGGAAGUAGCACUUCGUGCAUUAUUUAUAGCUGAUUCCGCAGGUAGACUAGCAAUGGUGCUUGCUCCGACCACUGUUUUGGCUAAGCAACACUAUGAUGUUAUUCGCCAACGGUUUGCUGGGUACGACACGAAAGUGGCUCGCUUGAGUCGUUUUAAGAAGGACUGGGAAAAGAAGGAGGUCAUAGCUGGUAUUUCUGAUGGAAGCCUUAGCAUUGUUGUUGACACUCAUUCUCUCCUCGGGAGCCAAAUACGAUAUCACAACCUUGGCCUUCUGAUUGUGGAUGAAGAGCAGAGAUUUGGGGUCAAACAGAAAGAGAGAAUCACUUCCGUGAAGACUACGGUUGAUGUUCUGACGCUAUCUGCUAUUCCAAUCCCUCGCACUUUGUAUUUGGCUCUCAGUGGCUUCCGGGAUGCAAGCCUGAUAACCACCCGGCCGGCGGAGGGGCGACCUAUCACCGCUCAUUUGAAGGAGUUCAAUCCCUACAUAGUUAAGAAGGCCAUUGACUUUGAACUAAAACGUGGUGGUCAAGUGUUCUAUGUGGUGCCACCAGUGAAGGGUAUGGAAGAAACUAAGGCUAUUCUAGAAUCUUAUUUCUCAGACAUUGGAAUUGGUUUGCUCACGGCCAGCAAAGCCCAGCUGCUUUGGAGGCCCAUGGAGCAGUUCAGCAAAGGAACCUACCUUAUCCCCCUCUGCCCCAGUAUCAUGGAGAGUGGGCUGGACAUACGUCGGGUGAACACCAUCAUCAUUGAAGACGUUCAGCUAUUUGGUCUAGCGCAGCUCAAUCAGCUGCAAGGAAGAGUCGGAAGGUCCGAUAGGGAGGCCCAUGCUUACAUGUCACACCCCUCCAAAGACCUUCUCUCAGACGAUGAAUAGGAACGCUUGGUUGCCCUGGUAGAUUACUGUGGCCUAGGUUUCCAGCUUGCCGAGCGUGACAUGGCCAUCCGAGAAAUUGGCAGUGUAUUCAAGGAGAAACAAAGUGGGAAUGUUGCCAAAAUUGGCGUGGAUCUUUACCUUGAAAUGUUGUUUGAGGGCCUUUCGAAUGUUGAUCAUCAAAAGCUCCCUCAGGUUGCGUUUGAGGAGGUUCAGCUGGAUUUUGCAUGAAGCACGCAUAUUCCCAGGGACUAAGUGACAAGAGCUGCAUUACGGGACAAUGUUCUGCGGGAUGCUGAAAGAGCAGCCAACGACAGCAUGAAUGCUCUUAUGCAAUUCACGCAUCGUCCACGGAGUGAGUAUGGACCGGACCCUUCCUCAGUGGAGGUGCUGCUCAAAACCUUGUACGUGAAAAGGAUAGCAGCAGACUUGGAAUCCAUCGUAUCCGCACUCGUGGCAAGACAAUGGAAACCAACAUGGAACCGGAGGCCUUUGAAAUGCUACGUUGCGCCACAACUUCCGUUUCUGUCCACGAUUCUCUUACAUGUGAAACUGGUAGAAUUAAAAUGAAAGGCCUCAUAGGAUUGCCCAUAGAACGUCAACUGGAUCGGGUGUUCUGUUGUUUGGCAAAAAUUUGCGCAACCGCCUUCCGUCUUUUGUGAAGUACAUGUGAACGAAGGUGAUGUAGCGAAUGUAUAUUAAGAUGUUGCAGCUAUAUCCUUAGAACUACGAGGCAAUUUACAUUGAUCAAUAGUCUCCAUCUGAUUCUUUGCCUGACUGGGCUGGAGUCCCAACAGUUGGCGUGGUCAUUGACGUCGAAGCUGGAUCGCCCACUGUUCUUCCAAACAAAUUCAUUGCAUUAAUUUUAGAGCUAGAUGGGAAGAAAUUGUUGCUUCUUUAAAGCUCUGACAAACUUACCUAUCUUCUCUCCUCACUAGUUACAAUCGUCGGUACCUUGCUGGUUCUGCUGACACCCGAGCUUGCAGGAUGAGACAGAAAUGUAUGGAAUCUAAACAGGGAGCUGUCAACCCCAAUUCAGCUCCAAGUCAAAAAUGCUAAAUACUGGGAUGAAAUCCGUGAGCUUUUGAAUCUUUUUUUUUUUUUGGAGACGGUAGCACAUGCGUAUGUGUACUUUUCAUAGAGAUUCUUGCUGAUUACCUCAAAUGCGCUAGUGUAUUUACUGUGCAUUUUUUAAUGAGAAACUUUUUUUAGAAAGAGGAGAAUAUCCUUUUACAGUUACCAAAAUACCUCUAGACUAUGGAAGGCAACUGCCUUUGCCUUCCCACAACACUAGAGAGGUUCCAAUACACACUUUGUAUCUGUUGAUAUGGAUCGUUCUAAGUGAUUCAUACUAGCAGUAAAAUAGAAUGAACUUUGGUUAAACUGGGUGCGUAACAUUGUUGAAGCACAGUUUAAGAAUAAAUAAGCUUUAGAAUUUUAAGAGAAUUUUUAUGCUAUUGAACUACAAUAUAUAAGUUCAUACAUGUUCGAUAAUUAUUAGAAUAUAAUAAAGGAGGAAAUUAAAUCUUUAAAAAAAAUGUUUCAAAGAUGUCACAAACACAGUGAAUAUAACAUGUAUGAAAUUAACAAAGAAUAUAACAUUAUCUUAAAAGAAACUUUGUUCUUUAAAGAUAGAUUGACAUUUUUUGUUUGGAAGCUAUGGUUUCAUAAUCAUGCAUCGGUUGCUUUUAAAUCCUCAGUUUCCUGAAACUCAAAAACACAAAAUAAAGAAAAACAUCAUUGGGGAGAGGCAACUUCACAAGGGAAUGGAACCAUGUGUAUUUUUUUUCAGAAUUGUUUUGGAAGUCAUUUCCCUCAACUGAUCCCUACUAUGAGCCCAAUUCAACGUACAAAAUCAAGCACUUCCAACCAAAGAAUGUAAUGCAAAACAAAGGAGAGAGAAGAAGCAAUUACAGCAUCCAUUGGCAACACUAGAAUGUCAAGUUUCAUCAGACAAGUGAGUGCGAAGGCUCCAAAGCUGCAAGCAUGGAUGGAGUAGUAGACCUAGUUUGGGUUCAAAUCUUGUGGAACUGAGCGUUGCAGCCAUGGCAACAGAAUGCGAUGCAGCUCACAAGAAUAGCACACCAUGACCCAGUCUUGUGCUGCUUGUGCUUUUUCAAGACGGCAUUGAAGCUGCAAACGAAACGACGAUGAAGAAGAGGAAUAGAAGAUGGCAGGAUUCGCAGGCUAGGUGGCGAUGGUGGUGGAGAAAGCUGGGGAGCAGUGAGACAUGGCGAGGGCGACGAGUGUGAAUAGCGGCACCAGUUUCUGACUCAGCCCAGAUAUCUUCGAUGGCGGCGCCGCGGCCAGCUCGUGUUUCCCACUCAGCGUCUCGACGUUGUCGAUCAUGGGCCCAUACUUCUCCGACAUGCUCUCGAACUUGAUCACCGUCGAUACCCCCGUGCCUGUGUACACGAAGCUCUGCUUCGUCCACGUGAUCUGCGACCUCGAGUCGGUCAUGUUAUACACCGGCUGCUUGAUCGCAUAUUCGCGAACAGUGCCACCUUGGAUGUUCGACACCUUCAGCGCCGGCCACAGGUUCAUGGGGGCGUCCGGCAUCCGAGCCACGUCGUAGUGCACCGUGUAGGUCUUGCCCGUCUCCGCGUUGGCGGCCAGCGUCGUGGAUAUGGUUCCUUGCGUGCCGUUGAUAAUGGCAUCGGGGUUGUUCAGGUGGAUGCAGUACACGCUGGGCGUGCCCUUGGCCAUGCUAUAAUUGGUGUUCACAAGAAUCUGAACGCCAGCGCCCCCAGCUAUCCAGUUGGGGAUGGAGGUCGACGUGCUGUCCGCCAAGGUGGUAGUCAUUGCCGUUAUAUUAGUUAACUCAAAAUCGCCGUUCGCCAGUGAGAUCGUGUCGCCUGAUGAUUUCGGCGCCGGAGCAGCGGAACUGCUAAAGGUGCUAAUGCCAUCAUCUUGGAACUGCAAUUCGCCUACGGUCUUCACUACAUCCGAGCCCAACUCUCCGGAACAGCUAGACGUGCUCACCCAGCACACCGCCCACAGGAAAACCACGCUUACAAUCAUGGUCGUCGGUGACCUCACUCCAGACAUGGUGUUCAUUCCUCUGCAUCACAACCAUGCAUCAGCGUUCCAAAACUUUCUUAUUACGUCUUGCUUGAGUUUGUGUCAGCGUAGUUUUUCAAUUACGUCCAUCAGAAGUUGGACAUCUUCAUGAAUAUAACGAAGUCCAUUUUUGUCAUGCUGAGGAAUGUCUCAGAAGAGUAAGACUUAAGAAGGAAGUGUAGAGCUAUGGAAGGGCAGAAUCAGCAGAAUCAGAGACAUACAUCGCAAUAAAGUUCAGCGGCAUAUACUAAUCACACAUUGAGAAUUUCCAUACAUACACUAGGCAAUGGACCCGCGAAUAAUCGUAGCUUCAUGAAGCUAUAUAAGUAGGUCCUGAUCAUUGCCAGCAAUUCGAAAAUUCUAUGGUAAGACAAGUUAGUGAUGGAAAGUGUUCAUUACUUUGGACACAUCGAUGAUGAAUGUCUCCGCCUUCGCACAGAUGGCUUCCAAUUCUGCAAAUAUCCUGAUCCUGACGAACAGUCAAUGUUCCUUCCCAUGUCAAUAAUAUCUUUUAAACUUUGUAAUUUCGACAAGCUGAAGUUCUUUAGAAGAGGAAAAUAUUUUCACGUCUGGAAUAGGACUUUUAUGAAAGCAAUUGCUCGAUUAUUUUACCUCAAAAGAACAAAUCGUUCAUACAAUUUUUUUCUAUCUGAAGCCCACAUCCACCGUCAAGAGAAUCAAUUUAUUGUUUAGAUCCUCUUAUAUUCUGAAUCUAGUGACGCUUCUGUCAUAAUAUCGCAGCGCUAAAAUGCCAGCUUUCUAUCAUAUUUUCUGUCCGAGUGAAAAACAAGUCUAUGACGAACUCGGCCAACACACGCUUGAGAGGCAGAAACAGACCCUGCAACAACGUCAGGCUAAUCACAAUUUGGCGCUCCUAGUCAUAGAACUUCUGAAAACUGAAGUGCUUCUGAACGAAACAUGCAUAAGUCGAAGACUAUCCAGUCCCUGUCAUCGGGCAAGCAAGAGAGGUUCUAAACCAGGGCGUGCCUGAUCCGAUCUCAUUAGCAACGCUCAUGACCCACCUUCCGGAAUCUCUGCACAUGGCAUCUCCUGGAAACAUCACUGUGAAGGACUUGCAGGAGACUAAGAUCUGCAUGCGAUUGGCGACCUCACAGUGAACAAGCUGUUCUCAUGUGGGGCACCGGAGACACCACGUAACAUCACCAGUAACUGUUGCUUCUUAUGCAGCAUGUCCUCCCUGCAACUGCCGCACAAAGAACAGUGAUGGUUCAUGUGAUGCCCCCUAGAAUCUCAUAACCGACACUUGCAGGCUCAGACAACAGUGAGGAUGGCCUAUUGAUGAGUGGCAGCAUUGUAAAAAACAUUCGGCGUGGUUUUUAGGAUUCUGAUUGACCUUAGAAUCGGUGUUGUGUUGCUGCAGACUAACAAAUGCGAAGGAAAACUGGUUUGGACUCAAUACUUGUGUUUAGGAAUCAUGUUAAAAUGGCAAAUGAGAACAUGAAAUCAGUAACCAAGUAGUGAUGUUAAUAACCGAGUGCUUUCCACUUCUGUAUAUUGUGUUUGAGAGUUGUAGGAGACUUGAGCAAGCUCUUGGCGAGAUACUAGAAUUGGUGGCUCUUGGUGAUGUGUCUAGGUAUUGGUGAUGUGAGGUUGGUGUGGGUUUGCAUAACCUCAAUUAAUUAACUGCUUAUUUUAGGUUCUUUUUCCACGAGUCUUAUCAUGUGAAAUUCAUUUAUGAAAAUAUUUUGGUUUACUUCCAAAUUACACUUUAAAACUCAUGACUAAAGAAAACAAGCUUUGAGCACAACAUGAUUUUUUAAUAAUGAAAAAAGGUUAAAUAUAUCAUUUAUUAUAUUAUAAAUUCAAAAUAAUAAUAAUAAUAAUUGUAGGAUAUAUGCUAGUGAAAUCAACAAUCAAUUGUAGUAGUAAAAUUUGCAAAUUUAAUAAUUAAUAAAUUUGAGUCUCAUGCCUAAUUAUUAUCUUUCAAGUCACAUUAAGACAAAUUCUUUUUAAAUUCAAUAGAUUAUGCAAUCAAUGUAGUACUAUAUCUGCUAAAACAAAAAUAUUUAAUUUACAUAAAAAUAUAUAUUAACCAUAUAAAUAAUGAUGAUAUAUAUAUAUAUAUAUAUAUAUUAAAAACAACAUAGUUUUAAUAUCCAAAGUUUUAUUAUCAUAUUAACAAUGAUGUUAUUAUUUUAUACAUAUUUUUAUUUAUAAUUUAAUUUUAGCUCAUUUUGUUACUCCAAAGAUUUGUUAUGCCAAAAUAAGACUUCAUUAAGAGAAUGAGAUAGAUGAAUGAUUUAUUUUUAUUAUGCUAUCAUCAAUCCAAGACUUCUAUUAUAGAGUCUUUAUAUGUUAGAGACAAGGUGAGAAGCCACAUUUUUAAAUCGUUUAAUUGCUUGAAAUCAAGAAACCUUACUAAGUUGGUUUUACAAUAAAAAUAUGUAGUUCAAAAAUCUUGAGAAGAAAACCUAAGAUAGAAUGCAUUCUUGCCUUAUACAACAUAGAUAGUAUUGUCCAUGGAAAUUUCAAUUGAAUCUAUCUCGAAAGGUAUUUUUUCAGAAAAAAUUGAGAAACAGUGUCAAAACAUCUUUACACAACCAGUAAGUAAUAGAAAAAAUCAUAAAACCAACUUUUUUGUACUAAUCACAAUUCUCAGAAUGACGAUAUGGAUUGACAAAAGUACACUUGUAAUAAAAGAAUGACUUGGUUCAUGUCAUGUUUUCUUUUCACUUUGUACUAUCCGAAGACCCAGACUUUUGAACCAGAGUUUUUCUUCACGCAACAAGUAAUAUUAACCAAUUAUAAUUAAACAAAUAAAUAAAUAACUAUGCCCUUUCAAUUUCGUAUUCUAGGCAUGAAAACACCAGCCAUUUUCAUUCAAUUGUUCCAAUCAUUUUCACACAAUAUGCGAUUUCAGUAAAGGAGAAUCUCAUUCGCAAGCUUUGGCUCACGGCAUAAAAGCCACAUAUCGAUAUCAAUGGUUUGAAAGAAUAAGACACGUCACUUCGGAUUCAGCUCCACGACUCUUUCAUUAUUUCCAUCGUCAUUGCACUAAUUCGGCCACAAUCCGGUUGACUCACUCAUUGUCACAGUUCUAAGCAUCUGCUACAAUAGUGUAGAGAGCGCACGAUAGCACUGCAAAUAGGAGACAAUGGAUAACCACAUUUCAUAUCAGUGCGGUCCGAAACAGUAAGAAACUGCCGGCUUUUCAUUGAAUUAGGAUAAGGAUUUCGUGAAACAGAAAAAUGCGUAUUACUCUACCACAAAUCGCCAAAAUGUCCGCAGACAUUACAAUUUCUAAGCAGUUCAAGACGUUUUGAACAAGUCCAUCACGGUAGGCUAUGUACUCCCUACUGACAACCUACUUUGUUUGAAUGCCGUUCGAGUAAUUUGUACACGUAAUUGAACAUCUUAACAAUAUCUGCCUUGAAUAGGCAUUUGAGGAGACAUCAUCGCAGUGGUCUUCAGAUGCAGGGCGGUACCUUGCACAACGAUGCAAGCCGUUGAUGCGAAGAGCAUUACCAAUUCGUGCUCUACCACUCUAGAUACUACAUGGCGCGAGUCACAGUUUCAGUGUGUGAACCAGUGCGCUUCGCUGACUUUUUUUCACGUCGUUCGUUCACUUUGAACGAGCUGGUCAGCUCUCAUCUUAGCUUGGUAUUUUGCUCUGCAAGCCUGCAACUUGAAACAAACUCAAUCAAAACGUAUUAUAUAUCGUUUAGCGAGAAGAAACACCCAGCCAGGUUAGCUAACAGCAAGUUCAAAAUUGCGCACGGCACAGCAAGCAAGGAAAUUGCACCUUAGUAGUGGAAUGAAAAGGAUGUUGACAGUAACGGUUGCGGUGAUUGUAGAUUUAGAGAAAUAUCUUUUAGCGGAGAAGAAACAGGUGUGAUAUUUUUCUUAAUUAUCGCUUCUUUCACUUGUUUCCGAAGCUUGCGCAGGCUCUUCGGGACCUCAGUUCCAACCUUCCUGCCAGAGUUCUCCUUGUCAGCUUCACCAGCACAAUACGUAUUCGUCCCAACAGAACUGAGUCUGAGGGCAACCUGGUUCGCACCUUCGUUAAGCUCGUUGUUGCUGCUUCCACAGUCCAACCCAUUCUCCAUAUACAAAAGCGACGGACAUCGGAGUGGGGAGUUGUCUACCAAGUGGGCUAGAGAAGGACUCUUCACUGGAGAGAUUGAAUCCUCUCCCAUGUGGCUGACCAAAGGGCUCUUCAUUGGGGAGCUAUCUUUCAUGUCUGCUAAUGAGGGGCUCUUCACGGGCGAGGAUGGGUCAUCGCUGUAAUUUGCCAGGCGUUUCAGAGAUUCUGGCUCUACUGCAUCAGAAACGCCUUUUUUCGCUAAGUCAGUGUCCACGUAAACCUCAAGAACGGGAGAUCUAGCCUUGGCUUUUGUCCUUUUGGUCUUCGCUUUCCUCUUUGCUGUUAACGCCUUCUCGGUGACUGCCUUGGGCUCGACACACUCAGGCUCCUUGUCCAGGUUAGCAGAGUGUCCCUGGUCAGCUGUAAAACCCAAACCUAUUAGAAUACGACUCCUGUUAAGUGGGCAAGGAAUGGAAGGUUCAACGCUGUCGAAGUCGAAUUGAGAUAAGGCGAGAGAUUGUACCGAGUCCAAUAGUUCUACCAUCGUGGGGAUCUACUUCAGAGACUGUUGCUGGUGCAGCUUCAAUCUCAACUGGAGGAUUCGUCGAACGAGCUCCUUUCUUCGACUUCUUGCCUUUCCUGGUUGCCGGCUUAGGUUCCUUGACGGAAGACUUUAUGAUUUGAAUAUCAUCUGAGCCAAUGUCAAAAAUCAGCACAUUGUUACCCAUUACGUUAAUGCUCGCACAUUACAGUCACAUGACAUCUCUGCUGCUGAAGGGAGAAGAGAAAACCAGUUCGUAAAAAUUGCCAAGAUGAUCGAUUUCGGUACCGCAGAGCUCCUCUUUAUCGAACGCCGCCGGAGAAGUCUCCACCUCAUUCGAAGGUAGUGCAACACAGGAUCCAUUCUCUGCCUUCAUUCCUUUCUUAGAUGUCAGAUUAGGUUCUGCGGCCUUCUCUUCUUGCAGUGCGUAUAUCACGGCUUGACCUAGAUCUGGUAGAAACAAUAGGCGUACAUCACGUAAAUUAACUAGUAUGUCGCGAAUACGUCACGACAGCUUGCAGCACUAAAAAUAUCAAGAGGUAGUUACCAAAGUGGAAAUCCCCAACGUCAUUGAGCCGCCUGUCGUUAUCAAUUGCAGGAGCUUGUUCUGAAGGUAAUGCAGCAGGCGCUACUCUCCUCGCCUUCCUGUCUCCCUUAUUCGCAGGCUUGGAUUUCUCAACCUCGUGAGCUUGAGACUCAGUUAGCAUUUCCUGGGACUGAAGCGGUCCUGAACGAAGGCACAAGCGGGUGUUAGAUCAUGAAUGAUGUAGUGACUGGACGCUGGAAUGCCUAACGUCCAGAAAAGGCCUGAGAAGGAACCAUAUGUAGGGAUUAACACUACCAUUGAGUCGCACGUUCUCUGGAGCUGCAUGGAAUGUCUUCAUCUCAACCGGUGAUGGGGCUACAAGGGCCCCCUUCCUGACUCUACCACCUCCUUGAAGUUUACCUUGAUUAGCUCCAGAUUGAAUGAUGGAGACGGCUUCGGGUGCAGCAGGAAUGUUCAUACUAGUUACCGGUAACACGUUCACAGCAGCCUUCUUCCCGGUCACAGUUCUCUUGGCUGUAACCCUGCGCGACGAAACCUUCUGUGAAGUUUUUUUUCCAGUGAUUUCCUCUGAAGGUGUGAGGGAUGGUGCAAGUCUACUGAGGGUGCCUUCAGGCUGCACGGCAUCUACCACUUCAGCCAGAAUGACAUUUUCGGCUUCAGUGGGCUGGUAGGUACCCUGCAUAUCAAUUUUAUUGCCUCCGACUCUGCUCUCAACUUUCAAGACUUUAGCAUCUGCCAGACAUGCACUGCCCUCAUUUCUGUCCUCGAAUUCCACGGAAUCGAAUAGUCGUUGUGAACGAUCGCGUCGAAUUGCGAAGUCUACCUCUGCCAGGACUUCGGGUUCAUCUUCUUGGGUAAUGCUACUUGCCGCAUAGUCACUUCCCGGACUAUCUGGGGCAACAGCAGCCUUGACUAAAGCUCUGGCAUUCUUCGACUUCAGAGCGGGCUUCUGCAUACCCAGGCAACUACGAAUGAGCAGGAUUGCAGCAUUCUGAAGGAAACUUGAUGCCACUAAGGAGAAGCACGCAAAAGAGAGGAGCGUAAGGUUUGACAGAAAGACCACCGGGGUUCUAUCACUUACUCUGGCGGCACGGACUGUGAGUCUCGCCUUCUCUACCGCAGAAGAUUUGAUAGUGGGUAUGUUUUCAGCAGCUGUCAAGCUUGAUAGAGGUACAACCAUGACCCUAGCUGAGACUCUUUUCAUACGCGGCUUCACUGCGCUGCACAUGUCUUCGAUACCAGAAUCAACUUGGUUUUUCCUGUUAUUUGCAUCGGGUGAUUUGAUGAAGACAUCUUCAGAGUCACCUGAUUGCACACGACGGCAGGAGAGCAUGGACGAAUUGCCAGUCAGUGAGGAUGUGGGUUUGGCUCCGACAGUGAUACCAGUAGGGGUUUCUCUAAGUCAUGCAAUUCCCUAACGACAGAGUUCGACGGCCUGGUGUUUCAUCUAGUAACUUUAGUGAAAAUUCGGACAAAACGAUGGACCUGACGAAUGUACCUGUAUCAACGACAACCUCCAUGGACUCCUCAAUUAUCUCCGUCGAAGCAUCCUUCGUAGGAGCGUUGACCUCUGUUGCCUUCCCUUUCUCGGCGACCUAACAGAAAUUUACAGCCGUCGAGAGUCAGUUCCAAUGUAUGUGAUGUGUCCCCAAGACUAACAGAAAACGUGUUAAUAAUGCGUGAGCUUGAAGGCAUCCGCUCAAUCCCAGGUAAGACUACGCACAAUUUCAAGGACAGAAGAACUAAACAAAUGAGCGCUGCUACACAAUGCUCUUGAAGAUUGCUGACGGGAAACAUUCCGAGGUACCACGAUGCAACUGAUGACAUACACUUAUCCUUGCAGAGAAGAUAAAUGUUGUCCAACGAACCCAACGAGAUUGACUUCCGCAAAACUUACACUCAGCAGGGCAGUCAAAGAAUCAGCCAUGAACACAUUGGUUUUAUUAGCCGGAAUCUUGUGCUGCUUGCACAAUGCCUGAAGCUCCCGGCGGCUGAGGGCGUGAUAGUUCAUGCUUACCAGCUAAAAAUCCAGCAAACUUAGCUACACUGCACAGCAAAAUAACCUAAAAGACAGACUGCAACUCGUCCUUCGCUGGAGAUUGAGAUCCCUCUCAAGAAAGAUUACAAGCGACAGGAAACUUCGAAAGAAGAGCCACGAAUCAAAAAUUCGAGAUGAGUGCGUAGACAAACACCUAACAACACAACUUACCUUGCUACACUAAACACAAUACGUGACUAAAUCACAAUGCGAUUCAUGACACAAUCACACGACCACUACCCACUAAGAAACUCGGCACUGCAACUGAACAAAAGUCCUGCUCCCACAAACUAGCUACGGACCGAUGUCCAGACACAGACACAGACAAGACGACGAAGGCGACGACGACGACAACGAGGUGGGGCUGGCCGGAAUACAACCUCGGGGGGUGCUCCGUUGAAAUUUGAACCUAGCCCUACCGAACCUGGCGCCUGACCUGUCCGCAACGUAGUCCAGCUCAGCUACGCUUGCAAGCUAAAGCCAAAUUUGAUCACCGUGCCUGUUCCCGUAGCGAACGCGAAUAGGUGCCUCGGGUGGCCUCCAUAGGCGUGGGAUGCCGAUCGGACGGCUAGAGUUUCAACUGUCGUGGGGAUAUGAAUAGUAACGAGUAGGGUCGUUAGUAACGGUCAUACCGAGCCUAGUUGGCAAAGAUAAGAGGGGACUUUUUACUUCUAUUGCUUCACUUUUGCUUCUCGGUACUUAGCGAGAAAUCUAUCGAGAGCGAAGAAUUCCACAAUAAUUACUUUAAAGUAGGGAUUUGAAAGUUGUCAACCAGUCCACAACACAAAACUGCUUGUGUUUCUUGACCCACUUCAAUGGCUGUAGAAAGGGUUGCACUGAAAAAAUAACACGAAGCAUGGCAAAAGUAAAAGAUACGGUGCACAAUUAAGCAUUCAUAGGAAAAUUAUUAGCUUUGGGUGAUUAUAAAUAAUUCAAUUAAAUCUAAAUGAAUUUUUUCUUACUAAUUUGAAAAAUUGUAAUCCUUUUUAUUUACCUGAUCUAUGGAGAUAGAUAAAAUAAUUUCUCUUGCCUUGCAAUUUACUGAGACGUUUUGGUGACAUUCUUCAAUUUUUUCUUCUUUGAAAAUUAUUAUUAUUAUUAUUAUUAUUAUUAUUUUCAAAUUAUUAUCAAUAAUAAUCCUUGAAUAUGUUUUUUUUCAUUUUUUUAUUUUUUUAAUUAUUGCAAACAUAUGUAUCACCAUCACAUCUAACAACAUAUAAAAAUACAACCAAUCAGCCUAAAUGUAAAUGUUAUGAUCACAUGUUUCUAUGAUUUUAUAUGUUACAUUUUGCUAUAAAAUAUAAGGUAUAAUUUUGAUAUAAUUAAAAUAAUUCAAUGUAUAAAAUACAUAGCUGAAACUAAAAUAAUAUUGAAUAAUAUACUACAACAAGUAUACAAACAAAAUACAUAUCUGACUAUAUAUUAUAUAUCUAACUUGCAACUUUAAAAUGAAUAUUUAUACAUUUUAUCUAGUGUUUAUUAAUUUCAAGUAAAGUAUUUGAAAAAAAUUGAUAAUUUUUAAAAUUCUUCUAUUUAAUUAUGAAAUACAAUCAGUGCUUGUACUAAAAUAUAAAUUCAUAAAUGACACAUAUUGAAAUAAAUUUAUUUUUUAAUGUAUAAACUACAAUUACUCUCAUCCAACUUCAAUAGCAAAACUAAUUAUUGAAUAUUAUAUUUUAUUAAGGAUCUAAGUUCAUAAAGAUAUAUUUGACCUUGUUCUUUAAAAAAACUAAAUAUCUUUGUUUGUUUUUUUUUUUAAAAAAAUUAAGUUUAAAUUAUAUUUGAAAUAAACAUUCAGCCAAGACAAUAAAAAAUGAAAAGUAAGUAGGAUACCUACAAAUUACUAUUAGAUGUAACAUUUUUUAAAUUUUAUUUAGCUUUUUAGUCCAACUAUUAAUAUAUAUAGUUGUAAGUUAUUUAAAUAAGAUACAUUUAUGAAAGAAGAAUUACUAAGUGAUAUUUUAAAUAAUAAUUUAUACAUUAAAACAUAAAAUAGAUAUUUAUAAAAUCAUGCUUUUAUUGUUAUUAUUAAAUUAGUAGAUACCAAUAAAUAAAUAUAUAUAUACAUAUAUAUACGUGUGUGUGAGAGAGAAAGAGAGAGAUUUAAUAUAAAACACAUACAUAUGUUUUUGCAUUUAUUAAAUAAAAAAUCCAAAUUAUGAGAUAUGAAUUAACUUUUUGUAUAUUCAAGUUAGAAAAAAUAUUUAAAAAAGAUAAGGUAAAAACAUACAAGUAAAAUGAAACAUUCAAAUGAAGCAAUUCAAAAAUUCAUUAAUAUUGGACUUGUACAAAUCAAAACGAUUAAGUAUUGUUAUAAGUUGAUAACAAUUGAAUUAUAUAAACCAAGAUAAAUUGGUAUAUAGAAACCAUAAUACUACAACUGUAAAGAUUGAAUUAAUUAUAAAUUAGAAAACACCUAAUAGUAUAUUCAAUCAAUUAAAUUUAAAAAUCAAUUUGUAGUCAUAAGCAUCUAGCAGAAUAAUAAAUUCCAAUGUAGUUUCUAUAUGGAGGUAUAUUGUUAAUCACUUAAUUAAUUUUUUUCUUAAACUAUUAAUACAUUGCAAAAAUUAAACUGAAUCAACUUAAGUAACUAACAAAAAUUUAUACCAAAUUGUGUUGCAUAAACAUUGAAUAUUUACAUCUAUUACAUUGAUUCAAUGUAAUAGUUAUAAAAUUUGAUGUAUUUGUUUUCUAAAAAUCAUUAAUAUGAAAUUACAACGUGUAUAUUUUACAUUUAAGACCAAUAUUUUAAAAUAAAUGGAAAUGAAAUUACAAAGGAGUAGUUUUUUUUUUUUUUAUCUUUCUAUACUAAAUCAUUAAAAUAAAUUAUAAAAAAAAUUAGAAAAAAAUAUAAAAGAAGGAAAGAAAGAAUGAAUAUAUAUAUAUAUAUAUAUAUACACUAAAAAUUACUUAUGUAUUUAUAUAAAUACAAAAUAUAUAAAAUUAAAUUUUUGUUGAUAAAAUCUAUUAAAAAAUAAUUUAUUAUAUCUACUAUUAUCAAUCAUUCAAAAAUAUCAUAUUAAUAUAUUAUAAAAUAUAAUAAAUAUCAUAUAAUUUUUAUGCAUGUAAUCUUAAUUUGAUUAUAAAUUAAUAUUUAUAUAAAGACAAUAUAAAAAGUUGUAAUUAGAAAAAUACAAUAUAAUAAAGAUAUAUUUAUAUCUUUGUUAAGCCCUAUAAGUAACUAACAAAGAAAAAAAUUAUGAAUUUAAUUAAUAUUUUUCAUAGAAAUAAAAAUAUUUAGUGAAAAAAAUCAUGUGAAACUAGUGGUAUUUAAUUACAAAACAGAAAUUACUUUGAAAUUUGAAAUAAUUUCAUUCAAAAUUAUUUUUGAAAAUUUACCCUCUUAUAAUUUUUGUUUUACACCACAAAACCAUUUUGAAAUAUUAAGUUACAAUUUACAGAAAAAAAACUAAGCCAAUUAAAUACACAAUUAAAUAUGUUUGUACACAUAAAUAAGUAAAUAAAUAAAUAAUAUCUCAAUUUUGGUUAAAAUAUUGCAGUGUAUUGAUAUUUGGGUGACAUGUUCUAAACCUUGUGUUUUCACAAAAAUAACAAAGUUUCGCACUAUUACACAAGAGAAGAUAUUCACCCAUUUCUUAUCAAAUUCGAUAGGCAAAGAGAGAGACGCCCUUCGUGGAUGAAUAACUUUGUGGAUGAAUGAACCUAAAACUGGAUGAUUUACAGGGAUUGCCAGGAGACUCAGUACAUUUAUCGUCGAAAGAUGAAUAACACUGUUAGAAACGGAUGAAUUUAGGUAGAUGGAGAACUUCAGAGCAUUAGGGGCGAUCUCCGAGCGAUGCCGAGCUCCAGAGGUCCUCUUCUUCUUCUUCAUUGUUCUCGAGUUUGUUGCGCCGAUCCAAGCAUUCCAUCGCCACAUACACACAGACAGCGCCGUGGUGGAUUGCUGUAGUGGAUGGUUUGGGCACCGCACCGCAGGGCACAAUGAGUGGCCAUGACGCCAAGUAUUUUACCACCACCAAGAAGGGUGAGAUCCAUGAGCUCAAGGAGGAGCUUAAUUCACAGUACAAGGUGAGUUUUAUCUGGUUGUUGCCUACUAAGGUUGUUGCCAGUUUUUUGCGUUACGGGGAAUAAGGUUGAUCUGGACUUUUUCUGCCCUGUUGUUUCUCUGUUCUUUCGAUUGAGAGAUGUGGAAACUUCGUUGGUGUUGCUAUGGCAUCGUCUGGGAAUAUUUUAGGGUUUGAUCUACUGGGAGAGGAGAUAUCUGGCAUUAGUGGGGAUCUGUGAUUUUUCUGAGCGGAUCAAGUCAAAGCCCUUCCUGCCUACAUCUGUGUACUUUUGGAGCUGGAAGUGUCCUCCGUAGCUUGCUUUAAUGAUCGUUGUGAAGUGGUGAAAGGAAUUGCGGUAUGGUUGGUUCGUAUCUCAGAGUUGACUCAGGGCAGCGAUCAAUCUACGUUAGACUGCAUGAGUCCCUUCUUGCGAUCAGUUCUUUCUCGAUGAAUGCUCUGAUCGGCGAGUACAUGCUAGAAUGCUGUUCAUAAGUUUGUGAUGUCGGAAGAGUGUUCUUUGUUCUCUCCCUGGAGAUAUCUGUUUCACUUUAUACCGUACCUUUCUUGCCGUAAGGUCCUGCAUUGUGAAAUGUGAACCGCCGUUGCAGAACUUGCAGGGACUACAUUAUUUAUGUUUUCUUUUAGUGCGGGGUGGGUUGUGGAAGAUCAUAUCCACCUCCUACAAGAGGCACUUGUCGCGUGCGUAGGCAUUUUAUAUUUAUCUCCUGUACUGCGUUUCGUAGUGAGGCGUGUGUGCUUUAAGGUUCCACCUAAAUUCGUGGAAAUAACUUUUUAAUUCAUCCAGUUAUUUGUGAUUUCCUGCAAAACAACAAACCUCUAGUUUGCCGUGCGGUUCUGAAAUGUGCAAGUCUUUCUCCUCAACGUUCAUGGCUUUUGUAGGAAUGUUUUUGUUUCUCUCCGUUUCGUGGCGUUUAGGUUACGUCUUCUCUCCUCUUUCUCCCGAUUCUAUGAUUCGUAAGCAUAAUUUGCAUACAUUUGAAGGUUACGUAUGCGCGUUCCUCAGUUGUAUUGCCUGAAGCAAUGUUAUCCAGUUGCACUUCAUUUCACAUUGGCCGUUUCGUUUACUAUCCACUCUUUGUGUAUAGCUAUCUUGUGUCUUCUUCUCAAUACUUACUGUACAUGAGGUUGUUCGAGUCGUAACAAAUUCCAGAACUUAAAUGAUUGGCAUAAACUGAAUUGCGUUUUUUUGUGUCUCUUGCAGGACAAGAAGAAAGAUGCAGUGAAGAAGGUCAUUGCUGCAAUGACCGUUGGUAAGGACGUGUCUAUGCUGUUUACAGAUGUGGUCAACUGCAUGCAAACAGAGAAUUUGGAGUUGAAGAAGCUCGUUUACCUAUACCUCAUCAAUUAUGCAAAGAGCCACCCUGACCUGGCAAUCCUUGCUGUCAACACCUUUGUUAAGGUUUGUAAUUUAGUUAAUAGGUUAAAUAUAUAAAUUGUUUUUAAGUUUUCUGCUGUAGUUUAGGGGCUUGUGAAAUGAAUAUCAUCUGUUGUCGUUGUUACAUUAUUUAGGGCGGUUUGGGGGGGGGGGUGCUAUUACUUGCAUUGCUUGGGUUGUUGCUUAGUUGUGACAAUGAUGACAAUGAUGUGUACUCUCACAGGAUUCCCAAGAUCCUAAUCCUUUGAUACGAGCAUUGGCUGUUAGGACAAUGGGUUGCAUCAGGGUUGAUAAGAUCACAGAGUAUCUGUGCGACCCUCUACAAAGGUGCUUGAAAGUAAGUCUUCAAAUGCCUUGAUUAUUACCCAGAUCUUUUGGUGCAACUGUGUUGCCUCAUUGUGACUAUGAUAAUACAUAUUUUCAGAAAUAAGUAAAGGUGAGAUGGUGAUGCACCCAAACGGUUUUCUUUUUUCCUUUUCUUUUAACAUUUAAAAAUUCUUUGCUGGUCUAUUAUGGGACACUGGAUCGAAAUAAAUUGUCUACAAGGUACAUGCUGUACCUGGUUCCAUCUGCCUCUUGAGCUCUCGAUCUGCAGUUCUGUCUCAGCUCUUUCCUAUUCUAUUUUUUUACUCCAUUUCCAUCUCUAGGUUAGGGAUCUCGAAAGUUAACUUCGUCAUUCUCAUGUCAGUAUUGUUAAUCAUAUCUCUGGUGGCUUUACAGGACGAUGAUCCCUAUGUUCGCAAAACGGCAGCAGUUUGUGUUGCCAAGUUGCAUGACAUCAAUGCGGAGCUGGUGGAGGACAGAGGAUUUUUGGAGGCGCUAAAAGAUAUGAUUUCUGAUAGUAAUCCGAUGGUUGUUGCAAAUGCUGUGGCAGCACUUGCUGAAAUUCAAGAGGGUAGCAGCAAGAAUGUAUUUGAGAUCACAAAUCACACACUAUUCAAGCUUUUGGCGGCUCUCAACGAGUGCACCGAGUAUGUGUUUUCUUGGCUGAAUUUUCUCAUUAAGCAAGCUUAUUUGGAUCUUUGCAAUGUAAACGAUCAAACCCAAAUGAUCAGAUCAAACGGCAAUGUGUAAUAUCACACAUGUUCACUUAGGAAGCGUGGCGUUGUUCAGAUUGUUAGACGUGUUAAAAAUCGGAACUAUAUUGAGGCUAUAGUUUAUUGGCUCUAUGGUUGUAGGUGGGGCCAGGUCUUUAUAUUGGAUGCUUUAUCUAAAUAUAAAGCAAAGGAUGUCCGAGACGCCGAGAAUAUUGUGGAACGCAUUACCCCUCGCUUGCAGCAUGCUAAUUGUGCUGUAGUACUAUCUGCUGUAAAGGUAUUGUGUCUUUCUGCUGUCGUGGUGGUCCCUACUCAUUGGUGGGCUAUCUAUUCAUUUUUGCCUGUUUCUUACUCUGCCAUUCCCCAGCGCUUAAUCAAAGGUUUGGUUAUUGAGGUACUGAGUUGCCUGAUUGUAAUUGCUCUGUGAAGGUGAUUUUACAAAUAUGUUUUUUUUUAUUAAAAUUGUAUUCUAAAUCAGGUUUCUGUUUGAAGGUGAUUUUGCUGCAAAUGGAGCUUAUUACCAGCACCGAUGUUGUGCGAAACUUGUGUAAAAAGAUGGCACCGCCUUUGGUUACACUUCUAUCAGCGGAGCCUGAGAUCCAGUAUGUGGCACUACGCAAUAUCAACCUUAUUGUGCAGCGACGACCAGGCAUUCUUGCACAUGAGAUUAAGGUCCGCUUUCAGUUCUUGUCCUACUAGGACUAGGUGUUUGAAAGAACUUUUUGUAGAGACUGUUUUGUAUAGAGCUUCGAAGACGAAAAGAUUAUCUAAAGCAGGUACAGUCAUUUAGAACGUUUUUUCUUUUAUUGAUAGUCCUGGUUAGUUCUUCCUAACCUAAUUUUGGUUUGUCUUACGUGUACAGGUAUUUUUUUGCAAGUAUAAUGAUCCUAUAUACGUGAAGAUGGAGAAGUUGGAGAUCAUGAUCAAACUUGCCUCAGAUCGUAAUAUUGAUCAGGUCUCGUCAUCUAUCUCUUAUUUUUAAGUUGGUCUCUGGGUUUAAAAUUAUGUUCCUUCAUUGAUAUCAUUCCAAGGUGGAGUUGACUAUAAAGUAGUGCAUUACCGAAGACAACUGAGUAUGGAAUAAAAGCAAACGCUUGUUUAUUGGGUUUAGCAUAGAACCUUAACAUCUUUGAUGUUUUAUACACUGACAAGUAUGCUUUCUCAUCCAGGUUCUUUUGGAGUUCAAGGAGUAUGCCACCGAGGUUGACGUUGAUUUUGUGAGGAAAGCAGUUCGAGCUAUAGGUAGAUGUGCUAUCAAAUUGGAGCGAGCAGCUGAGCGUUGUAUCAACGUUCUCCUUGAUCUUAUCAAAAUCAAAGUUAACUACGUUGUUCAAGAAGCAAUUGUAGUGAUCAAGGAUAUUUUUCGAAGAUAUCCCAACAUGUGAGAGUCAGUACCCUGGAUAAAUCGAGGGUUUUCUGUGAGCAGAUAUUGGUUGAAAACGAGUUAGUUCAAUGGUAUUCUUGUUACAAGUACGAUUCACCUAGUAUCCGUUUCUGUUUAUGGAUAGAGUGAUACCAGACUUAGUUGAAAUUUAAACGAAGUUACUUGUUUUCCACAGGUACGAGUCUAUCAUUGCGACAUUGUGUGAAAGUUUGGACACUCUUGAUGAGCCGGAAGCGAAGGUACCUUGUUGUGCUUAUUGCAUUUUGGCCCUUGCAUCAUCCCUCUGUGAUUCAAGCUUAAUUGUUUAUUAUCUUUUGUUGUAAUACCUGCUGUAUCACCUGCAGGUUUUGGUAUCUUGGAUUUAAGGAUUCGCCUUUUCUUCAAAAGCAGUCAAGUUUCUUUCUUGCAAUAACAUCAAUUUCUGGCUCCUUCUGCAGGCAUCUAUGAUCUGGAUCAUAGGUGAAUAUGCUGAACGAAUCGAUAAUGCUGAUGAGUUACUUGAAACUUUUCUUGAAACUUUUCCUGAAGAGCCUGCACAAGUGCAGUUGCAGCUUCUUACUGCUGCCGUAAAACUAUUUUUGAAGAAGCCUACCGAAGGCCCUCAACAGAUGAUUCAGGUAUUGUCCAUUUCCUGUGAGCCGCAUCUCACCGAUUGGGGUUUCUUAAUACUUUAAGAAAGGACACAGACUAUCCUCGAAUACUUCCAAACCCUCCAUGUUCUAAGGGUUGAAAGUAAUUUUAAAGGGCCGUUUAUUGGGGGACCUGUGUGACACGCAAUUGUGUUGGUGUGACCAGGUUGUGCUCAACAAUGCCACCCAAGAAACUGAUAAUCCAGAUCUGCGAGAUCGUGCAUAUGUGUAUUGGCGUCUCCUUUCUACAGACCCUGAGGUUUGAUAUCUUCCAUUUUGCUAUGUUCCUUCGUGGAAGUUUCAGAAAUGUCAUAAAACGAGAGAUUUAACUUUAUUUAUGUGUAGGAAUUUUGAAUCACUUGAACUGGCAAAGGUGUAUACUUAUUAUCCUUGCACAUAUUUGUGAUGUAAGUUUUUUCCACGAUGAUAGAGUUAUACUGAAGUGCCGCUUUGUGCUGGUAAGAGCAGUUCUAGAAACUGCCGUAGUAGUUCAGAGAAUGCACUUUUUUGCUAUCAGGUUAGUGUGAUGAAAUAAACUGUGUGGAUUUUCCCAGGCUGCGAAAGACGUUGUUUUGGCUGAGAAGCCCACGAUUAGUGAUGAUUCCAACAAUUUGGAUCCAUCUCUUCUAGAUGAUUUGCUGGCUAAUAUUGCCACACUUGCGUCCGUCUAUCAUAAACGUGCUGAUGCAUUUGUGAGUCGCGCGCGAGCGGUCCCUGUGAGGGAGGAGGAUGAUGAGUACGCUGAAGGCCAAGAUUCUGGAUCUGGUAACUCAUCAGCUCCAGUUCCUGAGAUUGCUGUAUCAACUCCACCUACUACUGCCGCAGUUGCACCUGCUGCUGUAAAGGGUCCAAGUGCUGCUGCACCUCCUGUACCUGAUAUGUUAGGUGACCUGAUGGGGUUUGAUGGUGCCUUGGUACCAGUUGGACCUGCGAGUGCUGCAGCUCCGGGAGAGUAAGUAUUAUUAUCAUGGGCAUUAGUCCUCUUCUUUAUUGUUUUGAAAGUCCAUGGUAUUUCCUUGUUUACUGUCGAUAACUGUCUGACAAACAUGACAUUUAUCACUUGUUUUUAAGUUAAGAUUCUAUUUGUUAGUGUGUUCCAUGGAGUCAAGUCCCAAUUACUGUAAAAUUGUGUUUAUGAUACGGAAAUAUAUUAUUCGUCGAUAACCGCCAAAAUAAUUCUAAUACAUCCGUUAUUUAUGACUUGUUUUACAGGCCUCCCCUACCUGUAUUACUUCCAGCAGCAUCUGCCCAGGGUCUACAAAUAGCUGGCCAGAUGACGAGGCGGGGAGGAAAAGUAUUCUACAAUCUCAAAUUCGAAAACCACUCUCAAACUCCUCUGGAUAAGUUUAUGAUACAAUUCAACAAGAACACCUUCGGUCUAGCUGCAGGAGGACCUCUUCAGGUGCACCUCUUUGUUUUCUUGUUCGAAGUUCUAUGGAACUCAAAAAUCUUGAAAAGAAUUAAACGUAUAAAUAGUUCUUGCUCAUGUAGGCACAUUUUGUCUUUCUAAUGUUACGGUCAAGCUUCUUGCGUAAACUAUAAUUUUGGUCAUAUUCGUAUAGAAGUCUCUGCAUGAUUAUGGCCUGUGAAGUGCUAAUGCUGCAGAGACUUCAGUAGCCAUACUCUUCUUUUAUGGCCUUGGUUUUUGCUUCGUCUUGCAUGCUUUCUAUGUUGACUUCCGCUAUCAAGGACACGUAACUUGUGUCUGAGUGAUAAAUAUUGCAUGGUUGCAUCACGUUCUGUAGGUUCCUGUUAUUCAACCGUCAGGAUCGGCAACCACUUUGCUGCCUAUGGUUCUUUUUCAAAACGUGUCAGAGGGACCCCCCAACUCUCAACUUCAAGUAGCUGUGAAGAAUAACCAACAACCUGUUUGGUACUUCUCUGACAAAAUUCCAUUGCAAGCACUUUUUGUUGAAGAAGGGAAAAUGGAAAGGGGAACAUUCUUGGAGGUACUGUUCUUUCAACUUCUCUGCCACAUGUUCCGAGCACCAACAUAGGCUAGGAUCGCUACCCGGUUAAAUACAAUCCUGCUGCUACCUUGUCAAAUCAUGUAUUUUUUAGGAAAUAACCAGAUUCUCUUGCCAUUCCCUUUUACAUCUUAACGCUUGUUUAUUUAAUCGUGUGGUAUUUUGCAGACAUGGAAGUCACUGCCUGACUCCCACGAGAUCUCCAAGGAUCUGCCUAAUGCGUUAAUCAAUAACGUUGACGCCACUCUAGAGAAACUUGCCACGACUAACCUUUUCUACAUUGCUCGACGGGCACUCAAAGACACAAAUCAGGAGGUAAGGCUGCUUUUAUUCUGUGUGGAAAUUACCUUGUAUUCCGUUUUCUCCUGAAGUGAAACUUUUGCUUUGUUUCAGUCAUUGAUACAGUGACGGAUUAUGUAUAGAAUUGGUCAGAAUUUCUGACAUUGAACUGCUUGAGUUUUGUGACCUUAUUUUAUUUGGGGUACCGGUUUAUUCUUAUACAGAUUCUGUAUCUCUCUGGCAAAGUGCCACCAAACAUUCCGUUCCUGGUAGAAAUCACCUGCAAAGUGGGCGUCCCUAAUGUCAAGUGUGCAGUGAAGACACCAGUUCCAGAAAUGGCGCCAUUGUUUUUUGAAGCCAUUGAAUCUCUUUUGAAGUAGAGUAUCAAGCAUAAGAUAGUUCCUGUAGUCUAUCCAUUACGGGUUCAAUUGCAAGAAACGCAGUCCAGAUUUGGUCUGCUCUUCAGAUUUAGACUUUUCAUAGGUUCCUGUUAUUCAACCGUUACCGUUUCAUAGGUAAGCGAAUUUUUGUUGUUGCAUGCGCAGCUGUUGGUGCAUUUUGCCACAUGAAGAGUUAGCUUUUGAGUAUGUCUUUUCCUAGGAUGGGUGUAAAAUGUGUUAGGUCUGUACUUCUAAUAUCUCCGCUCCAUUGAGCGAACAAUGUCAGUUUAUCAUGCGAUUCUUCUAGUCUUUUUUAGCCCGGAAUCUUUUUGCAAUGCAGGAAUAAUGAUAAUUCAAUGGUAUUCAUGUGGCAUUGGUUGUGGCUUCAGUUCCAUAUCGAAUGGUAUCUUUAGUUUUGACAUGAAUACUAUUGCAGCCUCCACAGUGAAUUCAAUCGUCAUCUUUAGCUACGCUAGGUGUUACGUAGAAGGCUGUGUGUAAAUAUAUAUAUAUAUAUAUAUAUAUAUAUAUAUUUUUAUAAUUUAUUUUCAAGAAUAUUCAUAAAGGUUUUUAUAUUUGAACAAUAUUGGUAGUAAGAUCUCAUGUACAAUCUUCUACCCACAAUUAAUUUUUCUCAAAGAAAUUAAAAAAGAACCUCUGUUUUAAUUGGUGAGAGUUUAAUUUAAAUUUAACAAGUAUUUAUUUGAAAUACAAUCUUUGGGUAGUAAGGAUUUUUUUUUUUUGAUUGUGAAUUGAUAAGCUUUAGAAAAUAUUAGACUCUCUGAGACCUUUCCAUACAAUGUUGACAACAAAUUAGCAAGUGAGGUCAACUAUAAUCUCUACUUGGAUGUCUUCUGCCAAUAGAAAGUUUUUUUUUAUUUAUUUAUUUCUAUUGAUUGUAAGCAACAAGUCCAACUCAAAGCACGUCAAAAGCACAUACCUGAUCAAUAAGAAUCUCCCUUGAUGACGCAUAUUCCGCUCCAUUGCCGUAUCACAGAAGGAGAUUUUACCUUAGAAGUUUUAAAUGAAAAAAUCGACCUAGUUGCAAAAGUAAUUAGAGAGGAGAUAAUUCAACUAGAAUUAUCGUAGUUCGAUGAAACAGGUGCCACACUUGAAUUCCAAUUGUGUUCUACAUUGCAUCUCCAAACCCUCCUAGUCUUACAAGAGCUAUGUUAGCCACCGACAUGCACCUUGUCGUUGUCAAAGUUUUGUACUCCUGUACAACCCACUCUAACCCUUGAUAUGGAUUGCAAAAAACCAGCAUUGUACGGAAGAUGUUCUAAUUUACUUACGCCGCACCUCCAGUCGUAACAUCACAAGUUUCAGCGCCUACAGAAAGAGGAGGAUGGUAAUCGAUGUUAAUGGUAAUAAAAAGAAUCGGUGAAUCUCCGAUGGCACUCAACAUUUUUGAGGCGUUGAUGAAACCAGACAGGAUGUCCAUUAUCAUGGUAAUCGACUCUCGUCUCCUUUGACAAAACUCACUGAUCAUUCACAUGCAAGGUUUUUUAAGACUUUUAUAAAGAGCUCAGAACAAACAACAGCAAGGACAUACUCUAGUAAUUGCAACUCAACUUUCAGAAUGACACUAGCAAAAAAUCAGGCUACUUCUGUAAGCGAGCAGCAACCUAAGAAUCAUGCCAUUACAGUGUGGCAGUAGACUAAACGACUAAAGCGCCUGACUUCUACGCCAAGCAUCUGACUUCUACGCUCAAAGAAAGAAAAUCCGAACUAGAAACCGCGGCCUUCUCCCCGUAACUGGUUCACUAGUCAGAUGUUUGAGGUAAAGCACAAAUCGGUAAACUAGCAUAAACUUUUAACUACCUUUUGCUGUUGUGCCAGAGUUCAUCACCGUUUCAACUGCUGGUUAAAGUGCAGUAUACACAAAACCUCUUCACACUAAUGGAACUCCAGUGCACACGACAUUGAUGUUUAGAGAGUUCAUGCCGAGUUGCUAAUGGAAAGAUUCCCCAGCUCUUCAGUUGGAGCAGAUGGAACAGCUUGAGCCAUACGAAGGACUUCCAUAGCUUCAUUAACCUUGGCCUUCAAGGCUUCGGGCGACUCAAUUAAGUGCAAAACUUCGGUUUGAUCCAUCUCCAGAAGCAUACCCGUCACUUUGCCAGCAAAUUCAUGCUCCAAUUGGUCUACCAGAGGAUAAAGUUGCUCACCGAGCAUCUGAAGUUUUACAAGUGAACCAAAAUUAAAUAUAUGGAAGUACUCCUUAAAACGGCAAGUUGAAGAAAUUAGUUCUACUACAUUAUAAAGCAUUUUUCACAAUAAAUGAAGCGGUGAACAGGUCAAGAAACAUACAGCGCGCUGUUGAUCAGGUGGAGCAGACGCCAAGGCCGAAGCAAGCGCGCUGAUGGGCAGGGGCUGCUGAGGAACACCAGAAUCGACAUUUGCUGCUGGCAUACCCCCAAUUUCCAAGGGAACAGGCAACAUAACACCCAUCAUACCCUGAGGAGGAGGAGCUGUGCCAUCAGAAGCGUUCCUCACAUUAGGAGUGUAGCGGAAGUUGCGGUUACCACCUCGUUGGAUCAUCUGCAAAUCAAACAACGGAAUCAGAUGAGCUAAUCAGGAGAAUUUCAUACACAGCAACAUCAAGAAUACAGUAAGGCUAUGAAAUAAGAAGUACAACUAUGCAACAAAACAUGAACACAAAAGAGAUGAAACUCUCCCACGUAAUGCAGGAACAAGUACAAACCAAAAUCAAAAAAAAAAAAAAAAAAAAAAAAAAAAAUUGAAGAACAUACUUGCUGUUGUGACUGCUGCUGUUGCUGCUGUGGUGCCCCACCACGCCUACCACCAGCCCGCUGUCCUUGCUGUCCCUGGCUUAAUGAAACAUUUGGAUAACCAAUGUAGUUCGGGAUCUGAGCCCCACCAGGCCUCAUAAUUUGUGGCGGAUAGCCGAAUGCGGCAGGCUACACGAAACGAAAUGUCAAAUUGUUACUUUCUUCUCACUUUAAAAAAAAUCAUCAUUUCACAUCGAAAUACAACCAAAACUAGAACAGAAAACACUCGAGGCGAUAAAAAGCUCCGGAGACAUUGUACCUGAAGAGGAAUGGGUCCAGAAGGAUGUUGUCCAUAAUAAGGCAUCUGAGGACCCAGGCCCGGACCAGGAUGGUACAUUGGAAGACUUGUUGGAACGGUAGGGCCAACAGGAGUUCGCAUCUGUGCAAAGGCUGCCUGCAGAGCGCAACCAAUUGUUCGUACCAAUAAUUUACGAACGUUAAAUACAACUAUACUAGACUACAAGGGGAAAAAAAGAAAUAUAUAUAUAUCAAGCUGUUCAUACCCAGAACUACAAAGAUGUCAAGUGUUACCCACGACCUUACAAAACCAAUCAAAUCCACUUACUUGCAAUCGUACCCUCCUCUCCUCCUUGCGCUGUGCCAAGGCUACAUAGAGAGGCUUGCUCCCCACCAUCUUGGUAUUCAUUUCAGUAACCUGAAAAUUACCAUUUCCUUUCAAAAUCAGAACAUACUCGGUCUAUACAAUGAUAAUCAUAUUUUUUUGAAUUCAGAGAUAGAGAAGAUGUCCAAGAUAGUAUCGGAUCUUAAGGUAAGAAGAUAUAAUUGCGCGAGUUCCGUGUUUAGCAAUACCCGUGGGCAAGAUGAAACUUUCUACUCAGAGUUAUUUACCUUGUUGAAGAACUGAUAUAACCUUUGAUUCCGUUAGAACAGAGCAACAAUUUAAGAUGUGGAUCACAAUGCUCAUAUAAAACAUACCGCGCGAGUUGCCUCCUCUGGUGUAGAAAAUGCAACGAAUCCAGAGCCUCUGCUCUGACCCUGGGGAUCUUUCAUCACCUGAGGCAUAUUUGCACACGAGAAGGAAAACAUUCAGAAUACAAUCUUAACACGACCAGCAAGGUAGAAGAUUAGAAAAACCAGUGCAUAAGAGAAACAAACACUAGACUAGACAGAAAAUCUGCAUUUAACCAAUCAACCUACCUUGCAAGACGUGAUAGUUCCGUACUCAGCGAACAGCUCCCUCAACUUCUCAUCAUCGACGGCAUCAUCUAAAUUCUUGAGGUAAAGAUUUACUCCUUGGUACUUCUCAAUCCUCGACUUACGUUCCUGCUCAAACUUCGCCCUAAGCUCAGCUUCCCGCUCUGAUUUUUUCUGUGCUCUUCCGACAUACCACUCUUUUUCAUCCUGCUUUUUGCCAUUCAAGGCCUCAACAGCCUUGGCAGCAUCGUCAGCAAGCUCGAAAUUAACAAAACCGAAGCACUUCGACUUGCCUUCGUUAUCCCUCAUGACCACAGCACUGCUUAUGGGCCCGUAAGCACCAAAUACCUUCUUAAGCUCAUCAUCGGUUGUGUUCUCUCCAAGAUUCUUCACAUAAACAUUGUUGAACUUGGAAACUCCACCUGAUAGAUCCCUUUCUUGACGGCGAACGAAAGGCCCAACAAAGACUUGUUUAUCAUUUAAAAGCAUUCCGUUAACUUUCUCGAUAGCACUCUGAGCUGAUUCUUCUUUCUCAAACUGGACAAACCCAUAACCCUUGGACUGACCAGAACUGUCAGUUGCCACCUUGCACGAUAGGAUUCCACCAAACGCAGAGAACGUAUCAUGAAGAGCUUUGUUGUCAAUAGCCUUGUCUAAAUUCUGCAGUGCAAACCCACGCAAGACUAGUGAGAAACCUUUGAACAUACCAUAUUCAAUUAACAUACAUACAAAAUGUGCAAAAGCAAAAGUUAUACAGAAAAAUUAGAGAAAUUAAAAAUUGAAUAUGAAAGAAAGAAAGAAUUCCAAAUAAUUAAAAAGAAAAAAGAAGAUUGCAGAUUGCCGGAUAAUAAUCAUAACCUGCGUGGAGAAUGCUCGCUCACCUUAAUGAAAAUAUUUGCUGCGCCACUCUUACGAAGGCUAGGAUCCCUAUGUGAGAACAUGAUACGAAUCGGUUUCCCGUUCACAGGAGUAAAGUUGAGCAACUCCAAGGCACGAGUGGCUGUCAAACACCCAUAACAUAUCAAAAUAAAAUCCUCCAUGUAGGGAGGUUAAAGCUUAAACAAGACAUGGUUCAACAUACCAGCAGAGCUGGACAGAUGUUUUCCAGCUCUUAUCAUGGAUAGUUCAAUAGAAUCCUGUUAGCAAUAUUACACCAAAAAAAAUAUUUACAAAAAAAGAUACACUAGCAAACAUAACACAAAUAAGUACCCUAUUUAGAUAUCCGGAAUGAUAAACUCCGUAGGCUUACCAUCUUGAGCACUGUGGUAGUUGACGUAUGCAUACCCCAAAGAGCGCCUGGUGAUGAGAUCACGGCAGACUCGGAUCGACACGACUGGCCCAGUUUGACUAAAUAUCUCGUAUAACUGAGCUUCAGAUACAUUGUGCUCCAAAUCACCAACGUAGACAGAAGUGGAGACGAACUGAUUAGGUGCAGGGCCCCCGACGGCUGCCUGCUGAACUUGAACCUGUGUCUGAGCCAUGAUUGCUAAUCACACAAAGAUCCGUUUCCGGAUCGAGCGGGACAAUAAUAACCUGAGUAAAAAUCUACCGAAGAUCUUUGAAAGGUUCAGGAAGGCUAAGAAAUUGGGUUCGCCUCUCCCGCAGAGCAAAGGUUUGAGUUCUAGGUUUCAAGGUUUUUCUUCGGUCAAAUUAUGCUCCCUGCCAAAGUAUUCUGAGAAACAAGAACAACAACGACACAAACACACCGCAGUUCAAUCUCCCUGCACACUCACGCUCAAUACGAAAUAACCAUACCUCAACACUCUAAACCUCACAAUCGAACGCCAAAACCCUAAACACAAACCAGUUUGACCUGAUCCCACACAGCACACAAACGGCACCACGGAACUCCAGCCAAUCAAUUCUUCCUCACUCUAAUCAAAAGGAACGAAGCAAGCAGCAGCAGCGCACCUUGACCAACGAAGGGAGAGGCCUGAAAGACGCCCGAUGUUUUUUUUUUUUUUUUUUUUUUUUUUUUCUGUUCCUGUGUGUGUUAUCACCACCUGCUGUCACUGCCGCACUUGAUGCGACUGUGAACUCGAUUGAUUCAAAAAAUAAUUGACAACAAGAGUGGGAUGAGGAGAGCUUAGCCCUGCGUGCGGCCGAGCCUCAUCACGUCCCGUGCGAAAGCAUGAGUGCCGAACAGGCAAGGCCGGGGCCAGCGCCUGCUGCUGCAACUCACUCACUCACUCAAAAACAAAGAGGAGCGGGGGAGUGAGUGCGGCGGGAACUAAAAGAGAAAGAGAGGUGCUAAAACGACAAUUAAAGAAAGGGGGAAUAGGGGAACCUCACGUCCCCAUCGCAUACCAGUGAGGGGGGGGGGGGCUUGCUGUUCUGCCAUUCCCCCCCCAUUAGCUCCCCAUCACCGAGCACGCCGGGUAUCACACCGGUCGCUGUAAAUCAGGGUAUCAACUGACAGCGACUGAGUCGGGGCGGGAGUUGGGAACUCUCUUUUUGUCCGGCAGACUGAGUCCCAUCGUGGCAGUCCAUGAGGCCACCAUGGCAGUGUGUCGCAUUCGUGACUCCGCAUGCGCAUUGCCACCGUGGAAUCCAGGUGGCGGCUCCCUACUUUGUCAUUUUUCUCCUGUUUUUCUACUUUUUUUUUGUCCUUAAUGUGAUUAGAGGGCUGUUGUCUACGGUCCAAAAUGACAUGAAGCUUCCAUUUUUCUUUUUUUCUUUGCUAUGAAUUUUUAGAGGGGAAUCAAAAGUGAGUGGAAUGAAUUAUGUAGCACAUAUGACAUCUGCAAACUUAAUCAUGAAAUAUAGUGUACAAUAAUACAAUAAACAUUCUGAAAUUGUUCAGAUUUCCUGUAAGACUAAGUUAACUUUUGAAUUUUCAUUCUUCAAUAUUCACUUUGUACAGUAUGUAUGUGACUUAUUUUGAGGAUAUGAUGAUUCAACACAGAAUGUGUUUGAAAAAAUAUAUAUUUUCAAGGCAUUGAGCUUUUGUCAAUCAAUAUAUAUAUAUAUAUAUAUAUAUAUAUAUAUACAUUUAUUUAUUUAUUUAUGAACAUAUAUAUCUAUAUGUUCAUAUAUAUAUAUAUAUAUAUAUAUAUGAACAUAUAGAUUGUACUCCAGUAUUAUUCAUUGAUUUUCAAUCCUCAAUAACUACUUUAAGACGAUCUUUGCAUUACUAUUUUCAGAGCCAAUUAUCUUUAAAAUAUGACUGUGCUUUGAAUAUUGUGCUUUAAAAAUCAAUGAAAAAAUAUGUAUUUUACUAACUUUAUGAAAUAACAUACUGUAUUUAUUAGUUUUUACUACAUAUUACUAAUUUAAACCAUGUUUUUACUAUUUCAGAAAGAAUUUAAUAUAUGUUAAUCACAACAAUUAAUUUGAAAUGUUGCUCAUGCACAAAACGUACAUGUUUUUAUAAAUCAUAUGACUGUAAAUGGCCUUUUGUGAUCAUAUGGCUGUAAACGGCCUCUCACACAAAAAAAUUAUGGUUGCAAAACUUCAAUAAAUAUAUAUAUAUAUAUAUAUAUAUUUCAUAGAACUCUUUCCCAUGGAAUCAUCUGUAUAAAGUCGUUCACAGACAUAUGUAUAUAUAAGUAAAUAAAUAAAUAAAUAAAUAAACAUAUAUGUAUAAUUACAUAUAUGCUUAGAAAUUGAUUAAAUUCAAUGUUUGUGGCAAUUCAAUAUUAUUUUUAAUUAUGCUAAAAAUGAAUUUUUGCAUUAAAAAUACAUCUUGCAAAAUUUAGUUACAGUACACACACACACACAUAUAUUAAAAAUUACACUUAUAUAGAUUAAUUUAUGGUUAUUUCAAAAGAUUAAUUUUUAGUUUUUUUAAAAAUUAUAACAGUAAUAAAAUGAAGACAUGUAAAAUUUACACAACUAGUUUUUCUAACUAAAAUUAAUAUAAGUAUAUACAGUUAACUUAAACAUAAACUUUUAUAGUAGGAUUAUUAAUAAAAUUUAAAAAUAAUUAAAUACAAUAAUUUAAAACUACAGUUAAAAAUAUACACAAACUUAAUUUUAGUAAAUCAUAAAAAAAUAAAAACCAAUAAUAACUUCAGGAUUUUUAUAUAAAAUAUUUUUUAAAAUAUGCAAAAUAACCGAUUGACUGAUUGGUGUAUAUAUAUGUAUAUUUACAGAAUUGGAUGUUUUCCUAAGCUAAAAGAAGAUAUUUAAUGUCAAAACAUAUAAAGUGAAGAAUAAAAAAUGUCAUAAAUAUAAAUAAUUUGGACAUUUUAAAAGACUAUUACAUCAAUGAUGUGUAGUCAAAGGUAAAAGUCUAACUGAAUAGUUUACAUUAUUUAUACAAAACAAAAUAUUAGUAGAAACUUCUUUUAUAAUUGAUUGAUAUAAGAAAUUAUUUUUUAAAUAUAUUUUUUAGACUUUUCUAAGUAUUAAGUUAAAAUUAAUUGUUAAAAAUAAAAUAGUAUAAAAAAUAAUAACAAAUUCUCAACUUUUAUUUUACAAAAAAAUACUAGAGAAAUUAUAGAUAUAUUUUGGAUAUCCAUAAAACAUUUUACAUUGAAUUAGAAGAUGAUUUUUUAAAAUUCUAAGAGUUGUGUUUCUCUAGAAAAAAGAUAAUAAACAUAAAGAAAUAAGUCAUAUAAGUACUAUUGGUAUUCUUAAAAUAUUUUAAAUUUCAGUUAAAUAUGAAAAACACAAAAAAGAGCAAAUAGAAAAAUACAAAACAAAAAAAAAAAAACAAAACAAAACAAAACAAAACAAAAAAUUUAAAACAAAAUAAAGCUAUACUAAUAAUUCUAAGAUUCUAGUGUUAAAUGAUGUCUAUUUUAUCUCAUUUAGAUAAUUAUUUGUAGACACAAAAAUAAUUUAAAUAAAUUUUAAAUCCUUUCAACUUUAUAUAUCACUAAAAGCAUAUUGAUGUUAUAUUAUCCAUUUUAAUAUUUAAUUUAUAUUUUAUAAAUAUAAUAAUUAAAAAAUAAAUAAAAUAACUACAAAUAUUAUCUUUAAUUAUAGAUUUAUUAAUAGUAUGUAUAUACAUACAUAUUUGCAAUAUAGUUUUAAGUUUUAUAAAUUAAAAAAUUAAUAUAUAUUAUCUUAUAAUUUUAUAAUAUAUAUAAUAUAUUAUAAAAAAAGAUAAAUAUAAGAUAAAUGCCAUUAUAUACACAACCAAAACAAUAAUAACUUCUUUUAAAUACAAUAGUAUAAGAUUAUGUACAAAGUCUUAAUGUAUAGCCACAAUUUAUGAUGUAUAUUGUGGUAAUUUAUACCAUUAUGAUUAAUUCAAAUUUUAGUGUAAAAUAUUAUAUAAUAUUUAAUUAAAUACAUUCAAGUAUUAUUUGUAAGAUAUUUUUUGAACUAAAAUAUAAUAUUAAAGACUAAUUUUAUGUCUAGUUUUUGUGAAGAUAAAUAUAUAUAUAUAUAUAUAAUUUAUUUCUAUAAAUUUAUUAAAAUGUUGUAAAGAGAAAAUUUUAAGAAAGAUAUAUAAACAAGUGAAAAAAAUAUCAAAGAAAGAUGACGAAAUAAUAAUAAGAAAGUAUGUAUAUUAAAGAAAAAGUUGUAAUGGCUAUUGCCAAAGACUAGAAAACUAGAAACUUUUAAAACUGGACUAGAAACAAAAAAGGAGAUUACAAGAAUAAAGAAGGCUUCACUCUUGCUUCCACAUAUAAUAUCUAUCUAAAAGCUAUGUAGUGAUAUUUUACAAGACCUCCAAUACGUGUCCAAUUUGCAAGACACAUUUCUUAACUUGCAAAGUAAGUUUCAUAUACAUAUGCCAUAUGGUUAACUUUUACCACAAGCUAUCAAUAUGUAGAACAUAUGUCUAAUUUGUUGGCUAAGCACUCAAUCUAUCAAUCACCUUUAGACAUGUAUAAAGGUGAAACUAAAUCUUUGAAUCUUUUAGGAUGCUUCUCUACAAGAUAUUAUUAAACUUAUUUACUUCUAAUUAUUCAUAUUAUCUAGAUAAAUAUUAACAUAAAUAUUUAUGUCUACAAAAAAAUACAUGGCUUUAAAAUAUAUUUUUGAUAUAUAUAUAUAUAUAUAUAUAUAUAUAUAUAUAUAUAUAUAUAUAUAUAUAUAUAUAUAUAUAUAUUAUCUUAAGGUUACUUUAUUUUAAGCUUUAGUUCCAAAUUUCACAAAAUAUUACAUUUGCAAUUGUAAUUUUUUUCUUACAUCAUAUUAGAUGUUAUUGAUCUUUUAAUUCUAAAAUUUAUUUUUAUUAAAAAACAUAUAUAUAUAUAUUUAUAUUAAUUAAUUAUAAUUUAAAGAAAAAAUCUAUAAAUAUUUAUUUAUAAUUUAUAAAUUAAAAUUGAAUAAUAAACUAUCAUUAAUUUUUUUCUUAAAUUAAAUAUUUAUAUAUAUUUUAAAUAAUUAAAAUAAUAAACUAAAUAACUAUAUUUUAUUUAAUAAUUAUAAAAACUAUAUUGUAUUUAUUUAUUUAUAAUUUUUUAUUAAUAAUUAUUAAUUAUUAAUUUUGGUUCAUUGAUUUACUUAAUACUUAUAUUAAUAAAUAUCUACAUUACUUAAAUAAGCAUAGGUAUAUAGAAGUAAACAUAAACAUAUUAGGUAGAUAACAUCUUUUUGUAAGAAACUUCAAAGAAAUUUUAGAAAUGUGUAUUAGUUUAUUAAAUCUAUAUAAAUAUGCUAUAUAUUAUUAUAAGUUGUCUCAUAAGUUUUUUAGUUUUUGAAGUUGCAUUAAAAGUAAUCUACAACUUGAUGCUUAAGCCACAAGUUUCUUGGUCUUUAAGAAGUUUCUACAAGGCCUUUUGUGGCUACUAUGCAUGAAAGCAAGAUUAAUACUAUCCUUAGACUUGCCCACAUCAUUGUUGUAUUUUAGUCUUAAUUUUAGACUUCCUAAAUUCUUUGUAUUUAGUAAUGACUAUUUUAGUUCUUUUGAAUUUUAUAUCAUACAUAUGAAUAUAUAUAGAAAUUAUAUUAAAAUAAUCUAAACAUGUACUAAAUUGAUCCAUCCAUCAUUAUUAAUUUUUAACCCACCCAUCACCCAUUGUUUCAUUGAUUUUUGACCAAUGCAAAUCUGGCAAUAGAGAAUUUUUUUUUAAUGAUAUUUAGAAUGGAUGGAUCAAUUUAGUAAAUGCUUGGAUAAAUUUAAUAAUCUCCUCUCUCUCUCUCUCUCUCUCUCUCUCUAUAUAUAUAUAUAUAUAUAUAUAUAUUAUUUUUAUUUUCUUUCAUUUAUUUCAAAUGACACAUGAAUAUAUUAUCUUCUAAAGUUUUAUAUUUAUGUCCUUGGUAAUUUGAUAAGACUAACAUUUAUCAUAUUAAAGCUUAAUUUUUUUGAAAGAAGGUAGAUUAUUCUUUUUCACUUUAAAUCAUCAAAGUUUUUAGAAGUUAUUAGUUAUUCAUCUUUAAAAUUAUGUUUUUUUUAUUAUACUACUUUUUUCUUUUGUUUUUUGAUGUAGGAAUUAUUAAAAUUUUAUAAUUAUGACAGAUUUGUAAAAAGUAUAGAAUGUCAUAAAACAUACGCAUGAAAAAAUGUGAGAUUUGAUGCUAUACAUCAAUUAUGUACACUGUAACAAUUAACAUUAAGAUUGAUUAACCAAAAAGAUGUAAACAUGCCAUACACUUCUCCAAUAAUUAUACUAUCUAAAGUAACUCAUGUAAAUACAAUUGCACCAACUAAAAAACCAAUAGUUGCUCUUCUAAAGAAAUUUAAUAGUUCUACAUAUAAGUUUUGAGGAUUUAUCAAUCUAGUGCAAUAUUUUCUUCAACUCCAACAUCUUAAUUAUAUGAUCUAAACAUCUCAUAUUACAUUUAUUAAUACAUGUAUUUCAAUUUUGACAACUAAUAAUUGAUGUCAAUUAUAUUAAUGUUAGAAUUAUCACUUAAUUUCUUCAUAGAGUAUAAUAUUAUUAAAACUUAAACUUUGAGUCAAGCUACUAAAUUUGAAAUUACAUUCAACAAUUGACUUUUGGAAUUUUGAUUAAAAAGGCAUAUCUUGACACCUUGAUGCUUUUAUAUUUUUAUUGAAAAUACUUUUAUCAACCAAGAUAUUCAACAAAAUAUAAAAGAUAUAAAGAAGAACAUUAUUUUUAAUAAAUUAUCUGUAAUAUAAGAAAAAACAUAUUACCAACAAUAAGGCUUGUACUUAUGUUACUGAAAAACAAAACAUGUUAUUGAAUAUUGACCUAAAAAGAGAUAAAACUAUAAAAAGUAUAUUUCUAAAUAUAUAUAUAUAUAUAUAUAUAUAUAUUAAAAAACAAAUUUGUUGAAUAACAUAAAUGAUUGUACAAUUCGAUUCUUAUACUAUAUCAUUUUCUGAAGGCUUUGCAUCAUCUUUUUAUCAUUUGCUUGUUUUUUUUAGUGAAAGUUAAUUUGAGAUCUAAAAAUUCCAUAAUUUCUUCCUUUGUUUUGUUAGAAUUUAGUGCCUUUGCUUAUUUUCUUGAUAAUGUUUUUCUAAAGUGUCAUGAGAUAUUGUCAAUGAAAAGAAUCAAAAUUAUACAUAUAAAAUUUAUAAAUAGAGGAUUUUUGUCUUUAAAAAACAUCAUUAGUAAAAUCUUAACAACUAAAGUAAUUAUAAAAGAUUAUAAUAGUUCAGUAAUAAUUAAUAUUAUAAAGUCUCUAUUUAAUCUUGUUAUUUUAGGAUCAUUGUGUAAACAAAACAUAACCCUCAAAUAUACUAAAUACCUUGUCAUCUUAAAUUUUCUCUUGUCUUAUUCAAGAAAAGACCAAAGUAAAAAAAUUAUCUCACAUCUAAAAAAAUCGGAUUUCUAUUUGUGCAAGUAAGGCAUUUAUACAAGCUGCAAAAGAAGGAGAUUUUUUUCUCAUUUAUUUAGCACCAAGUCCUCAUCUAAGUAGAAGUAACUAUAAAAUCACAAAACAAUGUAAAGAGUAUGAAGAUGUAUUUGAGAAGAAAAGUAAGAAAAGGAGGAGGAGAUGAAAUGAUGAAAAGAAGAUUGAAUUCUUAAGAUGAUGUAUUUUUAGAGAGAGUACAUUUUUUUUUUUUUUUUUUUUUUUUCCUAACUUUUCCCUUAAAAUUGAUUGGGGGAUGUUCCUACCUAAAAUUUAAUUAAUUGAAUUAAUCAUUUAAAUAAUUAUUUUUAUUUUUAUAAUUAGUAGAUUUUGAUAAUUAAUAUGUUUUUUUUUUUUUUUUUUUUUUUUAUAUAAUGGAUGAUGUUAAUUAGCAGGAAGUCAAUUAUAUACAAGCUUGUAUCAUAAUCCAAAAGCUUGCAUUUUAUAAGUACAUGAUUAUAAUCAAUGGAUAUAAUUACCUCAAUAUUUACCAUAAUUGUUCAAAGAAGCAUGAACAGAAGACAUAUACAAUUAUAUACAUUAUAGAAAAAGAAUUUUCCAAAGGAAGAAAUAUUGAUAUUCUUUAUAAAUCAUCUUCAAAUCUUAUAACAAUUUUUUGCUUAUAAAUUAAAUAUUGACAUUCAGUUGAUGUAGGAAUUGAAGUUCUUGGUAUAAAAAUAAAAACAAAAUCCUACGAUUCAUACUAAUUCAAUAUCUGACAUAGCCUCCUUCACACAUACCCAACUCCAUGUUCAAUUGUUUUUUUUAAAAAAAAAACCCAAUUUCCAGAUUCUUACUUUAGGGCUUCACCACCUUAGGACUAAGUGUCGGUGAAGGUGUCGGUGACGGAAGAACAUUGUUCAUCGUAGAUUCAAAUUGGUACAUAUCGAUUCCGUUUGUGAAGAAGAACACCCCCAGUCACGGAAUCAACUCUUUAACUUGGGCCAGAACCCUAGCCCGUUGGUUGAGUUGGUUUCAUCGCAUGCAGCAUUGUGUCUAUGCUUACCUGCCCCUUAUCCUUGAAGUUAGACGUUCCAUUUUGCUAACAUUCUUGCUCUCUGGCUUUUGUCGAGUGUGGAUCCGGCUUCGCCCAUGUCGAGUCUGCUUCUGAGCCCACCUGCAUUGCUUUGUCAUGUGUUUCUCUAUGAAGGGCGCAACAAAUACCGAGCUGCUUAGAAUCAAGUCCCUGAUGAUGCACCGCGUGGCUUCUCCCCAAAGGUAUGUAUGUUCGUGCGACGCUGAUGGAUUUAUCGGAAGCAUUCCCUUUAUCGUUGUGAUGGCUUUCUUCUCCACUCUGCCAUCUUCGGGAUGGCGUUUUCGUUAUGAAGGUAGUUUGGAAUGUGUUCGGGCUGAGACUUCGAAUGGUGUUGUCCUAGAACCAGUAAUUAGGUUUAGGGUUUCAGUGAAAGGACUGGCGGGAGCCUUGCCUGAGUUCAUUUUCUGCAUGAUUGUAUAACACUUAAGUUCCUUCAAUGUUGUUUUCGUGGCUGAUGUGGCACCAAGUUUGUUGCAUUACGAGAGGUACCCAAAAUAUUCUUGGUUCAUGUGUUGCAAUAAGGAACAGCUUCGAGGAUGUUCUAAUGUGAUUUGCUCUCUCUCUCUCGCUCUCUCGCUCUCCCUCCCUCUCUUGUUCUUAGUAUUUAAUGUUAUUAUUUUUUCGAAUCUAUCUCUCCCCAGGAUUUGAACUUUGUUCAAGUUCGAAAGUAUGAUACAGAAUCAUCAUACGACUAACCCGUGAACUUUCAGAUACUUUUAUUUUUAUUUUUUAUGAGUACAACUGUAGAGAAGACCGUUGGUUUCUUAUCAUUCUAUUGCACCUGUUUACGCUGCAAAAACUCUGAAUGCUCUUACGGUAAUUCGGCGAGUUAAAAGCUCUGUAUUUCUCAGAUAUAUAGGGAAUUACUUGAAUCCAUAGUUCGACUCUAUAGAUUAUGACGGAUUAGAUUGAUCGGUAGCUGAUGCCUCGCACGUUAAUCAUUUUCCACGUCCUCCCCUGGGUGUAGAGUCUGAAGGCAGAAAAUUCCGAUUUCACCAACUUCGGGGAUAUACUUUCGGUAACAAUACGCAAGCAGCUGGCCUUGGUUCGUUCGGAACUAAGCCUUUAAACGCGGGGCCGUCAAAAUUGGUUCACCUUAACCUAAUCCGCCACUUAUCGUGAGUCAAAACUUUCCUCGGAAAGUGGAUGUACGUGGUAGUCACUGCUAGCGAGGACCUUGCUAAUCUGUUCAUGAAGGUUGUUUUAAUCAUGAUAAAUGAAAAAUCUACAAUUACAGAUACGUAGAAACAGAUAAUACUGCUAUACAAGUGCUAUAUAAUACUUGCCCUGAACCUGGUGCUUUCCUAAAGGACGCGGCAGUGAACCAUGUGGAAAGAUAGGGUUUAUUAUUGGUUCAAGGUACUACAGCACAGUUUUUCUACUUGGACGUUUAUUAUCUGGUUUUCAAUUCUUCCUGCUUCAUUCAAGGAUGGGACAUGUGGCCGCUGGUCUGAAGUUUGAGGAAGUCUCAUUCCUGUCUGGUUUUAAUUUAAUCAGUGGCUCUCUAAGAUGCUAAGCUGUAGUUGGCAUUUCUGAACUGUAAGACUACUAAGAGCAUGAGAGAUUGGGCUUGAAUGCUAAAAUCUGGCUGGAGUGGAAGACGCUUGCAUUAAGAUCACAGCAUUUCUCAAUACAGGCAUAUUUCAUCCUUGAAGGGUUACUGAAUGACCAUAGGCGUUACUCUGAAGAAUAAUUUGACCUGGAAUUGUGUGGACGAAGAAGUUGCUGCGCGGAUUCCUCUUUGUAGUGUUGAGAGAUGCAGAAGAGGUAUGUCAAAACAUUAUUACUCAUGAUGUGACUGCGUGAGUAACUUUGAAGCAUAGUACUUUUUCUAGCUUAGUUUCAUUCAAUUGAACACGAUAAAUAACGGAACGGUGAUGGAUCAGCAUCAUUUUGUCUUGGCGGUGCUCUGCUGCGAAUGUCUGUUGGUAUUUCUUGUAAACCAUAAUUAUGUGAGGUUCUCUCACAUCAAUCCUAACAAGAACUGCCAUGUUAGAAAUCUCAUAAGAAUCAUACGCGUUGGAAUCAUCAGGAUGCUGUUACUGCUCUCUAGCGUGUUCUCCCUGUGCAUUGCGUUACUUUCGACAAGUGGAAUUCGGUUCAGUCACUGAUCGCGAAGUCUCUGCAUGCCAGCUCAACCAACGAAUGCUUGUGUGCGUUUACUUACGAGCUUCAAACAACUCGAGAUGAGCUCCACCUACAUGGCAGAUCAGUAUGAACGUAUGCAGUGAAACAUGAUACCACCUUUUGAGGGGAGAGCAUUGCUCUGUACCCUGUGAUCACCAUGAGCUUUCUAAUGAAUGCUACCAAUAAAACCACUGAAUCCAGUGUGUGAGAAAUCGAUGUCAGUAACGGGCGACCCAGCAUUUCUACAAUACUUCAUAUCCUCGAAUGGCCUGCUUAUUCAACGGGUUGAAGAGAUACGUGUCCUUCCAUGUCAGGGUCUAAUGCUGCCUCCAUUCAAUUCUCUCUGGGUAACAAAGAAUACCACAGUCAACUCAAAGACAAAUACCAGGAGCACAUCCCAGAUUGCGGAUUGGUUGUUUUCUGUUUUUUUUCAAUUUUGGAACAUGCGUGUUUGCGCCCAUUGCAACAGCACCUUCGCCAGCAGUGUUAAAGCCCACCCAGAACAGUUUCCUCAUAGAAUUGUCCACCCCACAAUUAAACAAUCCACGCUUCUAUGGUAAUGCUGAGAAGGAUCAGCACCAUCGACGUGAACCGAUGCAGGUGUGACAGCAUGCACAGGGGAAUGCAUUCAUCCGAGAUCUGGAGACCGUUUGAAAUGGGUGGCAGGGCGGAGAGUUUAGCCUGCGAGCUGCAUGAGUCGCAUUACGAGAUUAUGUACUUAUUAACUUACACAUCGCCAUCAUGUGUUGGGCUCCAACCCCACGCUCCACGUAGUCAGUUGAGUUGUGCAUUACACUCGCAAGGCCCUCAGAUUGGCCACCCAUCUUCCACACAGCAGUCAGGAGAAUUUAAUUGCUUAAGCUCUGGGUCGACACAAUAAUCGAGGUGGGGCAUAUUCACAAACGUGGUUCACUUUGUGUUUGUUUACAAAGACGUGCUACGACUUGCAUGGAUCGCAAGGCAGCGGCGCCAUGGGGCACUCGCGAAACCCGAGCGACCGGAUUCGCAAUCAUGGAGCCUUGGGAUGAAUUUCCUGCCCACUGCUCUCUUUUGUACAUUUGUGGAAGUUUCCCAAAUCAGGGUCGGAGGGAAAAUUGGAGCCCCUCCCGAGGCAGGUGAUUCGAGUGGGGGUUUGGACAGUAGCUCCCGCGGGAGGGAGAAUUUUCGGUCCGUUUUAGUAUUCAACUGGGAGUCUGGGACACACAUUUCCCCUCGAUCAGCUGCAGCUUGGGCACCAAUAGCACGAUGUCCGCGCACCACUACAAGGGAACACCUCGGUACGAUAUUAUUAUAUUCUUGAGGACGAAUAUGGCUCCUGGACUUACAGCCAAUGCAGGCAAAUUUUGGGCAGGGGAAUACUCUCCCCCCAGAUGCUCUGAUUCCAAGUCCCUUGGGGUCUCCCAGAGCCCGUGCAGAUGUGCUUCAGCACCUUGGGGUGCCCGAUAAUGCCCGAGCAAUACUGGCGAUGUCCCGAUCCGGAAGCUGGCAAUUGCAAUCAGUGCGGGAAAAAGAAAAAGAACCAUAAACCGCACCGGCCUGGCCUGGCCAUCGGCGGAGAGACCGAUAACGAUGAUCCGGAACACAAGAUCCGGCAGCUAGAGCAGUUGCACUCGCCGCAGUACAGUCGUUUUUACUACUUCUGCUCAUUGCUCCCCCCCCCUCCUUAACGUACACCGGCCUCGUACGAGCACCGCUAUUGUACACUCCAACCCAUAGCAGACCGGAUCAGAGCUUGCAUUCAUAUCGUACUUCCUGCCACCCCUCCUUUCUCACAUUAUCAUAAUCCCACCGUGUCGCCGCUGUGUAGCGUUGCCUUGGUCCCGUCGUUAUGAGGGCUUAAUUAAUCCGAUCUCGCCGCUUCUUCGCACCCAAGAAUCAGUUGCCAUUGUCGAUUUGGUACUUCAGUUGCACCAAUAACUUCUCUCCUACUCAUAAUGGUUGGUAUAGUACUUCGGAGACGUUUAGAUGCAUUUACUCACCAUCAACUCUAUAUGCCCCAGUGGUCAAAAUGCAAUGAAAGGUGGAAUCCACGGGAAGUCUGAGUAAUAUUCUCUUCCUCUCAUCUCUCUCACACACACAUACAUUCGCACAAACACACCUUCGCAUGUAUGCCUGUCUCUUCUCCAGCUUGUCACCUGUCAGAUCAGGUUCUAACCUCCAUUGGGGCCAUUUACUGCUCUUGUGGUUUCCGCAGUCAACCAAUUCACCGCACCCAACUGGCUUAAACCGGGAUGUAAAUUCAACCUCCUCCCCUGAGUUUGUUCCUGAUGAUUAAGUCCACUCCCGCCUCUCCCAUACCGAGGGAUCUUGGUAUCUACUUCAAAUUAAGCAGUGCUUGAAACAUGUAACAACUGUCCAGUUACGAAGCUGAACAUAUACGAAUAUUAUACUCUAACUCUUUGACCAAUAUAUAUAUAUAUAUAUAUACACACAGGAUGAGCACACAGGGGGAAUAAUUCAUGGAUUCCGCGAAUCGUUUUGUUCUCGUCUCACGGACUUGGCCCUUGCUCUAGAUUUCCCGCCGGACUGGAGUGCCUUCCCUGACUUUGAGUCCCCAUCUGGGUGGGCAUCAUCAUCGAGGUGAGGGCCGGAGAGGCCACUGUAACGGGGGGAUGUUUGAGGAAUAUGUGGAUCUUCUUUCUCCUGGUGCAUUGGAAACUGCAAAUGACCUUCCAACGAUGUUUGUUUGUUGUGCCCUUCCCCAUCACAAUUCCAGUUUCAGGUCAAAUUUGGACUCCGAAACUUUGGCUCCUCAGCGGGCUCUUCCCUCGAUGUUGCUGAAGCAGCAACAACAUCAUCUCACUCUUGCCUCCCACAUCGCAAUGCUGGUGGGAAGCAAGCGUGAGAUCAUGAAGCUCGACUUGUUCACUUGGGUUUAAAACUUCAGGUUUUAGGGUUUCGAAUGGCUCGGUUGGGUUUUCCUGUUGAGGGUCUUUGUUUUUGGGGCGUGAGGUUUGUGACCUUUUCUAUGAAUAUGUGUGUAAAUAUGUGUAUACGUGGACAAAGCUUUCUAUCAACAUGUGUAUAAUUAUAUACUACUUCUGCAAACCCACCUUCAGAUUGAUUCUUUGAAUAUGGAUUUGUUAAUACAAUUACUUUUCACAAAAUUGUGGAUGUAAUUUUGUAAUGAUCGUUUCUAUUUGUAUGUAAAACAAUCUUUAUAUUAAACUUCUUUGAUAUGAUUUUCAGUUGACAAAAAAUUAAAAUUUAAAAAUUUCUUGUAACUAUAUAUAUAUAUAUAUAUAUAUAUAUAUAUAUGUGAUAAUAUAGCAUACUUAAUAUACAUAUAAUAUUUAUAAAACAUAAAGAUUACAAGCUCUCAAAGUAUAUGUAUAUAUAUAUAUAUAUAUGGAGUUGUUAAAGCCACACCCUCAAACAAUGUGAUGAUUAAUUUUGGGGAGAAGGAACAAGAGACGGAGAUAGAAAACAAGGCACAUGGGGUGGGAAUGAGGAAUAGGGGAUAUGGAACAAGGGACAAAGACAAGAAUGGAUGGAAUCAAUUAUGAGAUGGUAAUGUGGAGUGUGGUUUUAAUAACUCCCUAUAUAUAUAUAUAUAUAUAUAUAUCACUAUUACAUACUUUCAAUCUCUUGGUAGUAAAAAAUAUUAACAUAUGAUAUGGUUUAAUUCUAUACUAUCAUUUAUGAUCUAGAUAAAAGUUUAAAAUAUGUGCAUAUAUAUAUAUAUAUAUAUAUAUAUAAUAGUAAAUGAUUUCAUAGUAAAAAAAUAUUUUAAUUUUAAUUUUAAAAUAUCCAUUGAUAGUAUCAGUUUUAAAUUUUGAAAUUUGAAAAAAAAUAGUAUAAUUUUAAAUUUUUAUAUCAAUCUCAGAAAAUUCGUUUAAAUAAAAGAUAAUAUAAUAUUUAAUAUUGUACAUGAAAAACAUUGGUUUCAAAGAUGUGUAUAAUCAACAAUAUAAUACAUUUUAUCCUAAAUAUUACAAUGAAACAAUGAUUUAAUUAACAUUCUCUUUUAUCCAAUUUACAUAUUUUUUAUCACAUUUGUUUUAGAUAUGUAAUCAUUAUCAGCAAAAAUUGAAUUAUUUGAUACAACAAAGCAAAAAUUUAAAAAUCCACAUCAUCAUUUUAAAAUAAUUAAGUAACACCGAUGUAAUGUAUGAUUAAUUAUAAAAAUCACUAGUGUGAAAUCAUACUAUUGUCAAUUAUUUGUGUGUAUAUUUAUGUAUAUAUGUAUAUAUAUAGGAGAAUGCUAGAGUGACCCAGGUUUUUGUUAAAUCGAUCCACAGUCCCCGUUCCCCACGUUCCCAGCACCUCGUCCCCUGUUCCGACCUCCCCGUCCCCAUUCUCGGCGCCCAUCCCCUGUCCAGGGGCCUUUCGCGGGGCAGCUUCUGAACCUCGAAGUCCCGCAAGGCCACUAUCAAACCGUAUGCUGGCUUGGGGUAUGCCUCUUGCCGCAAACUGUGAAUUCAAUUGAGCUAGUGUGCUUCUGAACUCUGUCAAAUUUUCAAGAGUCUCGGGAAUCGCGUCUGUGAGGUGGUGGUUUGUCUGUGAAUGGCGCCAACGAGGGUGAUGAUAAUCGCCUUGUUGUUCAUGUUUGCCCUUGCAUCAUUGUGUCCCCAUGCCUCCGCCCAAUCAAGCAAGACAGACUUGGAAGCGCUGCUUUAUUUUUAAGCAAGCAUCACCAACUUCUCCCGGGAGAUGCUCCCCAACUGGAACCCCUUGGCGUCCUCUCCAUGCUCAUGGGUAGGAAUUACUUGCAACAGUCAAGUCACUAAUGUUUCCAUUUAUGAAAUCAGAUUCACAGUCACCAUCUCCGCCCGAAAUCGGCAAUUUGGUCAAUCUGCAGAGCUUGUAUAUGGGCAACUGCAAUUUCAGCGGGCUUAUUCAGGCGGAGCUUUCGAAAUGCAUUGCCCUGAAGUAGUUGGACCUGGGCGGGAAGGAUUUUUCAGGAACUAUCCCAAAAUCCUCAUCACCUUGAACUUGCCCGACGUCGGGAUCAAUGGCUCCAUUCUGACGUCCCUAGGAAACUGCACCAAGCUCGAGGUUCUUGAUGUCGCCCUUCAACGAGCUCAGUUGGCAACUUCCGGACUCACUGAAGCUCAUGAUUUCUCCAAGAAUAUGCUCCGUGGAGACGAGUUGACAUGGAAGAUUCUUGUGGCGCUUGGGACAUCGUCAACUUGGCGAAGCUGAACAUGAAAAAACCACCACCUCACAGACGCGAUUCCCGAGACUCUUGAAAAUUUGACAGAGUUCAGAAGCACACUAGCUCAAUUGAAUUCACAGUUUGCGGCAAGAGGCAUACCCCAAGCCAGCAUACGGUUUGAUAGUGGCCUUGCGGGACUUCGAGGUUCAGAGGCUGCCCCGCGAAAGGCCCCUGGACAGGGGAUGGGCGCCGAGAAUGGGGACGGGGAGGUCGGAACAGGGGACGAGGUGCUGGGAACGUGGGGAACGGGGACUGUGGAUCGAUUUAACAAAAACCUGGGUCACUCUAGCAUUCUCCUAUAUAUAUCAUCAAUAAUUUUAGAUUUGUAGAAAAGAAAGUAAUUUUACGUAUUGUUAAUGUACAUAAUAUUGAUAUGAAUAGUCAUUGUAUAUAUAUAUAUAUAUAUAUAUAUGUAAAUUCUAUAACGCAUUAUUGACUUUUUUAAUAAUAAGAAUGUGUUCCAGAACGUUAAUAAAAGCAGCAAGCAAGUCCAAUUUGAGUUUCAGGCUUAAAAUAUCAACUAAUAUAUGCUAGGUACUACAUAUUUGUAGGUUAUGUUCCAAGGUAUUGUGCAACAAGUGAGUCAUUAUAUUCACAUUCAUAUACAAUUAAAUAAAAGUUAUAUAAUUGUUUGCAUGUGUAUGGAUGUACGUACAUAUGUACAUAUCCACACAUGGUUUUUCAGAACAGUCUGAUUGUAUCAAAUUAAUACCUGGAAAUAUUUAUGGUAUUAAUUUUGUAUCUCAAAUUAUAUAUAUAUAUAUAUAUAUAUAUAUAUAUCAUGAGCAAUUCCUCUAGAGAAUACCGUGUCAAAUUUGAACCAAUAAAUUAUUUAAAUGAUUUUUUUUUUAUAGAACAUUCUGUUAUAGAGCACAAUCACUAACACAAAAAGAGAGAAAGAAAAAAGAAAAAAGAAAAAAGAAAAAAAAAAAAGAGUAAGAAAGAAAGUGGGAAUAAUCAUUCAGAAAUCAAGCAACUUCAUUUAAUUAAAUACACUAUGUAACAGGAGCAUGUAAGUGUACUAUUCGAAAGCACUUAAACAUUUUAAUAGUAUAAAAAUGCACAAAAAUACCCAGCCAAUAUUUGUAGACAAUGGUAGAAGGGAUAAAUGGUUGCAGCACAAAAUGGGUGAAUGUGGGUUACAUGUAAAAGCCAUACACACAUGUAUUCAAAUGCACCAUUCACAGUAUAGUAAACAAAAUGAAAAGUCAGAUGCAUCUGAAUGAAUUAACACAAUAAGAGAAAUUUGAGCCAACAAGAGCCUCGUUAAGAUGCAAUGGAGGACAGACGAACGAAAUUUGCGGCAACGACGGAAAGGCGACGAGGCGACGACGGCGGCACUGAAGAGGGCAGUGAGCACCGGCAUUGAUCUCAACAACAACAACCAGGAAUUGUUGCAGUGCUUGCAGUGCCGAUCGAUGUCUGGGGACAGACAGACAGACAGUGUGCACUUGAACUGGGAUUGGGAGGAGCGAACUUCGGCUAGUCUCACUGCAGUCGAACGAAUCCGAAACGGUGAAACUCAUGAGCUCACGCUCCGACACCAUCUGACCACUCGCCCACCGCCUGCCCAGCCUGGCGCCGAGAGACGUGGCUUUUCGCCUUGUUCUUUUCGAUGGAUCCAAUUUUUGUCACCUACCACUUGUCGAGUCGGGAGUCGCGGCUCAGCGGCUGCUACAAUUGUCGCUGUCCCUGGCUUUCUACAGUUGGGUGAGCGAUGAUGAUGUAAUAGUUUGAUUGAAGGUUUUAGUUUGAUCGUAGUUUCAUUGAGCAAUCAGGCUCUCGGUAGGGUCUUUCUUUUUGUUCCAGUGUCAGUGACCCUGAGCCCUGCAAGGUUUAUGGUAUCUGUAGGUGAUACUCCUGUUCAUGCAAUUUUGGUUCAUACAAUUCUGCCGCGGAUCCUCACCUCCCAUGCCUGCUUAAUCAGAUUUUGUUUGCGCCUCAUCUUAGCUCAGCUUGGUUUGAGUUGAGAAUAAAUUCCAGAGAAAAAUAAUCAAAUACCUGCUUUAAGUUCUAUAUUCAGUAUUUGAAAUGCUUUAUUUUUAUCGAAUACCAUCUAUUUACUGUAUCUUCUAAUCUGGUUCCGUAUUUCGGAUAUUCAGCUCGUUUUAUGUUGCCUAACCUAUCAAAUACAAUUUCCUAGAAACUGCCCGCACAAGAACUCGACAUGUGGAGUUCAAAUUGCACAAUAUCACAUCUGAUCCCAAGUCUGCGAGUUCUGCAUGCAAAGGCUCAGUACAAUUUCACAAUAAUUCGUUGAGUAGUUGCCAGUAUCCUAAUCUGGAAAACUCAGGCUGCACCGUUCAAAAUUUUCAAGAUAAAAGAAAAAUCAAGCUUAGUUUAGCCUCCGUUAAUGUCUGUAACGAUUCAUGAACCUAUGGCUUCGCUUUUCUGUGCGGAGUGUAGGCAAAAAAUAGACUCAAUCAGCAGAAGCCUGACCAAGUGAACACGUUGCAUCCAUAAACUUGAUGAAAUAGUUUGCUUCCCUUCUGUGUGGGGUCUUGAGGAUUCUGCACGGGAGCUCCAUUUCCGUGGAUGUGGCUGACUCCUUGGACAUCGUCUUUACUGUAGUUCCUUCUUUGAAUGUACCCUCCCAACCUUUCCUCGCUUAUCUGGAUUCAUCGAAUUGUUUAGCUUGAAAAAUAUCUCUUCAAUUAAUCAUGGACGCUACUCACGUUCUGACAUCGAUGACUCAAGUUUCUAGUGUCAGUUCCCUUGUUUUUAACUAAAUAAAAAAAACGUACGUGAAAUACCCCCUAUAUUGCUCAGCUCAACUCUGCGGCACAUGUGGUCAUGUCAAUCUCGGAUAAUGUGCCAUGUUAGGAAAUCAAUGUACACAUUUAAUUCCGAUAUAUUUUCCAGAGUGGACACCAUACGCUUUCAUUCCUGAAGUAGUGCUCAGUUUCAGACCAUCCACCAGACUUGUUCUUGCAGCCACCUGUGAAACGUCCGACUACGAGGGUAUGGAUAGAUUCUCUUCACUGACUCUCCAUCAGUGCUGCCUCGUACCUUGGCGCCUAAUUCUGUUUUUAUUUUACGGUUUUUCCUUUUGGGCCAUCUAGUAAAGUAUGUACCAACAGUUGUCUGUUACGGCUCGUGGAUUAUAUACGUACAAUACGUACUGAAAAGGCACAUAAGUUUUACCGAGCGAAGUGGUUGCUGUUUAAAGCUUCACCCACGCACAGAAAAUCCGCAUCGCAACCAGAUUUCCGUCCACCCAAAAAUUGAAAUUGUCAAAACCAUCACUUUCGAGAACUGGGAAGUCUGCGGCACCUGACUGCGAAGCCAUAGGACGAACAAACAGAAGCGAUGGAGAUGAAAGCUUGGCUGACGGUGAACACAGCAGAUGCCAAUCAAAAGCAAGAGGGUUUCCGACCGGGGCGAGUUAUUGGUGAUUAACAAAAAGGGCAUGCCCCAGCUGGCCCACCCCGAUCCAGAGCUUGCAUUAACUGCUAUCGCUCAUUAAAUGUGAGGCGGAUCAGGAGAACCAUGGCUGGGCGAUCGCGUCCAAUGGCGCUAGCUAACAGAGAGGGGGAAAAAGGCCCUUCAUUCAGAGAGGCGUUCUCGCAUGUUCCAUUUUCCAUGUGGUGGAUCCCAGCCUCUUCAUUAAAGAGCCCGUCUUUCAUGACACUAAUGAGUCUCUUCCUCUCCCUCUCCCCGUUCAAGUGAAUGCCCAUUUAAUGACCCGAAACAAUGAGGUCCCAGGACAUAUGGAUUUGUGGUUUGCCACACGGUGGCGGCUUCGGCCGCAUCUUCUCUUGUUGCGCAAGUCCACCCCUCCCCUCCCCCCCUCCCGCGGCGCGUUGGCACCACAAGCCCUUGAGGCUGCCUCUCCUCCAUUGCUCCCAUGUGUCACCACUGGCGCUCAGCCUCCCCUAGGUUCACACCCUCUUCCUCCUUGGAGAACAACAUGUUUCUUUCGCGAUCUCGAAAGCGAGCUUUAUUCGAGCCAAUGCAUACGUCCCUUUUGCUCUGGGCAGAAAGUGAAACCCUAAUUCCUUUGGACUGAUCUCGUCACCAGGUUCUAACACUGAAGGCAAGGCAAGGCAACAACUUUAACAUUGCUACACCGGAGAUUAAUUUAUCCAUUAAAUCAUGUGUUUCAGAUUUCAAGUCUAGCUCUAUUUAUUUAUUUAUUGCUCUCUGGAAAUGGGAUAAAACGAGUAUUUCUACAGUGCUUUCUGAUGAUUGAGCAUAAUGGUGUUUUCAUGUCGACUACACUGCUGUUAUAUAUAAUGGGUAUAUGUCUAAGAUUGACUUGUAUUGGACACUCACUUGAGUCGCUAACAGAAUACUAUUUUUGUAUAUUUCGAGAAAUAAUGUAGUGCUAGCGCUGAUUUAAGCGUUAAUACAAUUUAGAUGUUUCCCCGUUAAUUCAACAGUGGAUUUGUCAUAAUUAGACCAGCACACGUUUUACUUGCACCUUCAAUUAUUGGAUGCACUGCUUGUCAGUGGAAAUGACUAAAUUUGUAAGUAUAUAUUGUUAUAUAUAGAUGUAUAUAUAUACACAUGCACACAUUCAUUCAAACAGACAGAUACAGUUGUUGGGAUGCAAUAGCCAUCUGUGUUUUUUAAUAAUAAAUUAAUCAACAUAUUCCAUGUGCAUCAUUUAUUGCCAUAUUGAGCAUCAAUUGCAGAGUGUAAAGUUUGUGUAAGAUUAAGAAAAAGAUUAUUCUUAAGAAAAAUAAUCUAACUUGCACAGCAUGCUCUAAUUUACCCACAUAUUUGCACCAUGCAUAUUUUUAGGUGCUCAAGGUAUGAAAAAUAAUUGACAUGGAAACGAAACACAUUGUGGGGAUUGAAAAUGCAAUUAUCCCAAAUUUGAGUGCUUUAUAGAUAAACAUGAUACAACCAUGACAACCAUUGUUCAUACACCAUUUUACAUUAAAAUUUGGCUAGGUUAUUGCUCAUGUUGUUGAAACAAUAUCAAGCUUCUCAAAUGUGUGUCACAAUAAUUUGGCAAUCCACAAUCAUAACAUUGGUUGUUGUUUUCCUUUUUAUUAUUGAUUAUUUACUAUGAGAUAAAGUUGGAUUUUUUGGCAUGUCAUUUGCUAUGUUCCGUCUUUAGAUUUUAGCUUCCUUUACUUUAGCAAAAACAUACUUGUCUAUUCAAUUUGAUGAGUCAGUAACAACGUUCAUACAUCCUCAUAACGUUACACUCUUCUAAUAUUGUAUGCAAUUGGGCAGUGAGACCUUGAUUGGGCUAUCUUAAUUACGCUGCUGCAACCAUUAAUUGGGAUUGUUUUACCCUGAUCCAGAUCCUGCAACAGGCCAACUUGGAAUGGGUGGAAAGUCCACCUAGGAUUAUCAAAGAGGUGCCAUGUGGACUCUAAAUAGUGCUUCGUCAGUAUUGAGAGAAACGAUUGCAUGAAGUCCAUGCAACGAUGUGAUUACCGAGGGAUGGUAGUCAACGACGGGAUCUGAGAUUUAGAUUAGCAAGGGGGCGAAGUAGAUCGAUGGAAGGGAAAAAAAGCAGGUCGAAAAAAUAGAGGGAGGGGGUAAUUCGAGAAUGCUAAAUUUUGAUGUCGUUUCCACGAACCUUGUCGCGGGGCUAAGUCAGUGAGCGGUGCAGUAGAGCUGACCCACGGUCACGACUGUCUAAUUUGCAAGAUGGAAUGGCUUUUUGCGGAGUAAGUGGCAGGCAAGAGGAAAAUAAAGAAGAACAAUGGGAGGGAGAUUUGCAGCUUGGGGGAAGGCGCAAGACCGGCAGCUAGCUAUCUUCGGCAACCGGCGCAACGGAGAAUAAGAAUAUGGGUUCGGUUUUUUUUGUACAUCCAAACUUCGAAGCGUAGGCAUCAACUGCUCUAUCGUUGUGUUCCAGCCCACACGAUCUGGCGACUUGUAGCUGGGCGUAAACUUCAUAUUCCAUUCCAGCCCAAAUUUGGGGUUCGACGCUCCCUUGCCCCUCACCAAUAACGGCAUGUGUGUGUGCGCGGCAAUCAUCAGCAGGGGCAGGUUCUCGUCGUGCGCUCUGUUUCGGAGGAGAGAUAGGCAUAGUUCUGCUGCCCACUUGCUUCACUUCCUGGUACAUGACUGAGAUUCUGCAUGGUCGGUUCUCCGCCAUUGCAGGCCCUUGCUCACUGCGUGUGUAUGUGUGUAAGACUGAGAGAGUGUGGGUUCUUUCCAGUUGGAAUUUCCAAGUCUUUGUAGUCGUAUCGAGCUUGCCAAGUGCUACACGGUGCAAGGCUGCCAGCGUUUCAGGCCCUGCACAGCCCGCCAAGUUUGCGAUGGACGAAACGGGGAAACAGACAAGGCGGGGCCAGGCUAAUGCGCUUGCUCUCGCUCUCGCUCUCGCCUCGCCACAGCACUAGCACCAGCCUGUGCCUCCUCUCCGCCCCCCUUGACUUUAUAUUAUUGCUUCUUUUUGUGGGUCUUUCAUGGACGUGCACAGACAACCUUCACUUCCUACUGUGCAUUAUGGGAAUACACACACAGACACAGACUCAUGUAAUCACACACAAUUCCAAUUUGCCUCAUGAUUUUAUCAUAGAAGGAAAAAUAAAAAACAAAAAUAUUAAAACACAAAAAAAUAUUACCUACACUUGUUAGAGAUUUUUUUUUUUUUUUUUUUAAUACUUUUUAUACUUUUUUCUUUGUUUUUGUUUGUGAAAACUGUAAGAUCUGAAUACAAACUUUUUGAAGUUAUAAUCUGUGAUAUUGAUGGGGUUUGUAGUGAUGGUGAAACUCACACAAAACUGGCUCAGUUCUGGCUCUCAAUCAUUUGAGCGGCAGUGGUGGCCAUUGCUUCAAUACUUCACACGCAUGUCAUCACCACCACCAACAGACCGUAAAAAGGGAACCCUGCUUUGAGUUUGGAAUUUCAUCAGGCUGUUGUUGCAGGAGAUGUUGUUGCAUGAUGGGCCUGCCACCAUUGAGAGUUGUAUACAUAAAUAAACACACAUGAGAUUACGAAAAGAAAAGAAAAACAAAAAAACAAAACAAAAAAAAAUAAAUUCUUGAUACCAAUCCCACAAAUCAACUAACAUAUUGAUAACCAUGACAAGUUGAGUGCACUUAUAAUUAAAACAAAUUCACUUGUGCUUGUCACAACCUACAAAGUGUGAUACUGCAAUUCCAUUGCACUAUCAUGAGAACAAAGACAAUAAUGGACAAGUAGAAAAAAAAAAAAUAAUGAUAAUAAUGUCAUCUUGUGGACAAAUCUUACUCUCUCCAGCUUGGCAUACUCUCUUUCUCCCCCAACAUGUGAGGUGGCAAUUAGACAGAGUCCACAUGGCACCCUCUUUGUGUUAAUAAUCCUAGGUGGACUUUCCACCCAUUCCAAGUUGGCCUGUUGCAGGAUGUGGGUCGGAGCUUAGCAGGGCCCAUUCACAGCCACAGCCUCAGCAGCAAGAUGCAAAAAUGCAAUAAAUCAAGGAUUUUACUGCUAAUCCUGUGUGAUUAGUGGAGCAGGAUUAGUGCAAUAGGAUGAACGGAUAAGUGGAUGAACGCCGUCGCUCCAUCACCCACAAUGGAUGGAUGCAUGAAUCCAUCCAUCCUCUGAUUUGGCUUUGAUGCUGCCUCACCUCUGCCUCUCCCUCAAAGUAAUGCUUUCAUAAACAAAAAAGGGCGAUUAAUAAUGCUCGUCACUUCAAGUGUACACUUUCCAGUAGAAGAAAUGAAAGUAAAAACAGAAACUCCAUGUUGUAUAAUCAUUUCUCUUUUCUCUCUCUCUUUUUCUGUUUUUUGUUUUGUUUUUGUACUGUGGCCAAAUCUUCCCAUUUUAUUUAAUUAUACUUAUGGCAAUGUAAAGGAAAGAAAUGGGAAAGGACAUAUGGUACCUUGAACUCCAUGAUAUCACAAACAAAUCCUUACUGAUUCAUCCCACUUCGAAAACAAAGUGUGGCAUUCAUUGCUGCCCCUCAUCUGCUUGGUAUUAAACAGGAAGGAAUGGAGUACAAUGAAAGUGAACAAAUAGCAAUAAACACAAAUGACAGGAAUAUUUUCAAAGUAAGAAAAAUAAAUUAUAAUAUAUAUAUAUAUAUGUAUGUAUUAUCACCCACACACACACACUGUCAUGAAAACACAUAUACUGGCUUUAUCGUUUUUAAUCAAUUUCUAUAAUAAUAAAUUGUAUUCAAUAUCUUUUCAUGGGGUUCAGCUCAAGUACCACAUUCAUCUGCAUGUCUUUCAGUUUAAUUGUCACAUCAGAAGUCAACUACGCCCCAAUGCUGAAGUCAUACGUGGCACACAGAGAUUGGUCCAUCAAACAAACAACUCUCUCCUAGGCUCCCAUUGGCAGCUACCCCCAUCUAGCUGGACAAACGCAAAUCCUACGUGGCAUCCGCAGCUGAUUGCGUAGCGAGAGCAUGCAGCAACACUGUCUGUCAGUCAGUCCCCCACCACUGACCUUAACUCCCUCAACCCCCCCCCUCAAUAAAUUAUAUAUAAAAAAUAAGAAAAUAAAAUCAGCAGUUAGCCCCAUCAAUCGGAAGGGGGGCAAGGCUGUGAUGGCAGUGUGGCUUUUCUCAGGCAAGAAGUGAGGCCCCAAUCGAGAGGUGAAAGCUAAGUGUGUGUGUGUGUGUGUUUUGCCACUGGAAUUUAAAAGAACUCAAGGGAGAUCAUGAAACUGGCUCUUCAAUCCCGGCGAAGCGUGAAAACGAACAAACUCUCGCGGAUAUCCGCCCAUUGGGACCCCACUACAAGGCAAGCAUCAACAAACACACACACACACAAAUCUUCAGUCAAACUGGGAGAAUCCCGGUCCAGAAAUCCCCGGGGGUAGGGAUGGGGGUGGGUGGAAGAGUCACAAAUUUUGAAUUCCAUUGGGGAGGGAGGUAAAACUGAGAACUUUUUGUGGUGUUUCUCGUCGUCUGGGGUGAAGUCUCCGUCGUUGAGCGGCGUUGACAGCUGAGUGGGGGACGAAGGGAGCAGAAAGGACGAGUGCGAGCGGCGGAGAUGGUAGGACCCACAAAUUGAAAGGCGAAGACGGAAACAAUCGACAUGGAAUACAGGGAGCGGGGACUACAUAAGCCACAACCCUGCGCAGUCCACUCGUAGAUUGUCAGUCAGGCUCUCUCAUUGUCCUUUCUCUUCGCUUACGACUAAAAUCGUGAGGAUCCUGUCUUCUCUCAGGUUGUAUGUUCCCUUUCAACUAUCAGUGUGGGUUCGUCUUCGUUGUUGUUGUUGUUGUUGUUGUUACAGUGCAGCAUUGUGAUAGUGAGAGUGGGGACUUGGAAGAUUGAAUACAUGUCUGUGUGAAGUGGAGGUUGCAUAUCUCCACACUUGAAUCCCGUGAGGAGAUUGAAGGAAUUAGUUGAAUCGCGCAGCAAUGGCCAGCUGUGGUGGUCGUGGCGCGAGGUCGUGGAUUCGCGGCAACCUCAUUGGUGCCGGGACGUUUGGGACGGUGAACCUGGCGGUGAACCGCGAGGACGGGGAAGUGUUUGCGGUGAAAUCAGUGCGGGUGGAGCAGGGUAGGAUGGACGGCGCGGCGCAGCCUUCAUUGGAGGCGCUGGAGAAUGAGAUUGAGAUUCUGCAGAGUCUGGAGUCGAAGUAUGUGGUGAGGUGUCUGGGGAGUGAUUGGACUGAGGAGGGCGGGAAGGUAAUGCGCAAUGCGUACUUGGAGUACAUGCCGGAGGGAUGCCUGACAGAUUUUCUGAAGCAGUUCGCGGGGGCGGAGGCGCCCCUGGAUGAGCAUUUGAUCCGGACGUACACGCGGAGCAUUGUGCAGGGGAUAGACUACUUGCACAGGCAGGGAAUCGUGCACUGCGACAUCAAGGGGAAGAACAUUUUGGUGGGCAACGGGAACGUGAAGCUGACGGACUUCGGAUCCGCGAAGAGGGUCGGCGUCGGGGGCGAGGGGAAGGUGGACGGCGGGGAGUCGUCGGCGUUCGCGAAGGUGAACGGGACUCCGCUGUGGAUGGCGCCGGAGGUGGUGCGGCAGGACGAGCAGGGAUUGGCAUCGGACAUCUGGUCGCUGGGGUGCACGGUGGUGGAGAUGGCGACGGGGAAGGCGCCAUGGAGCGAUCUGCCGAACCCGUAUGUGGCGCUGUUCCAGAUUGGGUGCACGGAGGGGAUUCCGGCGGUGCCGGCGAGCCUGAGCGCGGAGGCACACGAUUUUUUGGGGCACUGCUUUCAGAGGGAUCCUCGGAUGCGGUGGACGAGCAGUCAGUUGCUGGAGCAUCCAUUUCUGACGACCCGGCACGUACCUCGGGCGAUGGUGGUGAAGGAAGAGGAGGAGGGUGUUGUGAGAGCGGAGUCUCCUGGGAGCGUGCUGGAGAACAACGGGCGGUCAGCGAGCAGCGGGUUUUCAUCGGUGUUCAGGAGGUCGGUGCCAAUUCUGACAAUGCCGUCAUUUUUGAAGCGGGGGCUGGUGAGGGAAGCGAAGGAGGAGGAGACGGGAGGGAGUCGGGGAUGCAGUGGGUUUUCGAGCUCUCAGUUCGAGAUGCCAAUGGAGGGAGAGUGGAUCGUGGUGCGGUCGCCAUUGGCGUCUCCGCGAUCAGCUGAUCCCACGCAUCAUGAUUGUGCAGUGUUACCGAUCACCGCUGCGGUUGAGGAAAUUUUAUUGUCGAUCAAAGAUGAAAUUGACUCAGCUGUGCAGUCACAUGAUAGUAAUGCAGUGAAAUCAACUUGCUCUACAGAUUUUCCUCUGGACCAAUGCCAAUGUGUUGGGAGCAUUGAACCAGAAUUGGCUGAGCGUCAUGGCGUCGAGGAAAUGAAUGUAACAUCGAGCUGUGUUAGGAGUUGUACAGAAGAUUGCGAUGAAGAAAUGUGUUGGAGGGAUGACUCUGAGGAAGUUUCUCGGAGUUGUAUAUAUGGGUCAGGAGUACAUGAAGACGCUUGUUCCGUUAUGAAUUUGGAAUCCGACGUGGAAGUGGUAGACAAUGUGCCGAGUGCAUCAGCGGAAGAUGGCGGUGAUGUGCCCAGACUACCAUUGUUGAGAGCGUCUGUGAUUGAGUGUCAGGAAUGUGAUGUGAAGUCAAGGUUUUCCUAUGUAUUUCCGCAAAUGAACUCGGUGCAUUUUGGAAUCUCUGUGAUGGAGUUUACUAGUUCCAAUUUGGAUGUUACAGUGCAGAAGUCACUGUUUUUGUGGCAUAGCUCGGAUGGGGGCUAUGGUCACGAGUGGAUUGAGAGGUGGGACUGGAGCAAUGUAUAUAUGAACAAUGUGAAUAUAGGAAAAACUGUCUCUUGGAAGUUUUGUAUAGUGUUUCUACAUUGCAAUAAAAGCUUCGUACUGAAGAAGAUAUGGAACAUACUGUGCCUCUCUUGGUUUCUUCUUUAUUGCUUGGGUUAAGUGUGGUUAUUUGCCUGAUUAACUUUCAUGAAUUCGAACUUAGAGAUUUGGUGACCUCUCUAUUGCCUUGAAAAUAUCACAAUGUACACAAUGUAUUGUGCAUGAGGAAACAGUCUCUUCACUGAGGAGAGUGUGCACCAGUUGUGUUUGUUUUCCUUCCGUCUUGUAUCCGCAUCGGUGAGGCCCAGGCUGUUGGACAUUGAGGUCGUUGGGUGUGCGCGCAACAUCGAUGAAACAAGAAUGGAGAAAUGAUUCAACUCGAGCAACUUUGAUUCCACAUCACGAAUACCUCACAUAUGCAUACCUGGUAAAUGGAGUAUGGCGACCAUUUCAUGUCCAUGACAUGGACCCAAACCCACAAUCCAAUGUGUCGGUGUGGGUUUUUAUGUUGUGGUGUGUUGCAAUUAGAUCUACUAAACCACACCCUACGUUGCAACUUGCAAAAAAACAUCUCGAUUUACACUCGUUCGUUAAGUCCCUUCGAGGUGAAUGAAGCUCCGUCCUCUCCACUGAAGGAACUGCACUGUUCUCCAUCAUUUGGGUGCUUUCGACGUUCUAGCCAAGUUUUCAGAGACGAGCUGAAACACGCAGUUCCAGCACAUCCUAGCAAGGAAAUGGAGCAAUGUUUCAUCACUACGUCCUUUUCAAGAGCAAUCCACAGGUUCAGCUUUUGGUGGAACCAGUUACUCGCGACUAGAAAUUGGCUCCAUCCGCAUUCAUCUUCCAACCCUCGCUCACCACGCCUUGGUGUAGAUUUUUCUCAAAUAAGACGAUCAGGACAUCCGCCCAAUGUAUUUGUGUUUUCACAGCCCUUGUUCCAAAACCUUCAACGAAGACUGAGCAGCUUGGGCACAAUCGGAUGGCCUCGACGACACAAAGGAACCCAAAUCCAAAGUCGAACAUGGGUGGGUGGAAAACGAAGGUCUGAAAGGACAUCGCAAUGGCAAUUAGCAUAUCCAAUGACGAGAAACCCCUGAAAAUGGGUUUUUGUCGUGGUAGAUAAAAAGGGUAAACAGAGCCCUCUUCACAUGCUCCAGACUGCAGGAAGCUCCUACAUUCGCUCACCUCGAAAAGCCAUCGCUGCGGUGGUUAAUGAUUUCAUCAAGAGUGAGGCGUCAUUUGUUCCGACGGAUGCGCUUUAACCCAUCCUCAUGACACGUUCAACUUCGUUCCCAAUUCCCCCUUUCCAAAGCUGGGUAACAUGGUCGAAUCCAUCAACAAGCCUGAACGAACCGGCGACCUCCAAAGAUAGAUGUGAAAAAAUAAUGGGUCCGGCGUCGUUGAGUCCUCGCUCCUCAUCUUGAUAGGUUAUAAGCCGUCGCCUCCUCGUCUCCGUGGAAAGAACAUCCACACAGUCACUCUCGGGCCCGCUGAUUCGAUAGAAUUCACAUGGCUCAAUUCAUUUGCUGCUGCUCCAAGCGAAUUCCCAACAACUUUGCGUGUGUUUUUAUUUAAUUACUUAUUUAUUUGGUUUUUUUCUCGGAUUCCAUCUUUCGCUACAAAGUGCAUCUGUCUUGUCAAGGACCCUUUAAAAAGCACUAUUGCACUUGGAGUUGAUUCAUUGGAACAUGCCCUCGCCACUCUGCUCGCCUCUCCACCCGUGACUGAAGUCAACCGUUUGUUAUCCUAAUAAUGCUGAUUUUCCUGCCACGCGUUAGAAUGAACUCAUGACAUGAAGCUCCGAAGCCCGAAAUGGAAUUGUUCCGAACAACAAAAACAACAAAGUACACCACAACUGCACAGAAUCCAACAAACCCACACCUCAUCGUUAAACAUUAACCCUGCAUGCAAUGAUAUUUGCAGCAUGACUGAGCGUUUUUUGUUUGUUUGUUUGUUUGUCUCAACGACUCACUAGAAUCACACAUCAGACGCCGAAGCACCUCGAAUGUCGAGAUACUGGGUCGUAUGCAGUAUGCACCUUCAUGCAAAUCAGAGACCAUGGUCAACGCGUGUCAUAAGAUUCGAACUAGUUCGCCUCGACACCGAUUUUGCGAGAUCACGCUCAACAUUCACAUGGCUAAACUCCACAAGGCAACUCAUAUCAAAUUUAUCCCAAGAGGAUUUAGUUAAUUCCCUGCGUGCUAUUCACUAUUAUGGGCUUUGUUUAUCCCUUAACCUCAUGUAUACUCCGCAUGCUUCAGCUGAGCUUAAUUACUCUUCCCCUCAAAACAGUGUGUGUGUUGGUGUUUACGAGGAACUUAAUCCGCGACCCAACUGUAGGUAUUGUGCGUCAGAAAACUGGUGGUUUUUUUUUUGAUUUUUUUGAUUUUUUUGCAUUGGCAGUGAAAUAGGCAGAGACAAUGUUAAUGGUGGUUGACCUCUAGUGUCCAGGUCCACCGGGUUUAUGCACGAAAUCAACAACUUUAAUGAGGAAGAAGUGCAGUGAAGGAGUGUGAUUAGAUGGUGCCAUUGAUAAUUCUACACAGCCAGGCACAUAAACAGAUUCUGGGUGCAGGGAUCAAUCAAAACAUGAAGAUGAAGAAGGGGUGGGUCUAGUGUGUGUCAGAAAAUGUGAAAGUCUUUCAGGUUUCAAUGAGGUAUAUGAAUAAAUGCAGAAUGUGGGGGGUUAAUUGUAAAGUUAAAGUGACAUCUAAAAUUGCGCCGCCUUCAAAACGCUGUAAUUUAUAAAUAUUCAAAAAUUAUAAACGGUCAGAACUAAUUAUUCAUUUUGAAAAGAUUUUGAUUCGAAACCAAUUAAGUUGCUGCCCAAAAAGUUAUUCUUCCAUGUGGAUGUAGAAAUUAGGGGAAAAAAAAUGCACAAAAUCUAAUUAUACAAAAAUUAUAGCUUUAUAAUUUCUAUAAUCAUGAACUAAAAAGACAUGUUUUAUAAAUUUGGUAAAGUUUGGUGAUGAUGCUAGAACAAAUAGCAACCUUAAAGUUGAUGUUCAAAGUAGAUUUGACAAUCUAAAGAUUUUAAUCUUACAUCUAAACAAUAAGAGAUGUUCAAUCAAAUUUUGGUUUACUUUAGAAAACUAAUUCCUUCUUAAAACAAAACAAUACAUGUUGGAAAAGAUAAAGAUGCUACACCAACAUGCUAGGAGGUUCUAAAAAGGGCAUUACAGUGGUAAAAAGUAAAAAUUUAAAAAAAAACAAAAAAAUCAUUGGAAAAAUAAAUAUUCAAAAUUUAUGACCAAAUGUUUGACAUAUUUUUAAUUGAAGAAAAUAUCAAAAUACUAUUUUUAUACUUGUAAAUUUACAAUUUUAAGAUAAUUCAAAAUUUGAUGGAUAUUGCAAUUCUAAAACUUAUCAUAUAUAUAUAUAUAUAUAUAUAUAUAUAUAUACAUACAUAUACACACACACAUACAUACAUCAUAAUAUUCUGGUUAUAUCAUUAUUUUAAAUUGGAUAUAAUUCAAUAUCUAAAACUUUCUCUUCUAAUAUUAUGAGACUUUACAAACAAUUAUUAUGACAAGAAAAAAGUAUUAAGAAUUAAUCUUAAAAUAAACUAACCUCUAUUAUAAAACUAAUUAUAUAUAUAUAUAUAUAUUCAAAUUAAAAAUUAGGUAUGAUUUCCUUGUAUUAAUGAAAAGACUAAUUAGUUGUGCAAAUUUUUUUAUCAUCAAAGGUUAGAGCAUCUUUCUAUCUUAAAGCAAAUAAAUAAUGAACAUUUAGGGGACGUCAAACCCUAGAAAUCCACUUUGAAAGCCUGUAGCUCAAAAGUCUUAUUAAAGUCAUUUACUUAGUGAAGGAAAGCCAUUUGUUUUUAAGAGCCUUGGACUUUUGAUAUAAUAUGAAGUAACUAAAAACCAUGAUAUGGACAAAAUCAUUAUUUUAUUAUAAGUUCAAAUAUGUAGGUUGAUAUCUUAAUUUAAACAAUUAUGAGAAGUACAUCAUAUAUGUAUAUAUGUAUAUUAAUGGUUAUUUUAAGUAUGUUGUUGAGAUGGUUUUUCAAUUUUUUUUGAAAACCACUUCUUUGAAAUUGGCCUAAUGGAACUUCUAAAAAACAAUAGUAUUUAUGCAAUAUCUGAACUAUAUAUAUAUAUAUAUAUAUAUUUAUAUAUAUUUCAUCUCAUUCUUCUCUCUUAGGGCAUUUUGCCCUGUUUAUUUUUUAAAUCUAAAGAAAAUCAAAGGAGGCUUCUUAAUUUCAACCAAUCAAAACAUUUAAAAUUUAAGGUCUUUUAUCUUGUCCUAUAAGUAUAAAAUAUCCCUUGUAUUUUGGGAAUAUUAAGAUAAAUAAAAAGAAUUUUUAAAUCAACUAAGGUUUUCACUAAAUCAAUCCACCCAUCCUAACUAUUGUCAAGAAUUCUCCACUGUUUUAUCUGCACUGGUUGAAAACCAACAAAAAAUAGUUGGAUCCACAACCAAUGAUAGUGGGUGGGUUGAUUUAGUGAAUGCAUGGAUCAAUUUAACAGUUCCCUAAAUAAAAUAGAUUUUUUUUUUUUUAAAGAGUCAACUAUGGUUGGAAGAAUACAAACACUGUUAAAAUCUUCAUGUAAAAAAUUAAUUGUUUGAACAUAAAUUUUCAAAAAAUUCUGGUUUUUAAUAUAAUAUCUAUCUAUCUAUCUAUCUAUCUAUAUAUAUAUAUUAAUUGUUUGAAUAUAAAUAAUCAUAUAGUUAUAAAAUAAGAUUUUGUACAUUAUGAUAUCUUGUGCACAGAGAUAGUUAUGACAUUAAUGAACAUUCACAAAAAUUGACACCAAACAUGAUUAAUAAAUCACAAAAGAUAAAACUGUUUCCUUAUUUAAUUGAAUACAUAUCAAACUACCAAGUUUAGAAUGUGAGUAGUCAAGUCAAACCUGAAUCAUACAAUGUGGAUUUUGAUCCAUACAACCAAGUGCAUGAUGAAAUUAGAUUCAUUGUCAUCAAAUGCAUACAUGUGUGAUCAAAUCUGUACAAUUUCAAAAAUUAUAAAACAUAGAUAAGAUUUGAUAUCAUACGAACUGUGAUUUAGUUAUUACACUUAUUUCUCUCUGCCAAUAGAAUAAUAUGUGAAUGUAUCUUAUUUAUUUUAUUUUAUUUUAUUUAUGUUUCCAAUGCCACAAAUAUCAUUAGAAAUAUUUGUGAUGACAGAGAUUUUACUUGUUUCGUAGCUAAAUAUAAAAAAAUUGAAACUAAUGAAAUCUACUUGAAAUAGAAGGACAAAACUAAAUCUUCAAACUCAAUAUUAAGUUUUAUUAAGAUUUAAAAUUCGUAAUUUAAUUUAAAGGAAUCGUAAUUAAUAAUAAAAAGUGGCCAUAAAACACUCUCUUUUUUUCCCCUCAUCUUUCUUCCACUGUUCGAACGUGGGAGCCACUUGUCACCUGCCACGUGGACAUCUAACCCAACCACUGACCACAAUUUCGUGGAAAUUGACUCCUUUUACGUGGCAGCCAGUUAGCCGCACCACCUUACUGGUUACGUGGCGCACUCCCAUUCGCCAGCUCAUAUACUCGUGAUGACGUGGUCACACCACGUGGCAUCUAAAAGCAAUCAUUAUUUUAUUAUUUUAAAAAAGGUACUCUCAAUGUACCCUUCAGUUGUGAAGUGUGGUAGCCUUAUCCAAUAGCCCCAACAGAAUUUAGGGUUAGGGUUUCAAGGGGUCCUUCUUCCGAGUCAACAAAAUCCAAACUGGGGAAAGUUGUUUGGAUUCAGUUGUUGUUGUGGUUGAUGGGAGGAGGGGGGGGGGGGCACUUGAUACACAACUGCUACAAAGAAAUGGAGGCCCCAGAGAUCCAGAAAUUUUGAUUUGAUUUCAUUUCAUUUCCACUGGGGAUUGGAUUUUACGAAGAUUCAUGUUUGAAUGAGAUUGAAUCCUAAUUAGGGUUUUGUGUAAGUUUUGGGGUGUUGGUGUUUUCUUGUGCAUCGGGUAACAUAGAUUGGAUUAUGUGGGGCUCCAAAGCAUGGCCUUAAUGGGGCUGUGAGUCAUAGUGAAAAAUUCUCUGGGUCACUCACUCCACAGUUCAAAACUGAUUGCAUAUUUUUAACAAGAAACUGAAACCAUAAAGACUGGGGGAGUGCAAGUAGGUUUGGGCUUUUAUGGAUUGGAAGAAAAUAUUUAGGGAGGAGGUAAGAUUGUGCAAUUUUUUGAAAUCUUUUUUUUUGGGUUAACUGUUGCAUUUACCAGCACAAUAGUUGUUUGAUUCAAUGAUCAAACAUCAUACACAUUAAAUAAUAAAUUUCUUUUAGACAUGUUGUAAUGCAAAAAAAAUAAAAAUAAAAAUAAGACACACACACAGAAAUAAUAAGUACAUCAUCUUAAUUGACAUAAAUUAUAAAUUUAUAAAAAUUUAAAUGAGACAUAAAAACUAUAACUAUAUCUAUUUUUUGUUUUAAAAGUUGGAUCUUCUUGCUCUAAAUGUAGUAGAAAUAAAGGUAGAGUUGGUCCAUUAAGUAUUGUUCUAAUAAAUCUAAUUUGAGAUGCUUCAAGCAAAUCACUUUGUAAAUAGAAUAUUAUAAUAAGUUGUACUUGUUAGAAAAAUAUUUUAAAAUUUAUCUAAAUACUGUCAAAUUUCUUUAAAAGAACAUUUUUUAUAUGAAUAGAUGUUAUUACACUUCUCUGACGAUUUGUAAUAAAAAACAUUACUUGAGUUGGUAGAAAUGUUGCAUAAACUUUUACCAAUUACACUUUAUAGUAAAAUAUUUGAUAAUGACUUGUGCCAUGCACAAAAGAACUAAAGUAUCUUAAACCAAACCUAGAAUAUAAAAAGGGUGUUGGCAAGAUUAAAGAUGACCUUAAUCUUCCCUACAUAACAUAAUAGUUAAUAAAAAAGCCAUGUACAAACUUUCUAAAGACUAUAAAAUUUGUGAGCCACAUAUUCAAGUCAUAAGAUGUUUCUUUUGUAGUUUUUUAAGUGUUCCCAAAUUCCUCAAAAUUGUUUUUGGCAAUAUGGUGCAUCUAAAGAUACUUAUAGAUCCAACUAUGUUCAAAAAGGUUCUUUGAUGUCUCUUAACAAUGAUAUUAUUAAUUUAAAAUAAUUUUAUUUAUUCCAUUUUAUUUUUUUAUUUUUAUUAUCUUAAAUAAAAACAAGAAUAUAUUAAAAAAUUCUAUUUUCUUAGGACUUUAAAGUGGAUUUAUAAAAUAAAAAUCAACUAAUACUUUAAGGAUUAUAUUAUGUGUUAUAAAUUUAGAUGAUUUUAUGUAUUAUAUGUUGUAGAAUAAUAAAUAGCUUUUUGAGAUAUAUAUAUAUAUAUAUAUAUAUAUAUAUAUAUUUCAAAAACAUUAUUUGAUAAAUGAUAAUACAAAUCAUGAUUAAAGUGAUGAAAAAAUCAUUUGCUUAAAGAACGAAGGCCUAUUGAUAAUAAAUCUAAAAAAAAAAAUUUAUUUUUUAAAAAGAAAUUGGAAUGCCAAAUUUAUUAAUAAUUUAAUUAAAAUUUACUUAAGAAAAAAUAUGAAAAAUUAUAUAUUUAUUAAUAUAUAUGUAUUAAUUAAAUAAUUAAUCAAUUUUUAAAAUUGAUGUUGUUGUGGAUGUAAAGAUUUCUAAAUACAACAUUUAAAAAUUUAAAAGUGAGAUCAAAUAUUCUAGUUAAUAUUGUAAAAAUUAAAAAUAAAUAAAAAAAUUUACAUACUUUAAAAUGAAUAUUUUCUUUGUUUUAUAAUUUUCUUUACCAAAUCAUGUUUUAUAUAUGGAAUUGUUUCUUUGUGUACUGUAGAAUAGGUAAAUAAACUUUGUGGUAAGUUACUAGUUGGUUAUUGAUAACCUUGAGAAUUAGACUGAUGGUUAGGCAGUUUAGUUGGUAACAGUAGGUUGUUAGUGGAAUAAAUGGUUAAGAAUUCAAAGGGUUAUAAUCUUUGGAAUCUCUUGGCCGACAGUCCAUCUUUUGGUAGGAUAAAGAAGUUGAGGAAAGGGAGAUCGAGGCCAAACUGUGAUAAUCGUAAGCCGAGGCAAGGUUGGUGCUACCUCUUUUUGUUUCUUUGUUAUUGACGAGUAAUGGAUAGUUUCUGAAUACUGAGAAGUUAGUCUGGAGUGCCAAACUAUGAGAGUUGUAAGCCGAGAUAUUGAAUUCUAUGUGAUGAAUUGAAAAACUGAAUACAAUAGAUAAGCUAGAGAUCAGUAAUUGAAUAAAUAUAAACCACAAAGAGAGUAAGUUGGAGAUGGACGGAUAAGAAUAUGGAAGUAUUGUUGAAUUGAUAGUCGUAGAAUGGAUUAUGGGUUGAAUUAAGACAGAAGUAGUAAGCCUUGGCGUUUUGUAGUUUGAUAAUUGAUUUUAGAUAGUGAGAGUACAGUCAAUUGUGACACUAACAAAUCCAAUUCAUAUUACUAGUCUUUCCCCGUGUUCAAACCCACCUCUAUUAGUUCAAUUGCUUUGGUAUAUUGAGGCUUGAAUACAAUGAAAACAACAUGUACACAUCAAACAAAACUAGAGUAUAUUAUUAUUAUCUUAACAUAUAUAGAAUAUAACAUUUGGCUCACAUUGACUAAGUUUAGUAUAUGGUAUAUGAUAAUUUAAUAAGAAAUAUAUAGCAUUGUAUAUAUAUUUUUAAUGGAAAAAGAAAUGUGGUUGGAAAUAAAAAUCAAAUAGUUGGAGUAGAUUCAAUAAAGAUUCUAUAAAACUAUGGACUAUUAUCAAAAUUUUGUAGGUUGUAGACAAAAAUAUGAUCAAAAUAAAGAAAAAGACAAUCCAUCCUUUCUUUUUACAUACACAAAUAUAAAACAUGAACUCACAAUAUAAAGUUUAAAGAACCUUUUUUCGCCCUGGCUUGAAGAGAACGUGAUUCCAAAGAUGGGUUCCCAUGUUCCUGAACAUCUUAAGAGGCGCCGCGAAUUGGUCACGUCACGGCGCGUUGCGUCGCGUCGCGUCACGGCACGGCAAAGGGCGUCACAACACGUCAGGGCGAUGUGAGGGCGCUGUGAGGGCGGCGUCGCGUGCAAGGGUGAGAGGAGGGAGGAGAGGGAAGAACGCCGCAAAAGGAGAGGAAAUGAGAGGAGAUAAGGAGGAGGGGAAUAUGAUGUAAAGACUGUGUGUGACUAGAAAGAGAAAGGAAGGUUGUUGUAGGAUAAGGACAAACUGAACGCAAAAAAGAAAGAUAGAAAAAAUAGACUAUUACAUACAUGGCUACGAUUUAACUGCUUUCGCCCGUUCGCACGCUUCGGGCAGCACGGUGAGAGGAUCUGCCGAUUCCUUCGUUUCGACCUUUCACCCAGUUUGAAUCCUCGGAGCGAAUUUGGGAGAAUUCAUUUCCUUUUCUGCCGUUUGAGCUCCGGUCGCUGCAUGCGAGGAUUGAGCUAAUCGGGUAGCGAGGAGACACUCUAUCGGCUCCUCUCCUGAACGUCGCUGUGGAAAGCACUCCAUAAGGCGAGCUCACCACAUGAUUCGGAGCACUCCUCUCGGGUACGGAGCAAUCGGGGGAUAGUCACCCAAACACUGUUUCGUGGGGCCGUCACUCUCGCGGCGGAGCUUUUUGUUCCGAGCCAAUGCGAUGCAGCCUAGACGCGAGUGCAGAUCCGGCCACUCUUGCAAGCACUGGCUCUACCGCUUUUUACCCUGGCCAAAUAGUAGAGAGAAUUGCUCCCUCCAAUGGCCGGCGUCAGGAGACAUCCGUCCCAGGGUGGAUUCAUUGGUACGCGUCACCCAAAGUCACUGUAAAGGCACCUCUUCCUUGGGUCACGACGACGAAUGGGGUGACUCCUAGGAAUAAGAUUUCACCGACCCCGUAGUCCUGCACUCGAAAAAGCGAGCUAGGAAAAAGGACGCAUUUGAUGUAAUGAUGCAAGUUGAUUUGUUUGAAUAUAAAAUUACGGAGCGCGUUUCACUGGACCUGCUCGUUGUGUGCUCAUAGCUGGCGUUACUAGUGUGCAUCUUGAAGCCAGGGAGGGACCACGCCAUGUGCAUAUUUCGGUCAAUGGAUAGUUUUGUGAUAUCUCCCGCAUAGUAUGCGACCCAUUAAAGGAUCAUGUAACAGAAUUUGAGCUUGCAGAAGAUGGCUGCAGGUCAAACAAAAUGUUCAACUCGUCACAGGCAUGACGGAAUGGGUCGUUAUCGACUUCGAGCAGAAGGAAGUGAUGUGGUUUCGUAAAAGCAAAAACCUAACAGAUAGGGGCGACGUGUGACACGUAAGCGACCGGAGUACUUCUGAUGUUCAAUGACCAAGUGACCCUAACCAGUAGGAGGAAGAUAAUCCCUUCAACACUGAAAUCACACAUCCAGUUGUGAGACACGAAAAUGAAUAAAUAAAUGUUAUAUGAUCUACACCAAAUGUCACAAACAAACGCAUUCACGGAUGCACAAGCUCCAUCACACACCGGAAGUACCGUCAACAUAUUUCCCAGAACUUUGCGUCCAUUAUAUCGUCGUAACACUGUACACAGGCUCCUAAGACCGCCGCUUCCCAUAUUCACAUCACUUUUAUCUACAUUGCUCCACUCCCGCCCCCGCCUACACUUGUGAUCAUCAGCCCCAUCCAGCCCAAGCCAUAUUAACAGUGCCUUGAGCAUAAACUCUCCCGAAAUGGGAUGAGCAAAAAACCUCGACAUGGACAUUCCAGGACGAUCAGACUCUACUUGAAGCACAAACGGCAAAAACCCUACUUUCAAACUACCUACUCCAUGCUCAAUCUCGGAUGUCGUGACCGGUGGUCGCGAAGUAAAUGAGGUCACCUCGUUCCCUACCAGUUCAACACCGGAUCUGAAAUUCGUUCGGAAAGGAGCAUUUACAUUCUCUUCCGACUGAAGUUUUGUACAUAGACCCAUAGAGCUUUGUGUUGCAUCACCCCGGGCGGGGCAAUCCAGCCCCGCUCCCUCUGCCACGAAGCUGCUGAUACACUGCUCCAAAGAGCAAAAGCUGCCGCUAUUCGACCUCAAUUCAUUUACACAUUUCUCCAACACCGACUCCUUAUCCUCUGGGCUGCUCGACGCCACUUUAACAUCAGUGUCACGCCUGACCACUUCCUCUUCCUCUUCAGCAGUAGUCGACAACACUGUACGAUCAUGAUGCGCGGGCUCAGCUGAUCGCGGAGACGCCAAUGGCGACCGCACCACGAUCCACUCUCCCUCCAUUGGCAUCUCGAACUGAGAGCUCGAAAACCCACUGCAUCCCCGACUCCCUCCCGUCUCCUCCUCCUUCGCUUCCCUCACCAGCCCCCGCUUCAAAAAUGACGGCAUUGUCAGAAUUGGCACCGACCUCCUGAACACCGAUGAAAACCCGCUGCUCGCUGACCGCCCGUUGUUCUCCAGCACGCUCCCAGGAGACUCCGCUCUCACAACACCCUCCUCCUCUUCCUUCACCACCAUCGCCCGAGGUACGUGCCGGGUCGUCAGAAAUGGAUGCUCCAGCAACUGACUGCUCGUCCACCGCAUCCGAGGAUCCCUCUGAAAGCAGUGCCCCAAAAAAUCGUGUGCCUCCGCGCUCAGGCUCGCCGGCACCGCCGGAAUCCCCUCCGUGCACCCAAUCUGGAACAGCGCCACAUACGGGUUCGGCAGAUCGCUCCAUGGCGCCUUCCCCGUCGCCAUCUCCACCACCGUGCACCCCAGCGACCAGAUGUCCGAUGCCAAUCCCUGCUCGUCCUGCCGCACCACCUCCGGCGCCAUCCACAGCGGAGUCCCGUUCACCUUCGCGAACGCCGACGACUCCCCGCCGUCCACCUUCCCCUCGCCCCCGACGCCGACCCUCUUCGCGGAUCCGAAGUCCGUCAGCUUCACGUUCCCGUUGCCCACCAAAAUGUUCUUCCCCUUGAUGUCGCAGUGCACGAUUCCCUGCCUGUGCAAGUAGUCUAUCCCCUGCACAAUGCUCCGCGUGUACGUCCGGAUCAAAUGCUCAUCCAGGGGCGCCUCCGCCCCCGCGAACUGCUUCAGAAAAUCUGUCAGGCAUCCCUCCGGCAUGUACUCCAAGUACGCAUUGCGCAUUACCUUCCCGCCCUCCUCAGUCCAAUCACUCCCCAGACACCUCACCACAUACUUCGACUCCAGACUCUGCAGAAUCUCAAUCUCAUUCUCCAGCGCCUCCAAUGAAGGCUGCGCCGCGCCGUCCAUCCUACCCUGCUCCACCCGCACUGAUUUCACCGCAAACACUUCCCCGUCCUCGCGGUUCACCGCCAGGUUCACCGUCCCAAACGUCCCGGCACCAAUGAGGUUGCCGCGAAUCCACGACCUCGCGCCACGACCACCACAGCUGGCCAUUGCUGCGCGAUUCAACUAAUUCCUUCAAUCCACCACCCGCUGGCCAAGAGUGGAAGCGGAUGAGGUGCACCUCAUAAAAACAUAACACGCUGAUUCGACACUUCAAACGCUACUCGCGAAAAUCCUAUGGUCUCUCAGAAACGAAAUCACAAGAAACGCAGAUGAGCAAUACUGCGUUUGUGCGGUUGAGUUGUGGCUGAGGCAGAGCGCAGGAGUGAGAGCUUAUUGCAGGUUUGCCACUCUAAGCCAGAAGUCUCCCGCAGCUUAUGUAUCGUCCGCCUGAAAUCUGAUUCUAUGGCAGAGCCUGGUAGCGCCCACCCUGCGCUGCUGCUCUUUUAGGAUUGAAUAAAAAUUAUUAUCCUGAUUGCAUUGAAUACGAGCACCAGAGCUUGUCCGCGGGGCCCAGCUCGCUCGCUCUCGGCUCGGACCCUGCAACUGCAGGCAGCCCGCGUGCUCCGCUUCACUUUUCCCCCGCCUCUCCCGCUCCAGCACCUUUUUAGCUACGAUCCCCAGGUCUCCUUCUUCGUCGUCGUUGUCGUCGUCGUCAAAUUCCUGCUUCGUCUUCACCACAAUCACGAAACAAUACCCCUCGAAUUCACACACACACUGCAGAGUUAAUUACUAUCCACUCACCCAGUAUUAUCAUCAGUUUUAUUAUUAGUAGUAUUAGUAAUAUUAUCCAGCAACGGUGAGGCUGCGUGGUUGCCUCAAAGCGAGCGCGAGAGAGGAGAGUGGUAAGAUAUCCCACAAUCACGAUCACCCACCUCCACCUCCAACUCCACCACUAUCAGCACCACCAGUUAUCACGUGGAUCCGAUUCACCUGCCUCCGACCUACCUCGGUCCUCGCCACCCCAGUACACCUCUCUUCCGCCUUAUCAUCUUACCCACUCUCUCGCCGAUCUAGGGUUUUUAUUUUUGUUUCGUUGGGCUAUGUGUGGUCUUUUUCAUUUCGUUUUCUGUUUGUUUCUUUGUAAUGGGUUUUGAACGGAUUUCUGUUUCAGCACUUAUUCCAUUUGGGGGAAGAUAUUCACCCGGUGAGUGAUAAAUGUGUGUGUGUGUGUGUGUUUUUUUUUUUUUUUUUUUUUUUUUGCUUUCUUUGCUUUUAUCUUGUUGGUUUUUACUAGUGUUUCUGUGAUGUUGUUGAAGAUAUGGAGUGUCUGUUGUCCUUGAAAGCAGUUUUCUGGAGACAUGGAAUGAAAGUCAUAUAUUUAUGUGUGUAAUCCAUAUUCAAACAUGGAGAACAUAAAAUAUCUUCCAUGGGUCUGAUUGGGGCAGGUUUUAUUUUUAUUUUUUUAUGUUUUAAAAGUUGGAUUGGCAAGAUAAGGUUUGAAUGCUUAGGUCAUCAAGGUCUCAAGUUUGGAGGCCUAUUGCUAAGGAUAUGGCAAUCUUGAUGCAGAGUUUUAGAGCACCUACACAUUUUUAUUUUACUUAUUUGCUUAUUUUAUAAUUUGUUUUUGUAACCUUCCCUGGCAUGUGAAAUUAUGGUCCCUGACAUAGCUUCAAGGCACGACACAUCAUGUAGUUUUAUUUAUUUAUUUAUUUAUUUAUUGUAUUUUUGUAUAUAUAUAUAUAUAUGCAUGGUGUCAACAGGAGACAGCUUGUUGUUGGUGAGUGAUUGAUUUGACUUGUUUCUCCACAACAACAAGCAGUGAAAACCACUACAAUUAAAACUUGCAAACAUUUUUCUUCUGUGUACAGAAAGGUUCUCUAUUGAAUGUCCAAAGUUGUAUUUAUGCAUUUAAUAUAUGUAUAUAUAUAUAUAUAUAUAUAUAUAUAUAUACAUAUAUAGUAAUUUCCCUCACUCUACGCCUUUGGUCCCAUCUACAGAUUAAAAUUUGGACAAGCUUGAGCAUGGUUUGUCAGUGUUUCAGUAGCUCUGUCAACAACAAACCUCAGAGGAAAGAUUUCAUAGAGAAGCAAAUUUAAAUAAGAUAUAGAAAGUCUGCAUAUCCAUACAUUCAUACACAAACAAGCAUUUAAGAAUGUGUGCGCAUCACCACCAUGCUUUAGACUGUUUUUAUCUUGUGAUUUAUAUGUGUAGUCAGUGUUUGAAAACACAAAGAUAUUUUGUUUCCUUGUCCACACCUUCUCUAAUUGAUGAAGAAACCAGACUAAGUGAUUUUCCCCACACACACACAUGUAUAUAUACACACACAUACAGACAGACCCACACAGACUUCUUCUGCACAAGAGCAGAGCUGGGGUUGGCUUUUCCAGCUCAAUUGGGGAUUAAAGUUCAUGAGGGAGGCUUUUUUUGGUCUCAUGGCAUUCAACAGCAUUCUCCAAAAAGGAUUAGCUUAUGAGUGCACCUACGCCUAGCUCCACUUGAGUUGACCUUUGCAGAGCAUCCACUUCUGUAUUUCUGUUUAUAUAUAUAUAUAUAUAUAAAUAAAUAAAUAAAUAAAGAACCUCCUUCCAUCUCUCCUUUCCUGUUCUAUGCUCCUCCCAUGUGCAGGAAUAAGUAAAAAGCCUGUGGGAAGGGAAGACCGACUAAUUCACACAUGAGCCAUUUUUCUUAUUCCACAUGUUAAGUUCCAAUUGCUAGAAAAAUUUAAGGCAUUCUGGAAGGUGAGUUUGAUGACAUGGGAUUAAAAGGGGGGAAUAUGACCACUAUGAGUGUGAGAUAAAUCUGUAGUUGAAUUAUUUGAAAUAUUUAAUUUUCAAACUAUACUUUAUACACUUGUCAAAAUCCACAGGAGCACCAAACUUGAGUAAUAUUCUUAAAGUUUGUGUGUGUGUUUUUAUUUAUAUUUAUAUUUAUUUGAAUGUUAUAUUUUCAUUUUUUUAACCUGUAACUCUUAUAAUUCAAAUAAUUAUUUUGAAAUAUUAAUUUAACCUGAUAGUCAUAGUAGUUCAAAUGUUAUAUUUAUGUUAAAGGAAUAUACAUAAAACAUGUGUAUAUACAUAUAAGUUACAUUUCAAUCUUUAGUGUUUGUUUACUUUUCCUUGGCAAUGUUAACCACAGUUCUUUCACUGAGCAUUGGAUCCACAACACAUGACUUUCAAACAAUCACCCAACCUUUAUGCACGAGUACCAAAUAAAAGCUGCAACGAAAUUCUCAAUUCUCGACUUUUGGAUUUCAAAUUUGAAACGAACACACACCACUUCAACAACCUUGUCAGGCAAUGAUUUUGAUGCCCUUUUCUCUGUACAACUUUACCAAACUUUGGUUAAAACGGAUGGAUAACCUUACAACUCUAGAUAGAUAAACUCAUGUAAUCCUCAUUUAAAAAGAAGUGAUUGUGUUUCCCCCUAUACACUAAUUAAAGAAAAGUAGUAGUAGAAGAAGCAGAAGCAGAAGCAGAAGUUGUGAGUCUGUCACGCUCUCAUUUAUAUUGCAAAUUAUUAAACAAGGUACCCAAUUAUAAAAAUCUCUCUAUCCAUCGAACUAUAUAUAAACCAGCAUUCAAGUUCCCCCGAAGCCGAAAACAAGGCUCUUGUUAAGGCUUGAAUGGCGGCUUACUGAUCGGAAACAAGACUUUGAGGAGGAGCAAAGAUAUUUAGUAGUAAUUUUUUAUCUAAAGAAUUUGUAUGUAUUCCUGGGGAGUGGUGUUGAAUACCUAUCCAUAUCACUCGUGAGGGGCUCAUUAUAAUAACUGGAGUGUGUGUCAUUAUCCAUACAUCCUUUGCAAAAACAACCCAACUGGAUCAGAUUAGUUAAUGGCAGGCGCUGCCGGAAUUGCGAGCUGGCUGUGGUGAUCGUCAAUCAAAAGCCGCGCCGUGGUUUGGUUUGGUUGCGGCACAUGGAUAGAAGCCGGGAUUGGAAUUGCGGCAGAAAUCCCUAGUGAAAACCAGCAGAAAUGGGGCUCAGGGGGGAUGUGCACAAGGCGGUUGUCAUAACACGCCCUUGUGGUAGCGUAUUAUUAGCGCCAGCGGCUCCAUCAAGCGAGAACCAAUUUAUAGGCGCGGAGUUGGGUGCAAGUGUAUGGGAAGUGGAAUGGAGCAUCAGACCUAGAACAUGAUUCUCAUAACGUCGCUCACCUAAUCGUCUGCCGAUCGUCCCCGAACCCAGAGCUGGACCCAUUAUAGAUUGCUAUUUCGUGAUCGAGCUGCUCGGGGUCGAAUCUAACCACGGCCGCUAGCGCCCAACCGCAUGGGUCCCCGGGCGCCCCGGUCGUCGCUUUCGUUUUCGGCCAUAGACCUACAGUGCCCUCGGGUAUAACUGAAUGAAUGGAGUGGUGUGGGUUUUGUGGUGACGCUGAAUUUGGCUAGCUGUUGCCAGAGCACUUUUCUAUCAUGUGGACGUCAUCGACAAAGCGGAAGACGGGAGUGAUCGCUGACUGGACCUUCUUCGAUGCACCGGAGCCAUCCAUUCCCGGGCCAGGCUCUCCUCCUCGCAGCCAGCCAGCCAUGGAAUGCUGCCAUUGGGUUGGGAUUCAUCCAAUUUUAUCCUGCAACCCUCGAUUCCGCAACAAGACAAAACAAAACAUCACUUGGCCCUCCCUCGCAGCCGAAACCAGUCACAUUAUUCGUUUUCACAAUUGGGCCAAUGGGCGCGCUUCGACAGACACUAGUGAUCCCCCGCUUCUGUUUGCCCGCCAAGCGCCCAAGGAGUGGGUGGCAUCUCUCCCGGCGCGGGUUCCGGGGCGGAAUCCUGUCUGCCCUACGGUCCCUGGGUCAGAUCCUCCCCUCACCGUUAUAUGCAUCUCAUUACUUUAUAGAUGAAUAAACAAAUAAACAAAUAAAAAUCAGACUUGCCUUCACGGGAAACUCUCAAAUAUGGGAGAAGAAUUUUUGAGUAGAAAUAAACACGUACAUAAAUAAAUAAAUUUGCUUUGAAAAGUAUGUAUGGUAGUCUAGGGUGAUGGUCCAUGGCGUUGGAACACUUGAAUGAAUGGAUGUGUGGUGUAUAUUUAUAGUAUCUAAAAGGAGGAGGAGGAGGAUAUAACCUGGCUUCACCUGCAUGUGAUAUUUAUUUUGUGUGGAAUAUAGUGUAGGCCACUGUUGUGCAAUGAUAAAGAGGGGGUUUUGUCAUUAUGCUUGUGCUUUGUUUAGAAAAAAGGGCAUGGAAAGAGUCAUACAUUUAUUAAUUUUGGUUUUGCAAACAAUCAUUGCAUGUUUGAAUCUUUUAUGCUCAUCAUAACAAUACCCAUCUUAGUAUUAUGCCAUCAAAAACUUUGUUUUUUAAUUUUUAUUGUUUCAUUAUUUUAUUACAUUUUGCUCAAUGAUUAGAAGGGUUACAUGUGUUUACGUUUUGAAGAAUAAAUGGCUUUCUUGUUUAGCUGGUUUGAUCUGGAAUAGGCAUGAUUGAAGGUUUCUAAUCCUCAAAUAAUGAUAAGCACAAAUCAGUCAUUCUAUGUAUGUUUGUGUGUGUGUGUAUAUAUAUAUAUAUAUAUAUAUAUAUGAAAAUUAAAGUUGAAAUAAAAUGAAACGAAGAAACUGGUUAAUUCAUUUACCAAUGUUGCUGCAAUCUGUCAUGAAAUAAAGGUACAAAAGUAAAGAAUUGACCUGGAUAUUAGUACUUAAAUAUGUGCAGUUAUUAUGCUAUUCCGUAUUUGAUGAAGAUAGACUCAAACAGUGCAUUUCAAUUCUGGGCUUGAAGCUAUUUUUUACUAUUAAUAUAUGAACUUGUAGACAUGAAAUUGCAGUUUCUUUUGUGGUUCAAUUGCUGCAAGAUGAAUGCACAUAUAGAUAAAUAGAUUAUCAAUUAAAAUAAAAGGAAGCACAUAUAUACAAAAAUUAAUUUAAGAAAUAAUCAAGAAAGUUAAAGUGAAAUUAUUGUAUAAAUAUUGGUGUUGAAAUGUAUACUUUUAUUUUUUUUAUUCAUUUUUUUGAAAAAGAAAAAAAGAAGGAAAAUUUGAAUUUUAUUUAUUUUAUAUAUAUAUAUAUAUAUAUAUAUAUAUAUAUCUUUCUUGAUAACAAUUAUCAAUGCAAAAAGAGAAUUUCUGAACCAGAUUUUAAAAGAUGGAAAAAAUUUCAUUGUAUUAUAGAUUCAUUUUUUUAGAGUAUAUUUUUAAAAGGUAUUUAUAUUUAUAUAUUUACCAUCAUGUUUGCACCUCUUUCUAUCAUUACUUUCAAUUUUUUAAAAAUACAUUGUAUUCUUUGCAUGGCUAAUUUGUAAUAGAUUCAUUUGUUUGUGUUCAUGUUCAUAAAAUUUGAAUUCGAUCACAAUUUAUAUGACGUUUUAGUUUUUCUGUUUGAAAUGAUUAUUUUUUAUUAUCACAUGAAUAUAAAAAAAAAAUCAUGAAAGAAUUUGAUAUAACUAUGAAUAUGAAUACUUGGAGAUAUUUUUCAUUUUAAAUUUGAAGCUAUAUUUUUAUUUCAUGCAAAUAUUGUAUUGUUACUGCAACAUUUGAUUGAAAAUAAACCAAAAAGUCAAUGUGUCUAUAUUAAGUAUUUGUAACAUCCAAUUUGUUUCAUGUUUUCCCCAACACACAGUAAUUGUGAAGUUUUUAAUAACAACAACAGCUAACAUAAAAUGGAAAGUUUUAUUUACACAUUAUAUCUGCAUCAGUAUAUGAGCAUUAUAUAUAUAUAUAUAUAUAUAUAUAUAUAUAUAUAUAUAAUAUAGCCUAAUUUUUUUAAAAAAAGUAUUACAUACAAAGUUUGUACAAGAAUUAUUUCUUAGUUUCAAUUUCUUGGUUAUAUAUUAUUAAGGAAUGUAAUAACUUUUAUACACUUGAUAUGGAAAUAAUGUUAAAAACUAAAAGUUAUUAUAUAUAUUGUGUAAUUAUAUAUAUAUAUAUAUAUAUACACACACACACACAGAUGUUAAAUAGAUAUAGGCUUUUACUAAAUGAUCUAGCCAUCCUAACCAUUAUGAAAAUAAAAAUGACUUUAACAUUCAUUUUUCUACUUCUGGAUCUAAAACCAAUGAAAACCAACCACAUUCAUCAUAAUUAUGAGAGUAAUUUAUUUUGUUAUUUUAUUAAACUAAAUAUAAUUUAUUAUAUAUAUAUAUAUAUAUAUACACACACAUAUAUACUCAAAAUAUAUUCAAAAUAUUUAUAUAUUUAUUUUUUUAAUUUUAUGUUUAUUUAAAAUUAUAAUUUAAAAAUAAUUCAAAAAUACAUAUGUAUAUAUAAAAUUUAUUUUAAUUAAAUACAUUAUCUAGAAUUAUAGAUUAGAGCAAGAAGUUCUUUUGAAUUAUCUUAAUCCAACUUGAUGACUUAAUUACACAAAGGCUAAGUAAUUAUAUAUAUAUAUAUAUAUAUAUAGAGAGAGAGAGAGAGAGAGUUAUAGAGAGUUGGCUUGCAAUUUGUAUAUGAUGCAAGGUUGAAAUUAAUAUGGAUUGUAAGAAUAAAAUUUGGUCAAACAUAACUUUAAACGAUGGACUUAAUAAAGAUGUCACAGAUUUAUUAGAGAUCUUAUUUAGUAUAUAUAUAUAUAUAUAUAUAUAUAUACAAUUAAUGCAUUAGUUGCAUCUAAAGUAGUAGAUUAAAUCUUUGUUACAUAAAAAGAAUAUAGCAUACUUUUGAUUUUUAGAAUAUAUGUGUUUAUAUAUAUAUAUAUAUAUAUAUAUAUAUUAGAGUAAAUCAAAUAUAAAUGUUAGUUUAAAGAUAACUUAAAUAUAUUUGAAGCAACUAAUUUUAUGAAUUUAUAUUUCUAGUAUCAUAAUACUAUAUAUAAAAAAUAAAAAAUUACAUGUAGUUCAUGUUAUAUGAAUAUAAAUAAAACAUUAAAUAUUUAUUCCAUAAUCAAAUUGAUUAAUCAAUUAGAAUACUCCUAUUAUUGAAUAAUUAAAUAAAUUUUGGUUUAUGGUGUAUAUGUCUAAAUUAAAAAAGAUUUUAACAAAUUACAUAUGAUUUGACAUUAUUUUAUAGAAAAUAAUACAUAAAUAGACAUAAUUGAGAAGAAUUAUGCAUUGAUGUUGCCAUAUUAGUAUACAAGGCCUAUGUGUUAUAAACAUAGAGAUAUUCAAAUCAUAUUACUUAAAUUUAGACAUGUGAAAUAGAAAACAACAUAUAGUUUGAAAUUACUCAUACAAUUAGAUAUUUCUCAAAGAAGUUUUAUUUAUAUAUAUACCAAAAUAUAUAGAAAAAGAAGAAAAGUUAAAGAGAAUGAAAGAAGAAAUCUCUUAAUUUUUUGUUUUUUUUAUCUUUGUAUAAAUACUCCUAUAUUUCUAUAUAGAAUAAAUAUUUAAAAAUAACUCUAAUUUCUUUCCAAUUACAUAUCUUUGCUAUAUAUAUAUAUAUAAUUUAUCUAUAAAUUGCAAAUAUGUAGCUAUUUUUUCAAAAUUUUAAAAAUAACAAAAUUAUCCAUAAUUCUUGUUAUGAUAAAAAAUUCUCAAUGCUUGGAUAUCCAUCCUAGAAAGUUAUUUUAUGUAAAAAUGUUUGCAAAAGACAAGGUUUUCAAGGUCUCUUCUAAUCCAUGAGAAUUUCUUUUGCAAAAAAAAGAUUAAGAAUAUAUAUAUAUAUAUAUAUAUAUAUAUAAAGUUACCCAAAUUUUUAUUUAAUCAACCCACAUCAUUGGACCUCUUCCUCUUAUUUCCAAUUGUCACCUCAGUUCUCCCUAUUUCUAGCCAUUGCCUCCAUUCCUUCCAAUUUCAACCCCCCCCCCCCCCAGCUUGUAUCUGUAGGCUCAACUUUUGACCUUCCAUCCUUUUUUUUAAUGACAGUACUUCCUGAAAUUCAUAUAUUGGUCUUAUACAUACUCAACUUGAAGAUCAAGGUGGCUUAGAAAAGCUUUAGAAUUUGGAUCUUGUAAUUGAAUUAGAGUAAAUUUGGAGAAAUUCAAAUUUUACAUGUAUCUUAUACUUGAGAUAUUGUAGUAUUUCAAAGUUUAUUUCUUUAUUUUAUCCUACAUCUUCUUUUGAACUUUGCUUCUUUGAUGCUUAGGCUUCAACUUUUCUUCCAACUGAUUGGACUUUGAUUAGGCUUCGACUUCUUGCUCUUCUAACAACUUUUCAACAAAAGCACAAAAUAAGUAUUAGUUUCUAUUUACUCAACUUCCUUGAUCUUAGCAAUGGAUGCAUUAACCUCUUGAAUAAUAGGCUUUUCAACCGAGAGCUCUAUUACAAAUGCAUCAAUGUCUUCUUCAAUGGAAUAGGGCACUUGUGACCCCACAAGCCUUCUUUGCAACAACAUCUUUCAUUCUUGAGGCUUCUUUUCUUUCAACAACUGCAAUCCCCUCUACAAUAACAACCUUGUCUAGACUUAAUGUAUAGAAUUCUUUCAUUGAUUUAAAGUCAAGGAAAUCAAGUUCAUAUAUCACGUCUCCUUUAAUAUCUCCCGUAUUCAAAUCUAACAUGUUCUUUUAUUCAUGUUCAUUUUUUGAUAUAUAAGGAGAAAAAGAAUCAAAGGCAGAUUCAUACAACUCCAAAUCACUUUUUGUUAUAGCAAUAUUAGCAAACUCCUGAACAACAAGUUUUAAU
RNAcentral lists this long non-coding RNA (92197 nucleotides) under Physcomitrium patens. RNAcentral describes it as "long non-coding RNA (PPAT_LNC001279)". The record is from RNAcentral. Lineage: Eukaryota; Viridiplantae; Streptophyta; Bryopsida; Funariales; Funariaceae.